GCAACUUACAAGUAGCUAAAAUUAUAUUUAUAACCAUAUAUUGGAGAUCACUCUUACAGGACUUAACCACUCUCACACCACAUGUUCACAUGUCUUACACGUACGUAUAUAUACGUGAUAUGUGGAUAUGGAAAUAUUAAUGGUUGCAUUGCUUGCACUUAUUGAAUACAUAUGCCACGUGUUUUUCAUUCCUUCUUUCUAAUUACCUAGGUGGCAGCGUGCAGCAGCAUCGUCUCCACAGUGAACCCCGGUCCAAAUCCCAUCAUCACCCCCCAGUCUUCAUCAUGGCUAGCUCCCUCUCCUUCAGGAUCUUCUCUUUGGCGCCUGACCUCAUCGAGCACAAAGAUAACCGUGGCGCCAAGCAUGUUACCAUACUCUCUCACCACGGUUCUGCUCGCCGCCAGCUUCCCCGGGGCUAGCCGGAGCGCCCUGACGAUGUGGUCGAGCAUCGCACUGCUGCCAGGAUGCACUGCCCAGAAGAGGUUGUUCCAUUCGACUACGCCUCCGACGAUGGCUAGGUGGUUGCCGAACGCAUCCAGCAGGCACCGCUCAACGAUGCCCGCCGCCAGUCUUGGCAGUCCGGUGGCGAUGGUCCCGCCGAUGCCACCGCUCCCGAGCUGCACGGUGAGCAUGUGCUCAGUGUCCGGUAUCACAUACUGCGAGGCAGACACCAUCUCGAACAGCGGGCGCUCGUGGACGUCAGGGUCGGCGCCCACGAUGACGGCACCGGCGCCGUCACCGAAGAGCCCCUGGGGAAUGAGGGUGUCGAAGGAGUCCGCCUCAUCGGGCGCGCGGAAGGCAGUGACGGUGAGCUCGACGCAGGCCACGAGGACGCGCGCGCCGCGGUUGUUCUCGGCGAGGUCCUUGGCUAGGCGCAGGGCGGCGCACCCGGAAGCGCAGCCGUUGAGCUGGAGCACGGUGCGCAGGACAUCAUGACGGAGACCGAGGAGGGACACCAAGCGGACAUCGGUGCCCGGGGCGUGCGACCCCGCGUUGGUGCUGACGACGAGAUGGGUGAUGUCGCCCGCCGGACGGCCCCACUCGGCGAUGGCGCUCGCCGCAGCCGACGCGGCGAGCUCCGGGGCGGCGGUAGCCACGACGUCCAGCCGGGCGUCGAGGGACAUGCCCGGGUGCGCAGCGAGCAGUUCGUCUGUGUGGUGGAAGAAACGCCUGCCGAUGCCUGUCAUCCCGCAUAGCUUGGCGAAGGUGGGCUUGAGGUCGGUGAGGUGGUCGCUGUUGGUGACGCGGAAGUAGUAGUCGGGGUAGUCGCCCUGGGGCACGCAGUGGGGCGGGUUCGCCGUGCCGAUGGCCAGCACCGCCGCCGGCCCGUCCGCACGCUGCGCAACACGGAUCUCACGGACGGUGGUGGCUGGGAUGCUGCUGCUGCUUGCCAUGGUGACUUUCCUGCAUGCAAUACUAAGUAGAAUCAGAUCGUUGAAAAGCGAUCGAUCUUUAGGUUCCAAAACCCCCUUACCUUCUACUCCUAUUCUACCUGAUAGCUAGAUAGCUGAACCCGAGAGUUGGAUGAAGUGGGGACGAUCGAGGUACCUUGUGAAGAACAAAGCAAACAAGGCGAGAGGCUGAUCAAAUGAUUUAUGUGCGUUGGGAGAUGGGAGGAGGCGGCAAGUAUUUAAGGACGUGCGGGGGCAGGGUUCCUGGUCCCUGCAAAAAAAGGGAGCAGGGCUCACGCGUGUAAAUAUCUCGUCUAGGCAUAUGAUUGAAGCCUAGUGCAAAUAGUUUAACUAUAUGUGAAGACGGGCGGGACCCCGGGGCUGGUGAAUCCACAAACAUUUGGGCCCAUAAUUGAAUCCCAAGGGAGAGUUACAAAUGGCCUAUCACUUCUCUAAUUAAAGCUCCCCCACAAACAGUCUCCGAGCUUAUUGGGCCGACCAGUGCGUUGGAACAGCUAGUCCGUUCAGUUCUCAUGUCGUUUGAUGCUGAAGCAAUACUUAAGAUCCCAUUGUGUACUAGGAGGAUCGAUGAUUUCUGGGCAUGAAGUGAAGAACCUCGAGGCAACUUUACUGUGGGAUCAACAUACCGCAUAUUGGUCCGGGCUCCGGACUAAGCAAAACAGAGAGAGCUGGCUAGAGGGCCGCGAGGGAUCAUCAAACCUCCGGGAAGAAAGUAAGGAGUAGAAGUCAAUAUGGAAAACUUCAGGUUUCGUUGAAGCUCAUGGUAUAUAUUUAGCGGUUGGCUAGGCACACCAUCAGGAAAGGUUCUCCAUCGUCGUCACAUGGAAACUACCGGAGCCUGUAACUUGUGGGACGUACAUGAUACAUGGAGUACGAAAGCUAUCCAAGAUCAGUGUCGCGGAGUACAUGUGCAUUGUCUUCCCAAGCUAUCCUAGUUCAGUUGAGUAUAUAUAUACACACCAGGAGGAGAAUGCGAAGGACUGGAUUUCCGCUAUGCUGGGAGCGCUGUCAUCGGAAGAUUUGCUUAGUCCGGACCAACAUGCGGGGAGCUCUAUAACUUGUGGGGCGUACAUGAUACAUGGAGUAUGAAAGCUAUCCAAGAUCAGUGUCCCGGAGUACAUGGGUGUUGUCUUCCGAAGCUAUCCUAGUUCAGUUGAGUAUACACCGGGAGGAGAAUGCGAAGGACUGGAUCUCCGCUAUGCGGGGAGAGCAGCCAUCGGAAGAUUUUUACCAAGUUUGUAGUGACCAUGUGGGCGAUCUGGGGUGCCCGUAGGAAAGCAAUACAUUGAGGUGUUUUUAAAGACCCCACAUGCUAUACACGACUUCAUCACCUCAUACAUCACAGAGCUACAAGUGAUCACUCCAAACAGGGUGUCCCAUGGGAGUGCAACUCCUCGUCCGACUGGCUGGCUGGCACCUCCUGAACAUCCCGCAAAGCUGAACGUGGAUGUAGCAGUUGGCAGGAGGGGGCAGAACAGAGCGGUCGAUGCCAUCUGCAGGAAUCUUUAUGGGAGCUUCGGCUUUUAUUUUCACCAAUAUUGGUGACCUAACUACUUUAGAAGGCCUGGCUAUCAGAGAGGGGGUAGCUCUAGCCAAGGAUCUGAACCAGAACCGUAUUCAUGUUGCAUCGGAUUGUAAGGGGUGGUAGAAGAAGUUCACAACAGAAGUGGUGUUGCAUACAGAGCAAUCAUCCAGGAUAUCAAACUACACUUAUCAACUUUUUUUCAUGUUCCUUGCAAAAAACAAAACCCUUUUAUUUCAUGUAAUAUAGUUCACCAAUUAAGGAGCUCAAAAUAAAAUUUAGCGAAGCAUACUUUCACUUUGGGAGCUGGUCACCAUGUUUAGUUAGGCCAGCCCGGUAGUAUUCCUUUCGUCCCUGUAAAUAUUGUGGUGGUUGAAUAAACCCUUCGCGAGAUUGCCUAAAAAAACUAAAUAAAUCCUAAAUCAGCCGUUAAUUUUAACUAUUAUUGCAUGAAUCAUUCGGCUCCCUAUCCAGCGCUAUGAUCGCGCAUCAGCCGCACUAUGCGCGGGUUGGUCUACUAGCCUUUUUACAAAGGACGGAAAGGGGGGCAUGCAUGCUAGUACUAUAGCAGGAAGGUGGGACAUGCAGGUAUGAGGUUUCUAUAUUUUUUUUCAUAUAUAUGCAGGUUUGAAUAAAUGCCCAACAAGUAACCGCUUCGUGUGGAAACAAAUAAAGGGUGCGGGCGACUUGCAAAAUCUGACAUUGGUGCGGCCGGGAGAUUUGUACUACAUAAUUAUGCAAAACUGAAUGUCCUUUCAAUAGGCCACUAUUCCUUGGGAGAACAUGUUGUCCUUUAAUGUUUGUGUAGGUCCAAUAAAUGGAUGCAUCAAGUCUUGCGUGAAAAAGAAAUUAAUAAAGAAUGCCUUGUGCGUAUGUAUAUAGGACAGGGAUAGCUACCAUAGCGUACAUGCACAUGCAGAAAGAUCAUUGGUGCGCACCAACCUGUGGUUGGAUGAAUGGAUGGUUAGAGGGGCAGUGGUUGGUAUCCUCAGCCUACCAGAGUUCAAGUCCUGGUGCUCGCAAUAUUCCUGAAUUUAUUUCAGGAUUUUCGGCAAUGCGUUUUCUGUGGGAGGAGAUGUUCCUGUCAACGACGCGGCGCCUAUAAUGACUUUGUAAAUCUCAAGAUGAUAUAGCGGCUCAGUCUCUCGGAUGUGCUCAUAGAAGUAUGGUGUGUGUGCGCGUUCGUAGAGAUGAGUGUAUGCACGUAUAUAUGAGCGUUUGCAUUGUACCUGUUAAAAAAAAAGACCGUUGGUCCGUCGUCGCGAGCGAUACCUAUCAUACUUCCAACGAUUAUUUGAACGCACAUGGUGGACGCAGCAAGCGAGAGGUGAGUCAGUUCUGCAUGUGCACCAUUCAACAAAGCCACCACGUACGUACGUGGUCACAUGAGAUACAUGUGAGCUUGCAUCUACAAAUGCCAACAGCACCCAUUGGAUUUGUCAAGGCUUCACAGAACCGGUGUUUGGUAGUAUAACCAAUUAACACGGACGUACCUGGUCACGAACGACGACAAAGACCAGCAGUGCUACGUGUGAGAACACUCCUUUGCAGUCGCGCUCGACGUUGUCGGUCAGGUGCAAAGGACCCACCCGCGUGUGCCUGCACCCUCCCCUUGAAUUCAACUUGUGAGCCCAGAGCCCAGCAGAGGAGCCCACGCAAGUAAAGAAAGACUUGUGAGCCCAGUGCAUGCAGAUGAUGUCCCCUCCACGUACCACGAUAAAUCAAUCCAGUGGCCCUCGCCCAGUCAAUCUCACGCUUGUUUUCGGUCCCUACAUGUGGCAAGAUUCAACAAACAAUACAUGGUGUGUCAAUAGUAAGAAUUUGUCCUUACCUAUGGAAAGAUUCAACAAAACAAUCCAUGGUGUGUUGCCUCAAGAUAACUAUCAUCGUACUACGUCCAACAAUAAGCUGCCUACUUGCUGGGAUGUGUAUGUGCUCACAUAACAACGGAGUGUGGACCCAGCUAGUCAAUGAUGGUAGGCGCUACGUACGGACGCACACGACGUAACAAAGCCAGCAUCACAUGCAUGUGUACUUGCAUCUAGAGUAUGGUAAAAAAUUCACACGGACGUACCUAGUUACGAACGAUGACAAAGACCGGCAGUACUACAUGUGACUGUGAGAACAUCCUUUCGCAGUCGCGCGUUGAACACGUUAGACACUGCCGGUCAAGUCGCCCCAUAGGCAAUCUCUUCCCCAUUAAUGUAAACCGGUGGGGCCCAGCGUGUCCUUCAGUGUGUCUCGCACUAUCUAUUAUAUUAUUAAAACAAUAGGAAACAAACAGUGAGGAUUAACCAUCACGGGGCCGUCAGCUGCAAACGGCCGUGCCACAUGGCUUCUAUUUACCGGGUGCCUUCUACAGGGCUAGUUAACGGGGUGUGCACGCAGCUAGCCGAUGCUGGUUGGUGCUACGUAUGUACGCACACGAAGCAACAAAGCCAGCAUGACAUGCAUGUGUACUUGCAUUUACAAGUGCCAACAGAACCCAAUGUACGAGAAUUGUCAAGCGUCACAAAUUUGUAAUGUUCGGUAACAAAUUAACACGGACGUACCUGGUUACGAACAAUGCCAAAGACCGGCAGUGCUACAUGCGACUGUGGGAAGAUCCUUUCGCAGUCACGCGUUGAACGUGCGGUCCAGCUUCGCACGUUAGAAGCUGUCGGUCAGGUCGUCCCAUAGGUAAUCUCUUCCCCAUGAAUAUAAACCGGUGUGUCCCGACGUGUCCUUCAGUUUUUCUAACCCUAUUUUUGUUAAAAACAAAAAACUUAACUUUGUAAACAAGGAAGUACUAAAUUAUAGUGGUAUCAAAUCUUGAAGGUUUACAGGGCGCGCUUCAACAAUCUCUCGGACCAAGACGAUUAGCGGUUGGACUAAAAAAUAACAUUGAUAGUUAUAGCAUGGCGCCUAUUACUAGAGAAAUUAAUGCAUACACACAUACACAUAUGCAUGUAGUUAUUCCACUCCGUGUACAGACCUACAUGGAGAGAAAAUUAUGGGCUUGAUUGCGGUUAUCACACCAUUAUUAAUUAGGCAUUAAACCAAAGGAGCCUAAAAUCCCUACGGCGGUGGAAAUGCAUGAGAAUUGAAGCGCGUCGUGUAAACUGUGAUGGAGGGAGUACAUAGUAUCAGUUAUAAUAAAUGUUAUAUUUGCCGUCUUCCCGGUUUUUAUUUCUCACAAGUUAAUUAGUUGGCAGAAGCAUAAUUUUUUUUUGCAUUGUUGUAGUAGUAAAUAGAAUUUUAAUUAUUACUCCCCCUGUCGCAUAAUAUAAGAUGUGAUUACAACCAAUAUGUGAGUACAUAUGUGUUCCAUAAAAAAAUUGUGAGUACAUCUAUUGUCAUAACAUUUGAUAUUAUAGGAUGGAGGGAGUUGUAAAGAAAGACUUGUGCAAAUGGACAUUCCUAUGCAAUGAAAAUGAAAAUCAUCUUAUACUACAAAUGAAAAUGAAGGCAACAAUGUACAUUCGUAUGCAAUGGAAAUGCAAGCACCAAUCGAUAAAAACGGAAACGGAUAAGAAGGAAGUAUGUGCCAUGUCUUUGAUGGUGGAGGCAUUUUUACUACCGGGAGCAUUUGCUCUGGAUGAACAGUAAUUGGAAAAAAAGUUCGGAAGAGAGCUGCUGGCAGUGUCACAAGCGACAGCGGCACCCAGUGGGUCCGGCUGGUGGUUGAACAAUAGGUGAAGACAGGCGGGACGCCGGGGCUGGUAAUUCCACAAACAUUUGGGCCCAUUAUUGGAUAGCAAGGGAGAGUUACAAACGACCUAUCACUUCUCUAAUUCAAGCUCCCCCCAUAGAAAGUCUCCGAGCUUAUUGAGCCGACAAGUGCGUUGGAAGACCUUUAGUUCAAUUUUUACGCCGUUUGAUGCUGAAGCACUACUUAAGAUCCCAUUGUGUACUAGGGGGGUCGAGGAUUUCUGGGCAUGGAGUGAAGAACCUUGAGGCCACAUUACUCAGGGGUCAGCAUACCACAUGUUGGUCUGGACUAAGAAAAACAAAGAGAGUUGUCUAGAAGGCCGCGAGGGAUCGACAAACCUCCAGGAGGAAAGUAAGGAGUAGAAGUCAAUCUAGAAAACUUCAGGUUUCAUCGAAGCUCAGGGUAUUUAUUUCGCGGUUUGCUGGGCACUCAAUCCCAUCAGGAGAGGUUCUCCAUCGUCGUCACAUGGCCACGACCGGAGCCUGUAACUUGUGCAGCGUAUAUGAUACAUGGAAUACGAAAGCUAUCCUAGAUCAGUGUCAUGGAGUACAUGUGCGUUGUCUUCCGAAGCAAUCCUAGAUCAGUUCUGUAUACACAAGGAGGAGAACGCGAAGGGCUGGAUCUUCACUGUGCAGGGAGCGCUGUCAUUGGAAGAUUUUCCAACUUUGUAGGGACCAUGUGGGCGAUCUGGGGUGCCCGUUGGAAAGCAAUACAUUGAAGUAUUUUCAAGACCUCACAUGCUAUACAUGAGUUCAUCACCUCGUACAUAACAAAGCUACAAGUGCUCACUCAGAAUAGGGUGUCCCAUGGGAGUGCAAUCCCUCGUCCGACUGGAUGGCUGGCACCUCCUUAACAUCACUCAAAGCUGAACGUGGAUGCAGCAGUUGCCGGAGGGGGUCGAACGGAGAGGUCGAUGCCAUUUGCAGGGAUCAUGCGGGAAGAUUUAUGGGAGCUUCGGCUUUUAUUUUUCACCAAUAUUGAUGACCCAGCUACUUUAGAAGCCCUAGCUAUCAGAGAGGGGCUAGUUCUAGCCGAGGAUCUGAACCAGAACUAUAUUCAUGUGGCAUCGGAUUGCAAGGGAUAGUAAAAGAAGUUCACAACGGAGUGUUGCAUAAGGAGAAAUCAUCUAGGAGAGCAAACUACACUUAUCUACUUUUAUUUCAUGUAAUAUAGUUCACGAAUUUAGGAGCUCAAAUGUCGAGUCUCACGAUUUAGCGAAACAUACUUUGACUCUUGGAGCUGGCCGCCAUGUUUGGUUAGGCCGGCCUGAUGGUAUUCCUUUCCUCCCUGUAAAGAUUGUGGCGGUUGAGUAAACGUUCGCGAGAUUGCAUAAAAAAAGAAGCUACAUAAUUCUGCCAAACUGAAUGUCCUUUCAAUAGGACACUAUUCCUUGGAGAACAUGUUGUUCAUUAAUGAUUGUGUAGGUCCAAUAAAUGUAUGUAUGAAGUCCGAUGUGAAAAAGAAGUUAUAAUAAAGAAAGAUUUGUGCGUACGUGCAUAGGACAGGGGUAGCUACCAUAACACAUGUGCACAUGCAAGAAGAUUGAUGGUCCAUCGUCGCCAGCGAUAGCUAUCGUACGUUCAAUGAUUAUUUGAACACACGGGGUGGAUACAGCGAGCGAGUGGUGAGUCUAUUCUGGUAGCACUACGGAUGACAGUGCACCACGCAACAAAGCCAGGACGUACUUACGUGGCCACAUGGCAUUCAUGUGAACUUGCAUCUACGAAUGCCAACAGAACCCAUUGGAAUUGUCAAGGCUUCACAGAACCAAUGCUUGGUACUACUAACAAAUUAACACGGACGUACCUAUGUUAGAAAUAAUACUUUAGGUUAACAUUAAAUUAGAUCUGGAUCUCUGGAUUUGAACACCAAUACAUGUGCGCAAACGUGUGAACUUACAAGUGCUUGCCAAAGUCCCAUGCUCUUGAUGCAGCCCCUACUCGAUGCAGCCCAUGACAAUAGUUGGCGAAGCUGAACAGCAUCGAGUGAAUAGCCCAUGGCCGAAAGCGUGAAUCAUAGAAAGCAAUUGGUAGAAGGCGUCCAAAACGCUACCGUCAUAGAGAUGGCCGGCAUGGGCAGCGGCCGGUCAGUGUAGAUGGCAGCAGGCAGCCACCGGCACAGCCUUGCGGUGGCAGGGGAUUCUGAUGGUUAAUAUUUGAGAAAGUACAGGCUUUCCUACACCCCCUUAUCUAGCCAUUCAUUCUUACAUCGCGAUUCGUGCGAGCAACUUUUAUCUUUUUUGUUUCUCCUAAAUAGAACAACAUAUGAACCUGAAACUUUGUAGGACGACAAAACAUUCUAACUAGAAUGUGGGAAAAAACUUUCAGAUUUUUUCGUGGAUCAUGUAUAGAAAAAAAUAUUGUUUUUUACUCAAAAAAUCUCAUUUUGUACAUUUAUGUCGGACAAAAAAAUCUGAAAGUUUUUUCUCACAUUGUAGUAAGAAUGUUUUGUUGUCCUGCAAAGUUUGAAGUUCAUAUGUUGUUUUGUUUUGAAGGAACAAAAAAGAGAAAAAUUCGUGUUGUAAGUUAGUUGUGUCGCACGGAUCUCAAAGCAAUAUUGAAGGGUAUGGAUAAGAGGUGUCCAGAAGCCCGUGUUUUAUAAAUCCGCGUUCGGAUUCUGAUGGCCUUCUAAUCCCUUUGUGCUCCCUUAUAGGAUCGGCCUUUAGAAGUUUGUUGGGGUUAUCUCAUGUAUGUGUUUGUCAUUUCCCAAGGGGCACCACCUUUUCUUUUUAUACUUGGUGCUAAGGGACCAAACCAAAAAUUGCCUUUUUGUGUGCCUUGAAUCAUAGCACAAAACCUGGAGAAGAGCUCCCCUUUUCUCUCGGUCCGUUAUGACCUGAGAUCAAAUUCCAACAACCUGGUCACAAACGGUGACAAAGACUGGCAGUGCUACGUGUGAGAACACUCCUUCGAAGUCGCAGUCACGCUGGAGGUUGUUGGUCAGGUGCAAAGGACCCACCCACGUGUGCAUGUACCCUCCCAGAAUCUCUAACCUCCCUUGAAUUCAACUUGUGAGACCAGCAGAGGAGCCACGCAAGUACCCCGAUCUCACACUUGUGGGCUAAGAGCAUCUACAGCCAGGCGUCCCAAACUCGGCUCAUACAUCCGGACAGGCCGCCCGGUCACUGACCGAUCACUAUUUUUGACCCAGACGGGCCCCUCAAACGGGCCUCAAACGCCCGGGCUGGCCGACACCCAUCAUAUCUAGCUCAAAUAUGGGGCGGAUAUGUGGGCGCCCGGGCGUUUCCGCCACGUAGGACUGACGAUGGGGUCCCACGCGGACUCACCCGGAAACUCGGCGGUCCGACAGAGGCCUCCUCCGUCGCUGCAGUGUGAACAACACGUGGCGCCGCUCUAGCUUGCCGCCCGAGGCCAAAUCCGGCUAUUUAAGUCUGCCUGGGGCCCGCAACCCUAGCCCAUCCACAUCGUCCCUCUUUGCGCCGCCACCCGAGCUCGUCCGCCUCCUCACCCCUGCUCUCCCACACUCUCCCGCAUCGCCAUGGUCCGGCGGCUGGUCACCACGUACACUUUGCUCACGCCGGAGUGCCAGAGGUAGAUCGUGGAGGAGAUCCAGACAAGGCGCGCCGUCCGCAUCGCUGUCGGGCUGUCUCCGGACUCGCCAGAGCUGGAGGAGGACGAGGAGCAGCAGUCGGACUGGGACGAGGGAGAGCCGCUGUCGGAGCUGAUGGAGGUAGUGGAUCUUGAGGAGGACGAGGCAAAGCUACCGGAGCAGGGGUUCAACGAGGCGGUUUCUCCGGCAGGAGGAGGCGGUGUCCGACGCGCUCUUCGUCGAACUCGGCGCUGAGAUAGAGGAGGAGGAGGAGGAGGCCGGAGCAGAGGCGUCGGAGCUCGGGAGCUGCCGCUGCCGCCCAUGCUGCCAGAGCCGGGCACGGAGAUUGUCGACAUCUCCGAGGAGGAGUAGUUAGAUCUCUACGUAGUACGCAGGUUUUAUCGUUUGCAUGCUUUUGUAUGGAUUUAAGAAUCUAGUAUGAAAUGUCCGGAUGCAGUAGUAUUAAUUUGAGAAGUGCCCUGUCACUGCCCGCAGAUGCGCCCAGGCCCGUCCACGUGAGGGGUCAUAUUUGUCAUAUGCGGCUGUAGAUGCUCUAAGAAAUGAAUGUACAUAUAUACUAUUCCCUUAGUUCAUAAUAUAAGAGCAUUAGCGUUUUCGACACUACACUAAUAUAAAAACUACUUUUGUAUUAGGAGACGGAGGGAGUAGUUAGGAAAGACUUGUGUUAAGUGCAUAGGACAGGAUAGCGACCGUAGUGUACGUGCGCAUGUAGAUCAACGGAGGAACAAACAACGAAGCUGUGCCCUCCACGUACCACGAUCAAUCAAUCCUGCGGCCCUCGCCCAGUCCGUGAUGCAUGUGUGGCUGCUAUGUAAUCAUGUGUGACGCAUAGGACACAUGCAUGAAGAUGGACGGAGGAACAAACAACGAAGCUGUGCCCUCCACCUACCAUGAUCAAUCAAUCCAGCGGCCCUCUCCCAAUCAUUGUGAUGCAUGUGUAAUCGCGUACUGGAAUCGUAGUAUGAAUUUAUCGUUACGGACGGCAAGAUUCAACAAACAAUCAAUUGGUGUGUGGCCUCAAGAUAUCUAUCGUCGUCCCACAGUGAGCUGCCUACGUACUUGCUCGGAUGUGUAUGUGUAUAAAAAAUAUGUGAGCCGACGGAGUGUGUACACAGCUAGUCAAUGCUGGUCACGCGUUCACGCGUUAGACGCUGUCGGUCAAGUGCAGAGCGCCCAACCACGUGUGUCGCGCCGUCCCAUAGCUAAUCUCUCUCCUCAAUGAAUGAAUAUUAAUAGGUGGGGCCUAGCGUGUCCUUCAGUAUCUCCGACUCACCCUAUUUUUGUUAAAAAGAAAAAAAACUGAUUUUGUACGUUUCUGUCCCAAAUCGAGCACCUUAAGAGUAUUCACUACGUACUACUCCAUAAAUAACUAGACUAAUAUUUGCUAUUAGCUCCCGCGAGGCAAGAUGUUGUUAAUGAUUUUGUCACAGUGUACUGACAAAUAAUUAUGAUUUUUCACAAGGUAGUCGGUAGAAACGUGUACUAAUUUUUAUUUAUGACAAGGUAAUUGGCAGAAACCAUAUGCACAAUAGACAUAAAGCAUCUAUUUUGAAAGAUAGGCUAUUAAUCUGUCAACAAUAUUUUCUGUUUAUCCAUCUAUACUUACAUAUUUAUGUAGUCAAAUGUACCCUUCUUCUACGUUCUUUAAUAAUAUUUUUGAAAGCUCACUUCUUCGCUUGUUACAUAAGAGGAAAGACUGAACCAAGUUUUGUGCAAAGAAACAACCUUGGUAAUAGUUUGCUUUCUAGACGUGUCGCUCGGACUAUAAAUUACUAGAUGAUACCCCGCGCGUUGCUGCGGGGAUCGGUUGUGUAUUUUUUAUCUAACAUCCACAUCAAAAAGAUGAUAGCAAUUGGAAUCAAUUAUAUGACAAAUUUCAUUUCCAGAUAUUUGUAUCGUAAAUGUGUGGUUUAAAUAUAAAUUGUAUAUAAAACAAAGGUAGUUGUAGUAGGAACCAUAUUUUUAGUACUCCUAAGCUGCAAUGUAGUGCAUUAGAAGUUCCAAAGAAGGCAAUCCUGAAGCAUCCUCGACACAUGCCCUACAUCACCAUCAGGACAUGAACAUACCUGUACGCAUGUUGAUUUGAGUAAGUUAACAACAGUGGCCAAAAAUAAUAAGAUGUUAUAAAGCACAAUCUAGAACGUGAGUGAAGAUAGCAAUAUAGCCCAGGAACGGGAACAGUCCCGACACAGUCUGCUUCUGAAUAUAGUGAAAAGACCAUAAAAAUGAAUAACAUCAGGAUCUAAAUCACUCAAUAUAGUACCCCUUGGUAAAAGGAAUAACUCAUAGGAACCCAUUGCAAAAUAAAUGAUAUAAGAGGUUAGCAUUAACGUAGUUAACUGUUGUACAAUAAAUGAAACUUCCUCCGUCCCAUAAUAUAAGCCGUGCAGUGUUAAAAACAUUUUUAUAUUAUGGGACGGAAGGAGUAUAAGAGGUUAGGUGGAUCCAUGAAAGGUGGGGUCGUGGAAAGGUGGUAGCCACUUUGUUGCGGUGGACGUGGAAAGCUGGGAGCUGUGUGACGGAAAUGGCUCUAUAAAUUCGGCAGCCAACGACGCGGGAUGCAGCGGCACAACUGAAAACAAGAGUUCCAAAGUAAAGCAUCUCAACUGCGCCAUGCAUGCAAACAAGACAUCUCCAGCGAAUGAGAAGGACGGACAUGACAUCUCCGUGGACAUGUACCCCUUCAUACGCAAGUACAAGGACGGCAGCAUCGAGCGUUUCCUGCGCAGCCCAUUCGUGCUGGCGUCGCCGGAUCAGGGCGGCAACCGUGGGGUGGCGACGAGGGACGUCGUCGUCGACAUGGCCACCGGCGUGUCUGUGCGCCUGUUCCUCCCGUCCCGUGCCGCCGGGACCGCACGCAGGAAUGGGCUUCCUCUCGUCCUCUACGUCCAUGGCGGCUCGUUCUGCACGGAGAGCGCUCUCGGCCGGACGUACCACCGCUACGCGACCUCCCUCGCCGCCAGCGCCCGGGCCCUCGUCGUGUCGGUGGAGUACCGUCUAGCGCCGGAGUUCCCCAUACCCGCAGCCUACGACGACGCGUGGGCCGCGCUCCAGUGGGCGGCUUCCAUGUCCGACCCUUGGCUGGCCAGCUACGCCGACCCUGCGCGAACAUUCCUGGCCGGCGACAGCGCGGGCGGCAACGUCGUCUACCACACGGCAGUCCGCGCCAGCCACGAAGUCAACGACGACAUGAUGGACAUUGCGGGGCUGAUCAUGGUGCAGCCUUACUUCUGGGGAGCCAAGCGGCUGCCUUCGGAGCUCGCGUGGGACGACAGCGAGGGCGUUGCGGGCCUUGCGGCGGUGUUCCCGCCGUACGGGGUGGACCGUCUGUGGCCGUUCGUGACGGCCGGCCAGUCCGGCAACGACGACCCCCGGAUCGACCCUCCGGCCUCGGAGGUCUCAUCGCUGGCUUGCCGCCGCGUGCUCAUCGCCGUGGCCGGGAAGGACUCUCUGCGGGACCGCGGCCUCGGCCUGGCGGCCCGCAUGCGUGAUCACGACGCGCCGUGGCCUUGGAUGACGCCGGGGCGCCGCGAGGUGACAGUGGUGGAGUCCGAAGGCGAGGACCACGGCUUCCACCUCUACAGUCCGCUGAGGGCCACCAGCAAGAGGCUCAUGGGGAGCAUCGUGGAGUUCAUAAACCAGCAGCCCAGCUCGUCGCCUGCUAAUCCUGUGGUGUUCGGCGUGCCCACGACGCCGUUCAAGGACGUGUUUGGGUAUGGCAUGGCCAUGAAGUCCUGGGGCACACGGUCCCGUAUGGCUACUUCCUUUAAAAUUGGAAGGGUUGGGCCAUCCAACAAAAUCUCAGUUCGACUGCCGAUGCCUGCUGGUAACGCUCAUCACAAACAUCCAUUAUCUGCUGCGGUUCCGUGGGGUUGUGUGAUCAACAACUUUUUCUAGAUGACGGCCGUCCUGAUAACGCGCACAUAAAUUAAUGUCUCAUUCAGACUCUCUUCAGAGGGUCUAUGACAAGGGUAUGCCCUUCUCCACUGCAUACUAGUACACUAAAUAAAACACAAAGAGUCCACUACCUAGUAUUAAUUACUCUAUUAGUCAUGUGAGUCCUUCAGGCCAAGAGCUGGAUUAUUAGUUAAAACGGUCCUAUUGGUACUAUCCAUUAGGAUUUUUGGGAGAUCAAAUUCACAAAUGUAUGCCAAUUACAGGCCAGGGAAUUAUAUAUAAACUUGUCUGCUUUAUCUUAUUAUUCGGUGUCUGCUAAAUUUAUAUUGCAUGUCUUACCUUAAAAAUGUAUAUUGUAUGUCUUUUCAUGUGGUCACUGCGCGCGACCAUGUUUCUCUCGGCCUUCAGCAUGUGGAUCACAUGCAUGAAUUGGUCACAUGUGGAAGGAUAAGCAUAUAAUGGUGGAUUUUUUGCAAAUAAGAAGUUUCCUAAGAAAGAAUGAAUUGGUCACAUUGUUAUUACCCUUAGUGAAGAAAGAAAAUGAAAUGAAAGGGCCGGUCCUGAGAUUUUGGGGGCCCGGGGUGUCGGUGUCAAAACCGGCGGAUCUCGGGUAGGGGGUCCCGAACUGUGCGUCUAAGGCGGAUGGUAACAGGAGGCGGGGGACACAAUGUUUACCCAGGUUCGGGCCCUCUCGAUGGAGGUAAUACCCUACUUCCUGCUUGCUUGAUCUUGAUGAUAUGAGUAUUACAAGAGUUGAUCUACCAUGAGAUCGUAGAGGCUAAACCCUAGAAGCUAGCCUAUGGUAUGAUUGUUGUUGUCCUACGGACUAAACCCUCCGGUUUAUAUAGACACCGGAGGGGGCUAGGGUUACACAGAGUCGGUUACAAGGGAGGAGAUCUACAUAUCCGUAUUGCCAAGCUUGCCUUUCACGCCAAGGAGAGUCCCAUCAGGACACGGGACGAAGUCUUCAAUCUUGUAUCUUCAUAGUCCAACAGUCCGGCUGUCCGAGGACCCCCUAAUCCAGGACUCCCUCAGUAGCCCCUGAACCAGGCUUCAAUGACGAUGAGUCUGGCGCGCAGAUUGUCUUCGGUAUUGGAAGGCGGGUUCCUCCUCCGAAUACUCCAUGGAAGAUUUCGAACACAAGGAUAGUGUCCGGCUCUGCAAAACAAACUCCACAUACACCGUAGAGAGAAUAAUAUUUCCACAAAUCUAAACUGCUGACACAUUCUGCAGCAUGACAUCACACUACGGCCCGGUCAUUAUUCGAACCGUUUUUCUCAACCAGCAACUGCACAUAUUGCGAGGCGGUUUUCUUGGCCCGUCUUGUCAAAGCAGAGAUCGUGUCCCCUUAUCACGGGAUUCUCAUCAAUACGGGUGUGGGUAACCCAACCGCACCAUCAAUUACGGCGCUUGGGGAAUAAGCAGUUUUACCAGGAAAGUGGGGAGGCGCAGAAUCCCUGCUGCCUUUAUAAGGGGAUAAGGACUCCCUUUCGCACCCACGCUUUCUCCUUCCCGAUCCAUUCCCCUCCGCUCAAGCUCCAGCGCCCAAGCGUUCAUCUUUUCUGCCCACAAAGGCCUUCCAAAAAUGUCCGGAUCCGGAGCAGGAGGCAAAUGGAUGGCCUCUACCGUCCGGGAGAAGGAUAUCAAAAAGCUUCGGGAGGCCGGGUAUCUGGCCAAGAAAAUCAGCCAUCGUCUCCCGACGGCGGGACAGAUCGUCCCUACCCUGGAACCCCACGAGAGGGUUGUAUUCCUCCCUCACUUAGUCCGCGGGCUAGGGUUUCCCCUCCACCCGUUCGUUCCCGGCAUCAUGUAUUAUUAUGGGAUCGAUCUUCACAAUCUGUCCCCUAAUUCCUUCCUCAACAUCUCGACAUUCAUUGUCGUGUGCGAGGCUUUUCUCCGCAUCUCGCCACAUUUUGGCUUAUGGCUGAAGAUUUUUAAUGUGAAGCCCAAGGUAGUGGGUGGCGAGCACGCCGAGUGUGGGGGCGCUAUGGUGAGCAAGAUGCCCAACGUUACAUGGCCAACAGGCACCUUUAACGAUUCUGUCAAGGAGUGGCAACAGCAGUGGUUUUACAUCACCGAGCCGCGCGGCAUGGAAUGGGCCGCUACUCCCGAGUUUGGAUCCAGUGCCCCCCUGCGGCUUACAUCCUGGGUCAAGAAGGGCCUGAACUGGUCCUCGUCCGACGAAUUGUCGGUGCUCCAGACGCGUAUUAAAGAUAUGGGAGACAAGAACAUUGAACUUGUCAAUGUGGUCCAGGUGAUGUUACUUCGCCGGAUCUUGCCUUGUCAACACCAGACUUGCAAUCUAUGGGAAUUCGAUCCGGCCAAGCACCAAACCUUGCGAGAGCUUUUUGGAUCCUCGCACAAGGACAUCUGGAAGGUGCUCUUCAAGUCCAGCAAAUCGUGGCCGGACUCCGGCGAAGACCGCGGGUACCAACUGUCCCGCCCUGCAAGUUCGGUAAGUAAUCGUACUUUUUAUCCGCAUAACCCAAGGGAAGCGCUUAAUGUGUUUUCUACAACUCUCCUACGACUGGACGAAGAAGGCGGAGCGGAUCCAUUGUCCGGCCCCACUGCCCGAAGAACCGGCCGUCCCACUUCUGACGAAGAUGCUGGUCCCGACGCCUUACAAGGUGUCGAAGAAGACGGCCGAGAAGGGGGCCAAGAAGACCCGGGCCGGCCUUCGUCACCGCGGCACUUCGGAUACAAUAUCCGAAGGCUCUGAUGCCCGUUCCGCCUCCGAAGAGGACGACGAGGAGGAAGAAGAUGAAUCCCCUGCGGGGGAAAGAAAGAAGAGGACGGCCACCGCACACUUGGAGGCCGAGUCGCCCAAAAGGGGAAAAGCUCCUCUUCCGGAGGAGUCCAUUGCCGCCGCCGACAGCGGCCCGGCGUGGGAUCCCAAGGCCCAGCCCCUGGUGAACCCGUGAGUAUAUACAGUCCUAACACAUUUAUGCGUCCAGACUCAUCAUGGCGUAAUAUUUUAACCUGAGCCAUAUGUUUUGUAGUCCGGCGAGGUCCCGUAGCGAACAAUCCUCAUCAGAGGAUUCGCUGAGCUCAGAUGCUAUGGAAAGCGGGACGCCCCCGAAGGCCCCUUCCUUCGAACAGGUGACUACCACCGAGGCUUCGUCCCAGAGGGACCCCGGCCAAGGAGGAGAGGAAAAGACCGUGAAGGCGGCGCCUGAAGGUCAAACUUCAGGGGCCGAACACAUGGGGGAGCAAAUUCCCACGGGAGCUGACGGCGGGGGCCAUCUUGAAUUUGGCUCCCAGCCGGAUGCAGUUCCGAAGACCAAUACGGCUCCAGAAUCAAGCAGGCAGCCUCUUUCAACUGGAGGGGGUAUACCGGCAACCUUUGUCCAACCAGAGGCAUCGGAUGCUUUGUUGGUGGCGCUGAAGAGCGCCUCCAUUGUCGAUGAACACCGUGCCCUUAUGGGUGCUGUGAUUGAGAAGAUCCAGUCUGCUGAGAGUGGACUGAAUGGAGCCUGUAUCAGCCUUAUAAAAGGUUUUGAGGUAUGUUUUUCGAAGAGUGUCAUAGUAUGGAUAGUAGCCCCUGAUACACUAUUCGGUGAAAGAAGAAACCGGACAGAGGAUCAAAUUUAUGUUCACAGGAAGACUCAUUGAAUGACAUCUAUUUCUCUUCUGUUAUAAGCAGGCGUCUGUAGCGGCUGUUGCCUCCCAUACUGCGGAAAUCCUCGGACUGAAUCAAAGUUUGGAGCGGGCCAAAGAAGAACUUGGCCAGUUGAAAAUGAAGUUGGGAGAUAAACAGGGUAUGCACAAGUCUUGUUCGCGUUUAGUCCGAUCAAUUUUCCAGUAUUAUAGAAUAUGUUCCCUGAUUUUCUCUAGGGAUGAUGACCGAAGUCGAGGCUCUUAAGAAGGCUGUGGCCAAGGCCGAGGAAAAGGCAGCCGCAGAGCAGGCCCUCCGUGAGAAGUGCUAGGCCAGGGUUAUUAAAGCUGAGCAGGAGUUGCAACAGGCCGUGAAGAAAUGCGAGACCUUGGAGCAGAGUUUAACGGAGAAAGAAUCCAAACUCACCAGGGCGCAUCAGGCCGCGAGCGAUGCCCGGGGGGAAACCCAAAGCGCCCUGCGGGGAUCCAAGAGGCGAGGAAGAUCGCGGCGGGUAAGGCUUUUUCCUUGUAAAGCAAGUUUUUGAGGAGAAGAUUAUGUUUCUGAUUUUGAACUCGGAUUUCUCCAGGGGUAUUUGCGGAGCUGCCCCGCAGCAUAGCGGAUGCUGCCCAAUUCUACCGGACCAAAGAAAGGAACACUGCGUAUAAGCUCUUCUGGUCGCAGUAUUUGGCACCGAAUUAUCUGGUGCCUUUUAUCGAUCAACUGAAACAGUUGAUCGAACUGCAUAAGGUGGUGGAACUAGCCAUGAAGAAUUUGAUUAUCCGGCUAAGGCCCGCCGAGCUGAUUCCAAGCAGCUACUUCGGGCUCGUGAAGCAGCUUGUAAGCGCUUGCUCCCGACUUGAUGUCAUCAAGCGGUCGGUCUGCAUAGAGGGUGCACGAAUGGCCUUCGCCCACGCAAAGGUGCACUGGGGGAAAAUGGAUGCUGAGAAGCUGAUGACCGAGGGGCCGCCAGAGGGGAAGGAGCACCGCAAGCCCGAAUUAUAUUAUGAAAAUGUCCUUAAAGGAUCCUACCUUGCAGCGGAGCUAUGCACCAAGGACAUUAUAUUUCCAUGAAUGCGAAGCAUGUCGUCCUUUGUAAAUGUCUGAACAGGGUCAUUUAUACUAUUUAUUUCCUGUUAUAUAAAAGUUUACCCUCCUGUGCGUUCGUUUUAUAUGUUGAACCUGAGAGUUGGCCAGUCGUCGGCUUCUGCCCCCACGUAAGAAGUACGAGGUGUUCGGGAUAUACCUGAGCACUCUUUAUCCCAGUUUUUGGGUCCUUCAAAGGAGGUGCUCAGCACAACGAACCAGGCAAUCGGACUAUAGGGCUUUAUCACUCUCACUUAGCCAUAGGAGCUUUAGUAAGGUAGGCGCAGCCCCUGGUGUUUGGAAUACCGUACUAGGGGCUCUAUAAGCACCUGAUCGGAGAAAAAACGAUCCAUCGCACGCUGCAUUGGUUAUGGCAUUAUGCGGGAGAAAUCCUUAAAGAUUUUAUGACCUCUCGAACAGCUGACCAGCUCUCGCCGUAUCAUGACAGUCAGUUUUCGGCUUUCUCUACUGAGGUGCUCGUCCGGAAGAACCGGGACACAAUCGCAGUAGUUCUCCCAGUGCUACCUUAGCCGAUAUAGCGGAACGUAAGGUACCAAAACAUGGGAGCCGGGCAAACCCAACUAUUGACCCAAGACAUGAUUCGGAGCUAAUGCAUAUAAUGCUAUAAGUUCGGGGUGCCGAACUUCCACGAAGGUGUUCGGACAUUAUUGCCGUAUUGUGGGUAAAACGAAGCCCCUGGCACGUUUAAAGGCAUAUCGCGGCGUACGGAUGCCACUCGACAAAAGAGUUUUAAUAAGAAUUGACAGCAGAGAAGCGUUAUACAAAUCCACAUAUUUUAUUUGAAUAGUACGUCGAUGCGUAUAAGACAGGUAAUAAUGGAAAAGAAAUAUGACUGUGGCACCUGCUGAGACAAGGGGGGACGAAGCUGCAUGCGGAUCCGGAGUAUUGCCCGUCCUGGUCGACGCAAAGGUGAGCCUGUAAAUGAAAUGUAAGAAAUGUUUGUGUGCCAGAGAGCAGUUGAGCCGCUGUAUGCGGCCUAUCUUGGCCUUCGCCGGAGUGUUUAAUUGAGCUCUGGAGGAGCCGGGCUAUGCUGCCGCGAAGUAGUUCGAAGUCCUUUGGCGGUAUCGGGAGCCUGGCCGUCGACUCGAGGUUCAGCUGCAAGGUGCUGCUCAUUGCUUUUGCUGUUAAGGCAGCGGUGUACUUGUUGCUGCCGGAGGAAAGGUCGGCCUUGCCCUUAACCAUGAUGACGCCGCGUGGACCGGGCAUCUUGAGCUUACGGUAGGCGUAAUGUGGCACCGCGUUAAAUCGAGCGAACGUGGUUCGUCCGAGCAGUGCCUGAUAAUCACUGCGGAAGGGGACGAUUUCGAAGGUUAACUCUUUGGUGCGGUAAUUGUCUGGUGAUCCGAAGACUACCUCGAGGGCAAUGGAGCCUGUACAACUGGCUUCCACACCUGGUAUAAUGCCUUUGAAAGUGGCUGUAGUGGGUUUGAUCAUCGAAUGAUCGAUGCCCAUCUUGCGCAGUGUGUCCUGAUAAAGUAGGUUUAGACUGCUGCCUCCGUCCAAAAGGACUCGUGUGAAGCAGAACCCGUUAAUUAUUGGGUCAAGGACUAGUGCGGCUGGAUUGCCCUGAUUGGCGUUGACCGGACGAUCUGUGUGGUUGAAAGUGACCGGCCCUAGUGUAUAUUGUGGGACGGCUGUUUCCGUUAAGUCGGCAUUCCUAGGGGUGCGUGUCGGGUCCGGUUUGGGAAUUUGGGUGGUGUUUACCACGUUCACCGUUUGGAUUUGCGGGGGAAAUUUCUUUUGCCCUCCUGUGUUCGGUGAUCUGGGCUCUUCGUCGCCAUCAUCGCUUUGAGACCCCCCUUUAUUGUUUUUCGCGCCUGCCCUGCCGGCUUGUUUGAAGACCCAGCAUUCUCUAUUAGUAUGGGUGGCUGGCGUCCCUGGGGUGCCAUGAAUUUGGCAUUGACGAUCGAGUAUGCGGUCCAAACUGGACGGACCCAAAUUGUUAUUUUUGAGGGGCCCUUUCCGCUGACCGGACUUUGAGCCACUAAACCUGGCAUUAACUGCCGUAUCUUCGGCAUUUUAACCAUGUUUGCGGCGCUUGUUUUUGUUGCGUCGUGGUUUGCCGUUGCUAUCCCUGGCCUCUGAUGAGCCAGGUUUGCUUGCUGUGUUGUUACUACGAGCCAACCAGCAAUCUUCGUCCGCACAAAAGCGGGUCAUAAGUGUUGUGAGGGCUGCCAUGGUUUUUUCGCUUCUCUUGACCGAGGUGCCGGGCGAGCCACUCGUCACGGAUGUUAUGCUUAAAUGCCGCUAAGGCCUCUGCAUCCGGACACUCAACAAUUUGGUUCUUCUUAGUUAGGAACCGGGUCCAGAAUUUCCUAGCCGAUUCCCCUGGCUGCUGAGUUAUAUGACUUAAAUCGUCAGCAUCUGGCGGUCGCACAUAAGUGCCCUGGAAAUUGUCCAGGAAUGCAUCUGCCAGGCUCUCCCAACUUCCGAUGGAGUUUGCCGGCAAGCUAUUCAGCCAAUGCCGAGCCGGCCCUUUGAGUUUUAGCGGGAGGUACUUGAUGGCGUGUAGGUCGUUCCCGCGGGCCAUGUGAAUGUGGAGGAAGAAACCCUCUAUCCAUACCGCGGGGUCUGUAGUACCAUCAUAUGAUUCAAUGUUCAUGGGUUUAAACCCUUCUGGGAAUUCAUGAUCCAUUACUUCAUUAGUGAAGCAUAGGGGGUGUGCGGCGCCUCUGUGCCGGGCUAUGUCACGACACAGUUCAUGCGAGUCUUGUCUGCUGUAUUCGGCCCGGCCGGACUUGCUUUUAGUGUAUCCGGCGUGACGAUCACCGUCACGCGUUGGGGCGCGACCCCGUGAUCCGUAGAUCGAUCUUGUAUGUCCUGCUUUGUUUCCCAAUACGUCUCGCAGUUCCCACGUGUUGCCCCGGGCCUUGGUGUUUUUGUUUGUCUGGCGACGGGGUGCGGGCUGGACUUCGGGCUGAUAUGCCCCUCUGUCUCGGCCACGAGGAGGCCGAUCAGACGCAUCAUACUCGGGUUUUAAUGCUUCCUCCUCGAGUUGGGGUAGCAACCUGCGCUUUGGGUAACUCUUUGUUGGGCGUUCGAGUUCGUAUUCCUCGGCCGCCAGGACUUCAGUCCAUCUAUCCGCUAACAGAUCUUGAUCAGCUUGAAGCUGUUGUUGCUUUUUCUUCAGGCUGUUUGCUGUUGCUAUAAGCCGGCGCUUGAAGCGCUCUUGCUCGACGGGAUCCUCAGGCACGAUAAAUUCGUCGUCACCGAGGCUCACCUCGUCUUCGGAGAGAGGCAUGUAAUUGUCAUCCUCUGAUUCUCCGUCAGCUGCCUGUUCCGGAGGACUAGCUUGUUCAUCCUCCCGCUCGAGGUCUGGCUGGAGGGGAUUAUCGUCGUCUUCGGCACUAUCCGGAGCGUUAUUGUCUCUUGUGACGGUAUCGUUGUUUUUGCUAUGGCGGGACUUAGAGCGGCGCCGCUGACGUCGGUGCUUGGAUUGCUUCUUGGAGGGGUUAUCCUCCGCUGUCUUAUCGCCAUCGCCUUCUUUGGGGGUGUCUACCAUGUAUAUGUCAUAUGAUGAGGUGGCAGUCCAGCGCCCUGUGGGCGGUGGUUCUUGUUCGUCUCCUGCAUCGUCGUCCAUACUGUGGAUGUCUUCGGAGCCGAAGUCGAGCAUGUCGGUUAAAUCGUCGACAGUGGCUACUAAGUGGGUGGUGGGUGGGGAGCGAAUUUCUUCGUCGUUCGCAUCCGAUUCUAGCCGGACAUAGUUCGGCCAAGGGUCUCCUGGCAGGGAGAGAGACCUCAAUGAGUUUAGCACGUCGCCGAAGGGCGAGUGCUGAAAGAUAUCCGCGGAGGUAAACUCCAUGAUCGGUGCCCAAUCGGAUUCGAUAGGCACAGACGCAGGCGGCUCAGGGCCCAUGGCCGGGGACGAAUCCAACGGUUCGGCAACACGGGUCUCGUAGGAGGUGAAGUCAGUAUUCGGUUCUGUCGCCACUGAUUGCGCGGCCUCCGAGGCGGGGUCCAUCCACCCGUCCUCAGAUGGCGCAAUUUGUUCCGGAUUGAGGGCCGGAGUAGUUGCAGGUGUGAUCUCCCGAACACUGUCCGACGACAGAGCUAAAUCAUGCUCGUCGUGACUGUGCGGCGCACCUCACAUGGGCCCGAAUCCGUCAAAGAUCAAGUCUCCGCGGAUGUUGGCAGUAUAGUUCAAGUUUCCAAACCUGACCUGAUGGCCAGGGGCGUAGCUCUCGAUCUGCUCCAGAUGGCCAAGCGAGUUGGCCCGCAGUACGAAGCCGCCGAAUACGAAGAUCUGUCCGGGGAGGAAAACCUCACCCUGGAUCGCAUCGUCGCCGAUGAUCGAAGGAGCCAUCAAGCCUUACGGUGAUGGCACAGUGGAACUCUCAAUGAAAGCACCAAUGUCGGUGUCAAAACCGGCGGAUCUCGGGUAGGGGGUCCCGAACUGUGCGUCUAAGGCGGAUGGUAACAGGAGGUGGGGGACACAUCGUUUACCCAGGUUCGGGCCCUCUCAAUGGAGGUAAUACCCUACUUACUGCUUGAUUGAUCUUGAUGAUAUGAGUAUUACAAGAGUUGAUCUACCACGAGAUCGUAGAGGCUAAACCCUAGAAGCUAGCCUAUGGUAUGAUUGUUGUUGUCCUACGGACUAAACCCUCUGGUUUAUAUAGACACCGGAGGGGGCUAGGGUUACACAGAGUCGGUUAGAAGGGAGGAGAUCUACAUAUCCGUAUUGCCAAGCUUGCCUUCCACGCGAAGGAGAGUCCCAUCCGGACACGGGACGAAGUCUUCAAUCUUGUAUCUUCAUAGUCCAACCGUCCGGCUAAAGUAUAUAGUCCAGCUGUCCGAGGACCCCCUAAUCCAGGACUCCCUCAUGGGGCGAAACUAAAACUCGGGGCCCUUAAUAUAGACAUCGUAAUAAUAACAAUGAAAUAUGUAUAUAUGGUAUAUUAUCAGUAACAAUUAAAUAAAUUCAAAAUUAGUAUGCGAAUCAAAUAAUUUAUACAUAUUACAUUAAAACUUUCUUCUACAUUCCUUGAUGCAAAGUCACUUAUGAUAGGGUCAAAGCCAAUCUCAUCCAAUAUUUUUUUCUCGAUGCAAAAUGCAGCAAAGGCAUUUAACCUCUCCCGAGUCAUUGUUGACCUCAAAUAAUUCUUCAAUAAUUUCAACUUCGAAAAGCUUCUUUUGGCCGAAGCGACUGUGAUAGGCAAAGUAAAUACGAUGAGAUAAGCAAUGGAGAUAUUAGAAUAGCAAUCAACUUUUCUGACAUGCUUGAAAAUCUCCAUAGCAGACACUACAAUAGAAGAUCUUACAAGAGAAGCAAAAAACUUUGUCGAGAUCUUUUGAAUAAACUAGCCACUUUCUAUCAUGUUUCUCUCUAUUGCUUAAUUUCCUAUGAUAAUGAGCAUAUGAAAAAUGUCUUCCUGCUUCAUCUACAUGGUAUUCCAUUUUUUCCUCUCUCACAGCCCUUUCUCAACUAGAAUGUCUCUUGAUUUAGUAUCAAGAUUAUCCAAUUGCUUGGAUCAUAAAUAUUACACGAGUAUGAACUGUUGUUCAUUAAGACUAGCAGACUAUGCAUGUGCAUCCGAUGAAUUACGUACAUUCUCAAAGCCACGCUUACACUGUUACCACCGAUGUUUGUGUCGACAUUUUCUACUCCCUGGCCAUAUUCUGAAUUCCCAAUAGGUUACUGCUCUUCCUCUAUGGCAACCAUCGCCAACUCAUCAUCGUGCUUUAUUGAAGCAGUGGAAGCACCAAUUUUAGUCCUGAGAAAUUUUUGCAUAUCUCCAUGUUGUGAUUGUACCAAUCUAUCCACGGCCUUCUUUAUUUUCCUUUUAUCGCUACCUGAUGCAUAUGUCUUGUUUCCUUUACAACAUGAUAACACACAAUGCUGGAAAAGAAUGUUGCCUCAAUUAGUGAACUGUACCGGCUUAUGCAUCAAGGAACAGCAAUAUGAUAUACUACCUGAUGGUCGAGUCGGUGACGAGCGUUAGUGCAUGUGCCAAGUGCCAACAUAGAAUUGCAGAUGGGGGUCCGUGGAAUUGAAAUCAGCGGCAGACUAGAUUAGACGUGUUCCUAACUACCUAUACAGAACUACAGAUGGGGGCCCUAGGAACUGAAAUCAGCAGCUAAUUAGGAAGGAAAUUACGAGGAUGCAGGAGGGAGGAGGCGGCAAUACGAACGUCGGGCGGCGGCGGCUUAGGGCUCGAAUAGCUGCGCCUGCAUGAUUGCCUUGAUGGAAUUGGAAAGGUUCGCGUAGAUCGCUCCUUUUUCACGUGAAGGACUCGCUCCCGGCUGAAUCGAUCGCUGGGGGUGGGCGAUCGGCCUGCUGCUUGCUGCGCUCGUACGUGAAAGCCCAGCACCCAGCCAUUUUUUUCCUGACAUAGGCCCAUAACCUACUUAGGCUUAGUCAGGGGCCCCUGGAUUUUGGGGACCCGGGGNNNNNNNNNNNNNNNNNNNNNNNNNNNNNNNNNNNNNNNNNNNNNNNNNNNNNNNNNNNNNNNNNNNNNNNNNNNNNNNNNNNNNNNNNNNNNNNNNNNNNNNNNNNNNNNNNNNNNNNNNNNNNNNNNNNNNNNNNNNNNNNNNNNNNNNNNNNNNNNNNNNNNNNNNNNNNNNNNNNNNNNNNNNNNNNNNNNNNNNNNNNNNNNNNNNNNNNNNNNNAAUGAAAACCAAAGGAAAAUAAAAAAUUGAUUUAAAAAAAAAACAAAUGAAUUAGUGACAUCGCUAUUUCCCUUUAAGAAGAAGAAGAAAAUACAAAAUUUUAAAAAUACUAGCACACAACUUUAAGAACUGGAAAAUGAAGUUUUCAAAGGAAUAAGGAAUUUGUGGCCUUGAUAUUACUAGUUUGAUUAUUUUUUUAAUUUUCAAGGAUGGAUGAAUUAGCGUCAUUGGUAUUGCCUUUCAAGAAGAAGAAAAUUAAUUUAAGUAUGCCGAAUAAUUACAAAAUUUUCACACAUUUUACACAAAAAUUGCCUUUCUUAAUAUGAAUGAAAUAAGCAUGUAAUGUGAAACUUUUGAAAAAAAAGUUUCCUAACAAGUAAUGUAUUACUCCCUCCGUCCCAUAAUAUAAGAACGUUUUUGACACUAAUGUAGUGUCAAAAACACUCUUAUAUUAUGGGACGGAGGGAGUACCAUUUAAGAUAAACAAAAGCAUCACAUAACUUUGCACUUCAAUUGCACUGCAAUGAAUAAUUAUAUAUAAUAGUGCAACUUUCACAUAUAUUUUAUAGUAUUUAUGUGUAUCCAUUUACACUCAGCCAACAUCCCAAAAAUAUCCACAACAAUAAAAAUAGUAAAAUCAACUAAUAAAAAAAGGAAAAUCAAAAGAAAAACGCAUAGAAACAGAAAACAGAAUACAUAAAGGGAGAGAAAGAAAGGCUGAGGAGUCAGAUGGGCUAGAUAGAGGCAGCCCAUGAACGAAUUGCAAGGGUCAGAAAAUUAUGGGACGGUCAGAAACAUGACAAACCACACAAUAGAAAAAAAAGAGAGCAUGAAUCUUAUGACAAUCAACGGUCAGAAAAUCAACUGACCCAAAUUCAAUUUUCAGGCGACUUAAAUCUAUAUAUGUACCUACUAAUAAAGGGGUUAACAUUUCUUACCUUCGUAAUUUCGUCCGUUAUUGGUCCGUCGUCGUCCGGUGUCUAUGUUUCGUACGUAGUCGUCCGAUUUCCUAUCCGGUGUGCGACUUUGGACAUCACAUGGGCCAGGAUUUAAAUUUCUAUUAUGGGCCGCUAAAAAAUAGCUUGAUGUGCUAAAAUUUUGGACUCCUUUUGAAAUUAAUAGCCCCACCCUGCUCUUUUAGAUCAAAUCCUAGCAACUUAUAUAUGUUCCCGAAUUGCAAGAAUCAAACAAGCCAAGGCCAGAAAGCGAGACCUACCGUAUAUAUCAAUCACCAACAAAGAAAAACAUCUCUGAGGAAGGCUCACAGAUCCAUAUAAGACCGAUCAAAGAGGAGAAAGGCACAUGAAAUUGAGUGGGAGGAGAGACGGAGCCGAUCUGAGCCAAUUUGAAGGAAAUAGAGAUGGCAACCUGCAACCUACUAGAAAGUGGUUCCAACUAGGAGGAGAGACAGAGUGGUCGUCGGCCAUUGGUGCUGGAGCUGGUGCGGCGGUGGACUCGAGCGGGAGGAGAGACAGAGUGGUCGUCGGCCAUUGGUGCUGGAGCUGGUGCGGCGGUGGACUCGAGCGGGAGGAGAGACAGAGUGGUCGUCGACCAUUGGUGCUGGAGCUGGUGCGGCGGUGGGCUCGAGCGGGAGGAGAGACAGAGCCGAUCUAAAGAAGCGGAAAAAGGGUACGAGGGUNNNNNNNNNNNNNNNNNNNNNNNNNNNNNNNNNNNNNNNNNNNNNNNNNNNNNNNNNNNNNNNNNNNNNNNNNNNNNNNAAUCACCAACAAAGAAAAACAUCUCUGAGGAAGGCUCACAGAUCCAUAUAAGACCGAUCAAAGAGGAGAAAGGCACAUGAAAUUGAGUGGGAGGAGAGACGGAGCCGAUCUGAGCCAAUUUGAAGGAAAUAGAGAUGGCAACCUGCAACCUACUAGAAAGUGGUUCCAACUAGGAGGAGAGACAGAGUGGUCGUCGGCCAUUGGUGCUGGAGCUGGUGCGGCGGUGGACUCGAGCGGGAGGAGAGACAGAGUGGUCGUCGACCAUUGGUGCUGGAGCUGGUGCGGCGGUGGGCUCGAGCGGGAGGAGAGACAGAGCCGAUCUAAAGAAGCGGAAAAAGGGUACGAGGGUGGCCGUCAGUUGCUGGAGCGACAACGACCUCGAGCGGGCCGGGCCAGCUCCACUACAGAAGAGCCGACCAUGGCCGGGUGGAGGGGAGUACCUUCCCUGUGGCGCACGGGUGUGUAACCCGCGCCAUGGCCGGAUGAGGGGGGAUCCGGCGACAUGCGGGGGUGGGGAGUGCGCGAGACGCGCGGAGGGAAGGAUCUCGACGCUGGUCGAGCUGGGGGCGGGAUCCCGGAGAAACUGAGGAGAUAAAGCUGCAACAAUGCAAUCCAUAUUAAUUAAUCUGCUGAUGUGGCAUGCUUUUUCACUAGCCAUCAAUGGAUUGAUCUACAAUGUUGUAACAUUUCUAUGCUUCCUAAAUUUUAUCCUGGAAAAAUGUGACACUAGCUACACAUGCACCGUCAUUAAUUAACUCACUCAUGCUUAUUUGAAACUAUGUUUAGGGAUACCACGUCACAAUAGUACUAUUUAAAUAAAAGAAUAUAGUGAACAAAAAUAACCUUCUUUAGUAAACUAGCUUACUUUCUUAAACAAAGAUAAUUACAGAAGUUGUUAUAUCCUACCACGAUGAUUUAAAGACAUUAAUAAUUUUAUGUACGAUAGCAUUAACUUUACUUAGUGAUAAUCAUCUAAAAGGAGCUAGACAGAAUACUUCAAAUUUUGAGUCCAUAGAUUGUGUAUGUGAGUUCUUUAUGACUAAUACAUUAUCAAUAAUGUUGAGUUCAUGGAUUAUACACACUCUCACCCUUCCACCAUUGCUAGCCUCUCUAGUACCUUGCAAUUUUCGCCGGUACCAUACACGCACCAUACACCUUCUUCAAAACAGCAACCAUACCUACCUAUUAUGACAUUUCCAUAGAUAUUCCGAGAUAUAUUGCCACGCAACUUUCCACCGUUCCGUUUAUUAUGACACACUUCUGAAGGAAAUAUGCCCUAGAGGCAAUAAUAAAGUUGUUAUUUAUAUUUCCUUAUAUCAUGAUAAAUGUUUAUUAUUCAUGCUAAAAUUGUAUUAACUGGCAACUUAGAAAAUGUGUGAAUACAUAGACAAACAGAGUGUCUCUAGUAUGCCUCUACUUGACUAGCUCGUUAAUCAAAGUGAAGGAAAUAUAACCUAGAGGCAAUAAUAAAGUUAUUAUUUAUUUCCUUAUAUCAUGAUAAAUGUUUAUUAUUCAUGCUAGAAUUGUAUUAACCGGAAUCUUAGUACUUGUAGCGACCCGACCCGGUAAGAGUCGAAGUCUCUGUGCUUACCGUGCUAGUCCCUGGAUCGACUUGCUGGCACACACAGUACUCGAUGAGAUAACAGAAAUAACACACAUCUCUUUAUUACAUUGAUAGUCCAGGAGCAAUACAUUUAUUACAAAAUAGGGCAUAGAUCCAAUAAAAAAAUACUGCGGAAGCAAAGUAGUAAAUGAGUCCAACUCCAUGAGCAAGGUUGAGUCUAGAACAUCGACCUAUCGCACCUUAAUCCUCGUCGGAUAUAUCUGCAACGUGAUAAGUUGCAGCCAUAUAGGUCAGUACAUUGAAUGUACUGGCAAGUCACAUCAUAAGUGUAAUGAACCUACUUGUACAUGCAAUUUGGCUGGUGGAAAGCUCUAAGUAUAGUUUUUGCAUAAAGCUAGUUUUUCCCUAUUAGAAAAGAUGUUAUUCUACUACUACACAUUUGCAUAGGAUGAGCUGGCAAACCCAACUCCAUCCAUUCCCAAGUUUCGUUUAAAACCCAACUGUUUAAUGAAAGGUGAGGAGAUCUCCCAGCAUUUCCACUACUAGAUGCUCAACUUGUCCGUAACCGGGGACACGGCUAAUCGAUUAGGUUGACACUCUGCAGAGGUUGCGCACUUUUCCCCACAAGACUCGACCACCUCCAUGAUUGGAAGAUCGAGACACGGCCGGUACACCUACAUCAUUCUACAUCUGCUAGCCCAUCCAGGAAGGGGUCAUACUAACUACUCAACUAAGCCAGAGCCCAUAUUGGCUUGUGCCUGCACACAUAAGCUUCUAGACAUGAGAAUACGAUUGAUCUCUUUGAGCCUGAGCGGACGGUCCACUAGUGGUGCACCACCAUGGAUUACCCAUGCGUGCCCCACUGUACUUCGCCACCAUUCCAACAAGUUUCCGCCCAGGUAGUUCAUUAAUUAUCUUAGGUCCUAUUUACUACAUUGUCACUCAUACUUUACAAUGAUCACUCCCCAAUCCAUGUCUACUUAGCGAAGCAACAUAAUGUAAAACGAUGGCGACAAUGUUAUAAGGUUCAGACCUACCUCAAUGAACUACUGGGUGAAAAGCACAGUCAUACGGCAUCAAUUCCUACCAUGCAGUCCUACCGCAAAGAACUAAGUGCAUAAUAAAAACAUAGGUAAUGAAACAUGAUCAAGAUGCAACUUGCCUUGGUACUGCUAGUUGAAUUCUAAAGACUGAUAAUAUUCUGCUUCGCACUCCGGGCAAUCUAUCGCAAAGAAGAUAAACAAACAUAAGCAAACAUUUCAGAGAACCAAGAAGAACAUGCAAAGAAAAAAGUCUCGGAAAAACCAAAUGAACAAACAACACACUUAACUAGCACAAAAAUAUUCUAAGUGCAAAACCACAUGGGCCUAUGGUUCAAGAAGUGAUGUGAACUAUAGUGCAUACUAUGCAUACUAGUAAAAAUAUUAAUGGACAGAUUCUAGUGUGUGAAAAUUAUUGUGACAAAGGUCCAGGUGAUAGGGUUUGGCUACGGUGACAAAUUGCGAAAAGAAUCAACUUAAUCGGAGCUUCGGUUUGGGAGAUAUGGUCAUUUGAGCUUCGAAUUCGAAUCUGAAUAAAUUCAAAUUUGAAUCGGACAGAAGUUUACAAAAAGAAUACCACUAGAUAGAUCUAAACAUGACGAAGAAUUUGCUGCAGGUUUCAUCGAGUUUGGAUCUACGGUUAAAAAGUUGCGGCUACUCGAAGUUCAUGGACUAAUCUGCUAAUUAUAGGGACUAAACAGAGAAGAAAACUAUCGCAACCAAGUCCCUGACCACGUGGCGGCUCCUGGCUGGCCGAGCAGCGUCCGCUGCGGAGGCUAUACGGCGAACGGCCGCUAAAUAGAAAAAAAACGGCGACGGCUAACUAAAGAAAAACCGACGCUCGGUUUAAAUAAAACCGCAUGGUCUAAGGGAACCGCGGUUAACCGCGUACCUCUUCGCAAAAUAAAAAAACGAACCUAAUCUAAUCUGGGCCAUCGGUGAUCGAUCUAACGGGUGGGAGUGGGGCGGCGGCUUACAGCGGCUGGCGACGUCGGCGGUGAGCAGAGGACGGCGGCGCGGCGUCGGGCGUUGGCGGGGCAGCGGCUACGGCGGUCCUCGGCGUCGGGGAAGGAGACGAGGAGGUGCGGCGCGGCGUGGGCAUCCGGAUGGUGGUGUCAGGGCUCCUCAGGGGCGUCGGGGAUCGGCGAGACGAAGGCGGCGACGCUCCGUGGGCUCCGGCGAGGUCGGGCGUCGUCUGCGGCGGGACCUUGGCGAGGAAAAGGUGUCAAAAAUACGAGCAAGUUCACGGUGGCACGAUUGACGAAGGAACGAGGGCUCGGGGUGGUUUACUGGCAGUGGAAUGCUCCGGCGAGGUCCGUUCGGCCGGCGAGAUCCAUGCGGCGACUGCAGGCGGUAGGAGCGGCGUGGGAAGAAGCGGGACGGCGAGGAUGGAAGAGGGGGUUCGGGGGCAUUUAUAGGCGCGGUCAGGAGGCGCAGCUGCCGUGGAUAAGCAUUAUCCGAGCGCGAGGCGGCGGGCGGUUGCGGGCGGCGAGGCGCGGAUGUUUAUCCCGCGGGCUGCAGGAGGUUGGGGACGAGCUGACGAGCGGGGCCCGUCUGGCAGUGGCAGCGGCGGUAGUGAGCGAGAGGGGGCUCGGGCAGUCGACCGUGCGGAAGGCGUCGGGCGCUGGGGUGCUGGGGCACUGGCCUUGGGCCAAAUGGCCAGCUGGGCCGGUUGGGGCGCUCCUGCCGAACCCAGUUUCGGUCCAGGCUGCGGUGAGUGCGUGCGUGCGUUUUUUUAAACCGAAGACUAAAGUGGCCCUAAACAAUUCAAAUGAAUUAAUAAAAACACCACAAUAAUUUCUAAAAUAACUAUACAAUAUUUAGAACCUAAUGAACAUUAACUUAAGCACAUAACAUUUUGAAAAUAAUGCAAUUAAUGCACUUUUUGCAAAUAAAAUAAAUACCAACAAACUCCAAAACUUCAAAUAAUAUUCAACAUAAAAUUCCCACUCUUUUAUAUUUUGAGGAAGUCAUCUUAUCCCCUCUCAUUUGUUUUUCUCGAGUGGAAAAAUAUUAUUUAAAUAUUUCAAAACUCCAAAAUGCAAAGAAAUAUGAUAUGCAUUGAAUGAUUCUAUUAACAUCCAAAUUUAAUAAAAAUUGGGAUGUUACAAACCUACCCCCCUUAAGAUGAAUCUCGUCCUCGAGAUUUGUGUUGGCCAGCAAAAAGGUGUGGACGGUCUUGUCUAAGAUCUUCCUCUCGUUCCCAAGUGGCUUCCUCGUCAGUGUGGUGACUCCACUGAACCUUGCAGAACUUCAUCAUCUUGGUACGAGUGAUUCUCUCUACAGUCUCAAGAAUCUUAACUGGCUUCUCCUCAUAAGUCAGAUCGCUCUCCAACUGAAUUGCCUCCAGUGGCACUGUAUCUCUCAAAGGGAUCUCUGCCAUCUCUGCAUGACACUUCUUCAACUGGGAAACAUGAAACACAUCAUGAACUCCUCACAAAGCCUCUGGUAAUUCCAACUGGCAUGCAACCUCUCCUCUGCGUUCCAGAACUCUGUAUGGCCCCACAAAUCGUGGUGCUAACUUUCCCUUGACUCCAAAUCUCUUAAUACCUUGAAGUGGAGAAACUCGAAGAUAUGAUCUAUCUCCCACUUCAUAGGUCACUUCCUUGCGUUUAGCAUCAGCAUAACUCUUCUGCCUUGACUGAGCUAUCUUAAAUCUGUCACGAAUCAACUUGACCUUCUCCUCAGAAUCCCUGAUCAAAUCAGGUCCAAACAAUUUGCGAUCUCCAACUCCAUUCCACAUCAAAGGUGUCCUGCAUUUCCUGCCAUACAAUGCCUCGAAAGGGGCCAUCUGCAAACUGGCUUGAUAGCUGUUGUUGUACGAAAACUCUGCAUAGGGUAAGUUAUCAUCCCAACUAGACCCAUAGUCUAGCGCACAAGCUCUCAACAUGUCCUCCAGAAUCUUAUUGACUCUCUCUAUCUGCCCAUCAGUUUGCGGAUGGAAGGCUGUACUGAACUCUAGCCUAGUACCCAAAGUUUCGUAUAACUGUUUCCAAAACUUUGAGGUAAACUGUGUUCCUCUAUCUGAUACGAUGCUCCUCGGAACUCCAUGCAGACAUACGAUCCUGGUCAUAUAUAUCUUUGCCAGCUUAGCACUUGUAUAGGUGGUCUUCACUGGAAUGAAGUGAGCAACCCUAGUCAAACGAUCAACUAUCACCCAAAUGGAAUCAUAACCUGAACGAGUCCUGGGUAACCCCGUGAUAAAGUCCAUACCAAGUUUAUCCCAUUUCCAAUCAGGUAUAUGCAACGGCUGAAGUAAACCUGCUGGUUUCUGAUGCUCCGCCUUUACUCUCUGACAUACAUCAAAUAUUGCCACAUACUCGGCAAUUUCUCGCUUCAUACCGGCCCACCAAAAACUUUCCUUCAAGUCCAAGUACAUCUUGGUGUUGCCUGGGUGUAUCGAGUAUGGUGAGUCAUGAGCCUCCUGAAGAAUCAACUUCCUGAUCUCUGGAUCAUUGGGUACACAAAUCCGUUGCUCAAACCAUAUGGUUCCAUGUUCAUCCUCACAGAAUCCUUCUGCUUUCCCUUUGCUCAUCAUCUCCUUUAUCUCAGCAAUACCUUGGUCCAACUUCUGGGCAUCUCUGAUUCUUCCCAACAAGGUGGACUGCACCUCGAGUGCGGCAACAUAACCUCUUGGAACUAUUUCCAACUGAAGGUCUCUAAGCUCAUCACAUAACUCCUGAGGUAAACCUCCUGUUGUAAGUGUAUUAACAUAACUCUUACGGCUCAAAGCAUCCGCCACAACAUUGACUUUUCCUGGAUGAUAAUGCUAACUCAUGUCAUAAUCCUUUAUAAGUUCCAACCAUCUCCUUUGCCUGAGAUUCAACUCCUUCUGCGUGAAGAUAUACUUCAAACUCUUGUGAUCCGUGUAAACAUCACAAAGAUUCCCAAUAAGAUAGUGUCUCCAUGUCUUGAGUGCAUGCACUACGGGUGCCAACUCCAAAUCAUGUGUGGCAUAGUUCAACUCAUGAGGUCGAAGCUGUUGUGAAGCAUAAGCUACAACCUUUCCCUCUUGCAUAAGAACACCUCCAAGUCCCUGACAUGAAGCAUCACAAUACACCUGAAAGUCCUUGUGUACAUCAGGCAGGAUUAGCACUGGGGCUGUAACCAAACACUUCUUCAACUCUUGAAAGCUGGCUUCACACUCUUGAGUCCAAACGAACUUGGUGUCCUUCUUCAACAACGCUGUCAUGGGCCUUGCAAUCUGGAGAAAUUUUCAAUAAAUCUCCGGUAAUAUCCUGCAAGUCCAAGGAAACUGCGAAUCUCGCCAACUGUGGUGGGUGCAUUCCAUUCUGUGACUGACUCUACCUUGGUAGGGUCCACUGCAAUCCCUUCACCUGACACAACAUGUCCAAGGAAUCCGACUUCCUUGAUCUAAAACUCACACUUGCUGAACUUGGCAUAAAGUUGAUGUUCUCUGAGCUUCUCCAAAACCAAGCGCAGAUGUUCAGCGUGUUCCUCCCCAUUCUUGGAGAAAACCAAUAUGUCAUCAAUGAAUACCACAACGAACUUAUCCAAGAACUCCAUGAACACCUUGUUCAUCAUGCUCAUAAAAUAGGCAGGGGCAUUAGUCAAACCAAAGGACAUGACUGUAUACUCAUAAAGCCCAUACAUUGUGGUAAAAGCUGUCUUGGGUAUAUCCUUCUCACGGAUCUUCAAUUGGUGAUAACCCGAUCAAAGAUCGAUCUUGGAGAAAACACUAGCUCCUUCUAGCUGGUCAAACAAGUCAUCGAUCAUCGGCAGGGGAUACUUGUUCUUAAUGGUCACCUCGUUCAAAGAGCGGUAAUCCACACACAUCCUCAAGGUUCCAUCCUUCUUCUCCACUAAGAGUACUGGGGCUCCCCAAGGUGAUGAACUCGGGCGAAUAUACCCUUUCCCUAGCAACUCCUUAAUCUUUUUCUUAACUUCCUCCAAAUCAUUAGCGGGCAUCCGAUACGAGCUCUUGGAGAUAGGUCCUGUACCCACUACUAGGAAAAGGGCUAUAGAUGGAAUGGCCACUAAUGGCGCACCAGACAUGUGGUGCGCCACUACUAUAUAGCAGUGGCGCACCACGGGCUGGUGCGCCAUUAGUGUGAAAGACACUAAUGGCGCACCAGACACACGGUGCGCCAUUAGUAACAAUUUUUUUUAUUUUUCCAAACAUACUAAUGGCGCACCAGGGCACAGUGCGCCAUUACUAGUUCUAACUAGUAAUGGCGCACCAGCCUCAUAGUGCGCCACUACUAUAUAUUUUUUUUUUGCAAAACUACUAAUGGCGCACCAGGGAACAGUGUGCCAUUACUAGUUUAAUCUAGUAAUNNNNNNNNNNNNNNNNNNNNNNNNNNNNNNNNNNNNNNNNNNNNNNNNNNNNNNNNNNNNNNNNNNNNNNNNNNNNNNNNNNNNNNNNNNNNNNNNNNNNNNNNNNNNNNNNNNNNNNNNNNNNNNNNNNNNNNNNNNNNNNNNNNNNNNNNNNNNNNNNNNNNNNNNNNNNNNNNNNNNNNNNNNNNNNNNNNNNNNNNNNNNNNNNNNNNNNNNNNNNNNNNNNNNNNNNNNNNNNNNNNNNNNNNNNNNNNNNNNNNNNNNNNNNNNNNNNNNNNNNNNNNNNNNNNNNNNNNNNNNNNNNNNNNNNNNNNNNNNNNNNNNNNNNNNNNNNNNNNNNNNNNNNNNNNNNNNNNNNNNNNNNNNNNNNNNNNNNNNNNNNNNNNNNNNNNNNNNNNNNNNNNNNNNNNNNNNNNNNNNNNNNNNNNNNNNNNNNNNNNNNNNNNNNNNNNNNNNNNNNNNNNNNNNGCCGCCGCCCCCGCGCCGACCCGCGAAGCACGUGGCUGCCGGCCUCCCCACGACCAACCGAGGCGCCCAGGAGGACCGCCGCCGUCUUCCUCUUCGACUACGAGGACCCGGACGAGCUCGGACGCCCUCGAGCCAUCCCUUUGACGCCGCCGCCGACCCCGACCCCAACCCCGACCCCGACCCCUCCGGCGACCGGCCGCGCCCGCCCAGGUACCACUCCUUCUUCCUCCUUCCUCCCUCCCAAGGUUAAGUCAGUUUCCCCUCUCUACAACUUUGUCUGCCUCCAGAAAAUUGAAAACCGAACACAAAAUUCAGUGAUAGUUUCAGACCAUCCGGAGUCACAAAUCAUAAAAUAGACUUUGUUGGAAUUCGUUGAUUGCAUGAGAACUGAAUUUAUGUUAAUUAGUCAGAAGUCAUAGCAUUACGCAAAGAAACUUUGCCGAAAUUGGAGCAGCUCUCUUAUGAAGUUCUGAUGAAGAGCAGCCCUCUCCUCCUUCCUCCUUCCUCCUUCUUGUCCAGUGCCCGCCGCCCCGACAGCAUCUCCAGCAGCACCACCCCGUAGUUGUACAUUUUUUGCGGUAUUAAGGCAUUUUAGAGUUAGUUUUAUUCAUGAUGCAGUACUUUAUUUUAAUAUUUGAAAGGGCCUCUCACAAGACAUGUAUUGUCAAGCACAUCGAUGAACUAAUCUUUUUAUUUAUUAUAAUCUUACAACCAAACAUAAGCAGGACGGUGUUGGGUUCAAUUUUCACUGGUAUUUAUUUUGGGGCAUCAAUGCAUUUUAGAGAUAGUCUUGAUGGAUGCAGUGCUUCAAUUUAAUAAUCAGUAAGGACCUCAUAGUAGUACAUGCAUUGUCAAGCACAUUGAAGGAACAAUCUUUUUUGUGCAGUACAAUAUCCCAACUAAACACAAGCAGGACAGUGCUGUGGGAAUACCAGUUCCAUUGAGGAUUCCUGACAUCAGAUUAGUUUAGCAGCCCCAUUUUGAUACCAUUACUUUUGUUGGGGGGCAAAUCUCCAGUGUGCUUUUUUCUUUUCCAAAGGAAAAGAAAACGUGGUGUAUAACAAAUGUAUUAUUUGGUGGAAAGUGAGAUAUCAUAUUAAUCAUUGACAAAUUGGCUUUGAACAAAUAAUCUUAAAUCCAUGCAUACCUACACAAUUCAUCUAUUUGCUCAAAUUUCUCCAAAUUUGCAUUUUAUUGUCUGUUUAUGAUUUGGAAAUAUUCUAAUUCAAGUUUUGUUGCGUAUAACAAAACACAGUCACCUCCAAAGAAAAGCAUCAAAGACGGUACCUACAAAAGGAUUAUCUGUAACGAGGUCGAUAAGCUGGUAACUAAGUUCUGUUCUGUAAAAUCUCUCGACUUUUUUUAGUGUUAUAAGGGUCCAUAAGCAGUGUUGUAAUCAGGUCCAGACAUAAGCUCCUGUAGUAAGUAGCUUUUGGUUUUAUCUUUGUAAGAUAACUGGUUCUUGUAGUUUGCUGUUGGUUUCUCUUAAUGGAAAUCAGAGGGGUAAACCCUUCCUUGAUAAAAAUUAAAGUGUCUAGUUUGUCAAUUGCAGAACUGAACUUCUCUUUGAGAAUGUGUACCCUGUGCUCUUGACAUUUGCACUUAAAGUUCUGAGAAAAUCCACAUGGUCUUUCAUUUCUGUUGCAUUGUUUUAUCUAUAUGGUCUUUCAUUUCAGAGUUACACUUAUAUCAUAUUAAUCAUUGACAAAUCCACAUGCUUAAUCAAUCGAGUAGUAAGUUGUUUAGGCUUGGCCAUUUCCACUCAUUGUAGAUAGAUAGAGUUACACUUUUGUUACAUUGUGUUAUCUUUCUGUAGAGUAGUAAUGCUCCACUUCCAUUGGUACUACUUGCGAUGCUGACAGCAAGUCUGUAAUACUGAAAUUUUGUCAACUUGUGAUGCUGCUGCCGUACCCCAAGAGGCCCUUGAGUUUGCUGGAAUGUCGAUUAACUUACGUUCCGGCAAAUUCGGGUACUCCAUAUGUCCUAUUUUCAGCAAAGGUCAUGCUGAAAUUUUCCAUGAAUUUUAGCAUGACUUUGCUAAAAAUAGGACAUAUGGGGUACUUGUGACUAAUGCAUGGGCCGGGGUCUUAGUACUUAAUUAAGUAGGAACCACUCAUCCUAACCAUUUGCUCUCAAAAUUACCACUUCACUUCUUACUACUGAAAAUCUUAGACCAUCUCCAUUCACCAAUUGCUCAAACCAGUUCGAAGGGCGUGUUUUCACUACACUGUGGAUUAUCUUAUUGGACCCAACAGAGAGAAUGUAGUUUUGAAUUAUGAACAUAGGAAAUGUCAUCAUCGGACGACGAAAGUCUCCCGGGGGAGUGCGACUGGUGCCACGACGGUCGAGGUCUGUGCGACAGGCCUCACCUGGACGAUGAUCGGCGCUUCAGCAUUAAGCUCGAGGAGACCUUCGAAGUUGAAACGGUACGCAACGAUGACAGGUGUUUUUUUUCAUAAUUAAGCAUGACUUCAACUAUUUCAACGUGUAAUUUCAUCUUUUACAAUUCGAGUAUAGUUUAUCCCAUGCCAUGCAAGACGCUAUGUCUUGGAGAGGAUGGAUUUUGAAGAUCAUGAAAAUUUUGAAACGAAGAAAAUUCACCUAAGGACACAUCAUGAUGUGGAUUUUGAAGUAAAUCUGUAUAAUGCUGAGAGCGUAACCCAUUUUGGUUGCAAAAAUUGGGAAGCAUUUUGCAAAAUGUAUGGUUUUGAUGAGGGUAUGCUUGUCACCAUGGAUCUUGGUGAUCCUGACAUCGACCAAGACAAUAUGGACAUUUGGGUCCUUGUUGAUACGCCUCCAGUUCUACCGCUAUGUGAGUUUCUCAAACAUAGUUAAUUAUUAACUAAUUUAUAUUGUUUAUUUCAAAAUAGUUGACAACUUAUUUCCAUUGACAGCUUAUUUUGAUUGUUCAAAAAAUGUGCGGAACAUGGUAGACAAAACCCAAUACACCGAUGGCUUCGAGUUAACUUAUCAGGAGAAAAAUCAUCUGGUCGGAUUUUGUAAUGAUCUUGAGAAUUAUAAUAUCUACAAUCAAACUCCUCAACAUUAUGGUCAAUACGUGCCACUAGUGCACGUGUUGAACUACGGUAACUACCAUGGAGAUACCCUGGUAAGAUUUUUUACUAUUACGACAUCCGUGCAUCUUUUGCAUACUUCUAAAACUAGUACAUCAUUGCUAACUAUGAAGUUAUUACUAUGUUUUUCAACAGAGAAUCCCUGAGGAUUGUGUGCCUCAUUUGAUGUAUCAGAAUGGUAGCGUUCGUGUUUUCAACUUAUAUCCAGGUCAUCCUACGAAUCUCAACUGUCCAUACCGGAUUUCUAGAAGAAGUGGAGACAUGCUAAUCAGAGAAUGGAAAAAAUGUAUGGACAGUCGUAAGGAGGUUCUUGGAAGAAAAAGGAAGCGCCGCGCAAGAAUUGGAGACAGGAUGAUCUCCAUUCUCCAUAAUGGAGUGUCAGGGUCUAUAUUGUUUUAUGCUAUUUUACCUUAAAUAGGGUAUUUAGGUCCUGCCUAAUACUGAUGAUCAUGUGCUAAGAACAAUUAAGUAGGGUUGGUUCGAUGACUAUCAGGAUGAUGAUUGUAUGACUUGUUAUUAAUAAUGAGUAGAAGUUGUAUGAUGAUGAUUAGUAGGACUUGUUAGGAUUAGUAUUACUUUCGACAAACUCGCUACUCGCGGUCUCGAGACCUGUAAUGUUCUAUCUUUGUUCGGCCUUUUUAAUUCGGAGACUAAUAUGAUGAAUUGUAUUCGAAGACUAAUCUUCUAUUGUAUUCGAUGAAUCUGCUGUUGCUGUGUGGUGCUGUUUAUAUUCUGUCCAAUAAUAUAUUUUGUAAUCUGUGCAAAUAUCAGAAAAGAAAAAAAUCCUUAAUAUACAUACUAAUGGCGCAUCACCCCAACGUGUGCCAUUAGUAUGCCAAAGGAUACUAAUGGCGCAUCACCCCGCAGUGCGCCAUUAGUAUGGCAAAGCACAUGGGUAAAUAUGGCCCCCUGGGAGGCAUACUAAUGGCGCACCGUGGCCUAUACUAAUGGCGCACUGCCUGGUGCGCCAGCACCAGUGGUGCGCCAUUAGUAAAAAAUACUAGUGGCGUGGUACUAGUGGCGCACCAGUAGUGCGCCAUUAGUAGGCAAAACUGGUGCGCCACUAGUAGGCCUUUUCCUAGUAUUGACCUGGCAGCAACUCAAUCAAAAACUCAAUCUCCCGAUCUGGCGGCAUACCCGGUAACUCCUCCGGAAAUACAUCGGGAUAAUUCUUCACCACUGUUACUUCUUCCUGGACAACUCCUGUACGAGAGUUCACCUGAGUCCUCUUAGGCUUAAGCCUAGAUACAUACUUGAUCCUCUUCUUCUCUAGGGUGGUGAGAAAAAUCGAUCAACUAGCACAAUCAAUGUUUCCCUCAUACUUGGACAUCCAAUCCAUCCCUAGGAUUACAUCCAACCCUUGUGACUCUAGUAUGAUCAUAUCCGUGGGAGAAACAUGCCCCCCUGUGUUCAAAGGCAACCGGAAACAUCCCUGACUAGCCAUAGACUCGGCUCCUGGGGAACUCACUAGAAUGGGUGACUUAAGAGCUAUGGUAGGCAACUUAUGUUUAUCCACAAAUCCCCUUGAUAUGAAUGAAUGCGAUGCACCACUGUCAAAAAGAAUGAGUGCUAGAAAUGAAUUAACCAAGAACUUACCAAUCACCGCGUCAGGCUGCUCAUAGACCUCUUCCACAUUGACAUGAUUCACAUGCCCCUUAGUGAAAGGAUUAGGCUUCUUGCCUCCAGAAUUCCCAUUUCCAUUCCCAUUUCCAUUAUGCACCUCAGGACACUCGUUGGAGUAGUGACCUGUCUUCUUGCACUUGAAGCAGGUGAUGUGACUCAGAUCUUUCUUCAUUGGUGUAGAAGAGUUGACAUGCUGCUGAUUGCCAUUCCCUCCAUUGCCAUUGACAUUUCCAUUGCAAUGCUUGUGACCAUGGUGGUUGUGUCUAUUUCGUCCAUGCUGAAUGUGGUCUCCAUGGUUAUGAUGAUUCCCUCCAAACUUGCUAGUGCCUGGUCCAGUAUUUCCUGAGUACGGGCUAUAGCGGGGUUUCUGUUGAACUCCAGAUUUAUACUUCCCGUAACCGUACUUACUCUUACGUUUCUCCAUCUGCUGGUGCUUGCCUUCGAGAAUGGUAGCCUUAUCAACCAGCUCCUGAUAGUUCGCAAAGGUCGCCACAGUCAACUGAACUCCCAACUCAUUGUUCAGUCCCUCCAGAAACUUCUCCUGCUUGGCUGCAUCAGUGGCCACGUCCUCUCGGGCAUAACGGGCCAACUUACUGAACUCAUCAACAUACUGAGAUACCGUGCAUCCUCCCUGGCGCAAGCUGCGGAACUCCUUCUUCUUUAGACUCAUGGCUCCAGCUGAGAUAUGAGUAGUGCGGAACGCCUGCUAGAACUGAGUCCAAGUCACACUCUCUAAGGGGUAUGUGGUGGUGUAGUUCUCCCACCAAGCAGUUGCCGGUCCAUCCAGCUGGUGGGUGGCAAACUUCACCUUCUCAGCAUCAUUGCAUCCUGUCGUGGCCAGCUCCCUUCCUAUCUUGCGAAGCCAGUCAUCUGCAACGAUCGGCUCCGUGUUGCUGGAGAACACGGGUGGGUUCAGCCUCAGAAAACGGGUAAGACUCUCAACUGGGGGUGGCGGCGGUGGGUUGUGGUUGUUGUUGUUGUUGUUGUUGUUGUUGUUGUUGUUGUUGUUGUUGUUGUUGUUGUUGUUGUUGUUGUUGUUGCUGUUGUUGCUGCUGUUGUUGCUGCANNNNNNNNNNNNNNNNNNNNNNNNNNNNNNNNNNNNNNNNNNNNNNNNNNNNNNNNNNNNNNNNNNNNNNNNNNNNNNNNNNNNNNNNNNNNNNNNNNNNNNNNNNNNNNNNNNNNNNNNNNNNNNNNNNNNNNNNNNNNNNNNNNNNNNNNNNNNNNNNNNNNNNNNNNNNNNNNNNNNNNNNNNNNNNNNNNNNNNNNNNNNNNNNNNNNNNNNNNNNNNNNNNNNNNNNNNNNNNNNNNNNNNNNNNNNNNNNNNNNNNNNNNNNNNNNNNUGUUGCUGUUGCUGUUGUUGUUGGUGUUGUUGUUGUUGUUGUUGUUGUUGUUGUUGUUGUUGUUGUUGUUGUUGUUGUUGUUGUUGUUGUUGUUGUUCUGGUUCUGGUUCUAAAUGAGCAUCUGCAUAAGAGCAUUCUGCUGCUGGAUCAAUUGCGUGAGCUCCGGUGGAAAGUUGAAUCCGGGGUCACGUCUUGGAGGCAUCUGAUGGGUUUGAGUGGAUGAGAAGUUAGAAUAGAAUAAGGCCUAGUGAGUAAAAUCACACUACCCAUAUGCACAUGAUAGCAAUAAAACUUCAAAUCACUCCAAUUCAAUUCCAAUCAAAGAGGUUCACAAGAACAAUCAAACCUAAGGUAAGCCAUGUCACAAUAUUUUACAAGGUCUCACAAAUGAAUAAAACUAAUCGGAUAACGAAAUCGAAUUCCUAAACUCUCAUGGUGGUAUAAAAUCUAACUCUCAUCGGAUGAGGACCAGUCAACCAUGUUGACAUCGGGGGUCGUUGCAUCACUUUCCGUGUCAUCAUCUCCAAGCUCAUCAUCCUGGUCCUUGUCCUGGCUGACGUAACCUCCAUAAGAGUGAUCCUCCUGGAUGUUUUCUCCCUCAUCCAGCUUCUCCUCGGCCUCCUCAAGCUGAAGCUUCACGUUGUCGAUCUUCUCCUGCAGUGCGUCCAGCUCUCCCUCAUGCUCGAUGCGAGCGUCCUGGAGUUCCUCCUCGAGCUCGGCCUUGCGGGUCAUGAGGUUCUUGAUGACGAUCAUGUUGUCAGACAACUCCAGCUCCGUCAGACGAAUGUGAUCCUCCAUGUCCUGGAUAUGGGAUGCUAUCGUCUCGUCCUCAAGGGUACGCACCACAUCUCCAUUUGCGUCGCGGCGUCCGUACAUCAUGAAGGAGGUCUUCUUGAGGACCUUGUCAUACUCCCCCCGAAUGCGUCCGAGAGCAAUGUGAGUAGCGAUGCCCCUGCCCAAGCCCCAUGUUGCAAUAUACAGAUGUAACUCAAUGGGCUUGGUGCGGUUUCCGAGGAUGCGUCCGGGGAUAUGGGCAUCGAUCCUCCAACAUGUCUCCUCGGGCAGGGUGGCUUCGAAGGUUCCAGUGAAUGUGGGAAGCCCGAUCUUCAGGUGCUUCUUGAUCUAACAAGUAAUGUAUUACCAUUUAAGAUAAACAAAAGCAUCACAUAACUUUGCACUUCAAUUGCACUGCAAUGAAUAGUUAUAUAUAAUAGUGCAACUUUCACAUAUAUUUUAUAGUAUUUAUGUGUAUCCAUUUACACUCAGCCAACAUCCCAAAAAUAUCCAAAACAAUAAAAAUAGUAAAAUCAACUAAUAAAAAAAGGAAAAUCAAAAGAAAAACGCAUAGAAACAGAAAACAGAAUACAUAAAGGGAGAGAAAGAAAGGCUGAGGAGUCAGAUGGGCUAGAUAGAGGCAGCCCAUGAACGAAUUGCAAGGGUCCAUAAAAAAAAUUCAGCCCAAAACAUGACAAACCACACAACAGAAAAAAAGAGAGCAUGAAUCUUACGACAAUCAACGGUCAGAAAAUCGACUGACCCAAAUUCAAUUUUCAGGCGACUUAAAUCUAUAUCUGUACCUACUAAUAAAGGGGUAAACAUUUAUUACCUUCAUAAUUUCGUCCGUUAUUGGUCUGUCGUCGUCCGGUGUCUAUGUUUCGUACGUAGUCGUCCGAUUUCCUAUCUGGUGUCCGACUUUGGACAUCACAUGGGCCAGGAUUUAAAUUUCUAUUAUGGGCCGCUAAAAAUAGCUUGAUGUGCUAAAAUUUUGGACUCCUUUUGAAAUUAAUAGCCCCACCCUGCUCUUUUAGAUCAAAUCCUAGCAACUUAUAUAUGUUCCCGAAUUGCAAGAAUCAAACAAGCCAAGGCCAGAAAGCGAGACCUACCGUAUAUAUAAAUCACCAACAAAGAAAAACAUCUCUGAGGAAGGCUCACAGAUCCAUAUAAGACCGAUCAAAGAGGAGAAAGGCACAUGAAAUUGAGUGGGAGGAGAGACGGAGCCGAUCUGAGCCAAUUUGAAGGAAAUAGAGAUGGCAACCUGCAACCUACUAGAAAGUGGUUCCAACUAGGAGGAGAGACAGAGUGGUCGUCGGCCAUUGGUGCUGGAGCUGGUGCGGCGGUGGACUCGAGCGGGAGGAGAGACAGAGUGGUCGUCGGCCAUUGGUGCUGGAGCUGGUUCGGCGGUGGACUCGAGCGGGAGGAGAGACAGAGCUGAUCUAAAGAAGCGGAAAAAGGGUACGAGGGUGGCCUUCUGUUGCUGGAGCGACAACGACCUCGAGCGGGCCGGGCCAGCUCCACUACAGAAGAGCCGACCAUGGCCGGGUGGAGGGGGGUACCUUCCCUCUGGCGCACGGGUGUGUAACCCGUGCCAUGGCCGGUAGAGGGGGGAUCCGGCGACAUGCGGGGGUGGGGAGUGCGCGAGACGCGCGGAGGGAAGGCUCUCGACGCUGGUCGAGCUGGGGGCGGGAUCCCGGAGAAACUGAGGAGAUAAAGCUGCAACAAUGCAAUCCAUAUUAAUUAAUCUGCUGAUGUGGCAUGCUUUGUCACUAGCCAUCAAUGGACUGAUCUACAAUGUUGUAACAUUUCUAUGCUUCCUAAAUUUUAUCCUGGAAAAAUGUGACACUAGCUACACAUGCACCGUCAUUAAUUAACUCACUCAUGCUUAUUUGAAACUAUGUUUAGGGAUACCACAUCACAAUAAUACUAUUUAAAUAAAAGAAUAUAGUGAACAAAAAUAACCUUCUUUAUUAACCUAGCUUACUUUCUUAAACAAAGAUAAUUACAGAAGUUGUUAUAUCCUACCACGAUGAUUUAAAGACAUUAAUAAUUUUAUGUACGAUAGCAUUAACUUUACUUAGUGAUAAUCAUCUAAAAGGAGCUAGACAGAAUACUUCAAAUUUUGAGUCCAUAGAUUAUGUAUGUGAGUUCUUUAUGACUAAUAGAUUAUCAAUAAUGUUGAGUUCAUGGAUUAUACACACUCUCACCCUUCCACCAUUGCUAGCCUCUCUAGUACCAUGCAAUUUUCGCCGGUACCAUACACGCACCAUACACCUUCCUCAAAACAGCAACCAUACCUACCUAUUAUGGCAUUUCCAUAGCCAUUCCGAGAUAUAUUGCCACGCAACUUUCCACCGUUCCGUUUGUUAUGACACGCUUCUGAAGGAAAUAUGCCCUAGAGGCAAUAAUAAAGUUGUUAUUUAUAUUUCCUUAUAUCAUGAUAAAUGUUUAUUAUUCAUGCUAAAAUUGUAUUAACUGGCAACUUAGAACAUGUGUGAAUACAUAGACAAACAGAGUGUCCCUAGUAUGCCUCUACUUGACUAGCUCGUUAAUCAAAGUGAAGGAAAUAUACCCUAGAGGCAAUAAUAAAGUUAUUAUUUAUUUCCUUAUAUCAUGGUAAAUGUUUAUUAUUCAUGCUAGAAUGGAUUAACCGGAAACUUAGUACUUGUAGCGACCCGACCCGGUAAGAGUCGAAGUCUCUGUGCUUACCGUGCUAGUCCCUGGAUCGACUUGCUAGCACACACAGUACUCGAUGAGAUAACAGAAAUAACACACAUCUCUUUAUUACAUCGAUAGUUCAGGAGCAAUACAAUUAUUACAAAAUAGGGCAUAGAGCCAAUAAACAAAUACUGCGGAAGCAAAGUAGUAAAUGAGUCCAACUCCACGAGCAAGGUUGAGUGUAGAACAUCGACCUAUCGCACCUUAAUCCUCGACGGAUAUAUCUGCAACGUGAUAAGUUGCAGCCAUAUUGGUCAGUACAUUGAAUGUAUUGGCAAGUCACAUCAUAAGUGUAAUGAACCUACUUGUACAUGCAAUUUGGCUGUUAGAAAGCUCUAAGUUUAGUUUUUGCAUAAAGCUAGUUUUUCCCUAUUAGAAAAGAUGUUAUUCUACUACUACACAUUUGCAUAGCAUGAGUUGGCAAACCCAACUCCAUCCAUUCCCAAGUUUCGUUUAAAACCCAACUGUUUAAUUAAAGGUGAGGAGAUCUCCCGGCAUUUCCACUACUAGAUGCUCAACUUGUCCGUAACCGGGGACACGGCUAAUCGAUUAGGUUGACACUCUGCGGAGGUUGCGCACUUUUCCCCACAAGACUCGAUCACCUCCAUGAUCGGAAGAUCGAGACAUAGUCUUUCGAAAAUGUUCCCCCUUAACCCACGGAUAGGCCGGUACACCUACAUCAUUCUACAUCUGCUAGCCCAUCCCGGAAGGAGCCACACUAACUACUCAACUAAGCCAGAGCCCAUAUUGGCUUGUGGCUGCACACGUAAGCUUCUAGACAUGAGAAUACGAUUGAUCUCUUUGAGCCUGAGCGGACGGUCCACUAGUGGUGCACCACCAUGGAUUACCCAUGCGUGCCCCACUGUACUUCGCCACCAUUCCAACAAGUUUCCGCCCAGGUAGUUCAUUAAUUAUCUUAGGUCCUAUUUACAACAUUGUCACUCAUACUUUACAAUGAUCACUCCCCAAUCCACGUCUACUUAGCGAAGCAACAUAAUGUAAAACGAUGGCGACAAUGUUAUAAGGUUCAGACCUACCUCAAUGAACUACUGGUUGAAAAGCAUAGUCAUAUGACAUUAAUUCCUACCAUGCAGUCCUACCGCAAAGAACUAAGUGCAUAAUAAAAACAUAGGUAAUGAAACAUGAUCAAGAUGCAACUUGCCUUGGUACUGCUGGUUGAAUUCUAAAGACUGAUAAUAUUCUACUUCGCACUCCGGGCAAUCUAUCGCAAAGAAGAUAAACAAACAUAAGCAAACAUUUCAGAGAACCAAGACGAACAUGCAAAGCAAAAAGUCUCGAAAAACCAAAUAAACAAACAACACACUUAACUAGCACAAAAAAAAUUCUAAGUGCAAAACCACAUGGGCCUAUGGUUCAAGAAGUGAUGUGAACUAUAGUGCAUACUAUGCAUACUAGUAAAAAUAUUAAUGGACAGAUUCUAGUGUGUGAAAAUUAUUGUGACAAAGGUCCAGGUGAUAGGGUUUGGCUACGGUGACAAAGUGCAAGAAGAAUCAACUUAAUCGGAGCUUCGGUUUGGGAGGUAUGGUCAUUUGAACUUCGAAUUCGAAUCUGAAUAAAUUCAAAUUUGAAUCAGACAAAAGUGUACAGAAAGGAUACCACUGGAUAGAUCUAAACAUGACGAAGAAUUUGCCGCUGGUUUCAUCGAGUUUGGAUCUACGGUUAAAAAGUUGUGGCUACUCGAAGUUCAGGGACUAAUCAGCUAAUUACAGGCACUAAACAAAGAUGAAAACUAUCGCAAGCAAGUCCCUUGCAACAUGGCGGCUCCUGGCUGGCCGAGCAGCGUCCGCUGCGGAGGCUAUACGGCGAACGGCCGCUAAGUAAGAAAAAAACAAUGGCGGCGGCUAACUAAAGAAAAACCGACGCUCGGUUUAAAUAAAACCGCACGGUCUAAGGGAACCGCGGUUAACCGCGUACCUCUUUGCAAAAAAAAGAACCUAAUCCAAUCUGGACCGUCGGUGAUCGAUCUAACGGGCGGGAGUGGGGCGGCGGCUUACAGCGGCUGGCGACGUCGGCGACGAGCAGAGGACGGCGGCGCGGCGUCGGGCGGUGGCGGGGCAGCGGCUACGGCGGUCCUCGGCGUCGGGGAGGAAGACGGGGAGGUGGGGCGCGGCUUGGGCGUCCGGAUGGUGGCGUCAGGGCUCCUCAGGGUCGUCGGGGAUCGGCGAGGCGAAGGCGGCGGCGCUCCGUGGGCUCCGGCGAGGUCGGGCGUCGUCGGGGCGUCGUCUCCGGCGAGACCUAGGCUCGGGGUGGCACGAUUGACGAAGGAACAAGGGCUUGGGGUGGUUUACGGGCAGCGGAAUGCAACGGGAGGUCCGUUCGGCCGGCGAGAUCCAAGCGGCGACUGCGGGCGGUAGGAGCGGCGUGGGAAGAAGCGGGACGGCGAGGAUGGAAGAGGGGGUUCGGGGGCAUUUAUAGGCGCGGUCAGGAGGCGCGGCUGCCGUGGAAAAGCAUUAUCCGAGCACGUGGCGGCCGGCGGUUGCGGGCGGCGAGGCGCGGAUGUUUAUCCCGCGAGCUGCGGGAGGUUGGGGACGAGCUGACGAGCGGGGCCCGUCUGGCAGUGGCAGCGGCGGUAACGAGCGAGCGGGAGCGCGGGCGGUCGUCCGGGCGGAAGGCGUCGGGCGCUGGGGUGCUGGGGCGGUGGCCUUGGGCCAAAUGGCCAGCUGGGCCGGUUGGGGCGCUCCUGGGCCGAACCCAGUUUCGGGCCAGGAUGCGGUGAGUGCGUGCGUGCGUUUUUUUUAACCGAAGACUAAAGUGGCCCUAAAAAAUUCAAAUGAAUUAAUAAAAACACCACAAUAAUUUCUAAAAUAACUAUACAAUAUUUAGAACCUAAUGAACAUUAACUUAAGCACAUAAUAUUUUGAAAAUAUUUUCCUAAUGCAAUUAAUGCACUUUUUGCAAAUAAAAUAUAUACCAAUAAACUCCAAAACUUCAAAUAAUAUUCAACAUAAAAUUUCCCACUCUUUUAUAUUUUCAGGAAGUCAUCUUAUCCCCUGUCAUUUGUUUUUCUCGAGUGGAAAAAUAUUAUUUAAAUAUUUCAAAAUCUCCAAAAUGCAAAGAAAUAUGAUAUGCAUUGAAUGAUUCUAUUAACAUCCAAAUUUAAUAAAAAUUGGGAUGUUACAGUACAUGUGUGCCCAUUGUCUUGUUUUGGCUUGGAAGUCUCCUCAAAAUAAGGCAAGUGAGUCAACGAUCUCUGUAAGAGGAAUUGGAAGAUGGGGGUUCCAUGGCGCACUGAGAUGAAUGGCUGUCUUGGACGUGCGGCCCCUUAUCCCUAUCCCUUUGUUGAUGAAUCCCAUGCAACGCGCCCUUGCUUGGAUGAGAAAAUGUCAUAAGGGGGACUCGUUUCACUUGAUUCGUUUCGUCACACCCGCACUAUUCCUAAAUUUCUUUUCUGUUUCUAUUUUGAAAAAAAGGUCGAACUCAUUUCGUAUAGAAAGAAAGAUGUGUCGGGUUACAUGUGUGAAUACAUAGACAAACAGAGUGUCCCUAGUAUGCCUCUACUAGAACUAGCUCGUUAAUCAAAGUUGGUUAAGUUUCCUAACCAUAGAAAUGUGUUGUCAUUUGAUGAACGGGAUCACAUCAUUAGAGAAUGAUGUGAUGGACAAGACCCAUCCGUUAGCUUAGCACUUUGAUCAUUUAGUUUAUUGUUAUUGCUUUCUUCAUGACUUAUACAUGUUCCUAUGACUAUGUGAUUAUGCAACUCCCGAAUACCGGAGGAACACUUUGUGUGCUAUCAAAAGUCACAACGCAACUGGGUGAUUAUAAAGAUGCUCUAUAGGUGUCUCCGAUGGUGUUUGUUGAGUUGGCAUAGAUCGAGAUUAGGAUUUGUCACUCCGAUUGUCGGAGAGGUAUCUUUGGGCCCUCUCGGUAAUGCACAUCACUAUAACCCUUUCAAGCAAUGUGACUAAUGAGUUAGUUGCGGGAUGAUGCAUUACGGAACGAGUAAAGAGAUUUGCCGGUAACGAGAUUGAACUAGGUAUGAUGAUACCGACGGUUGAAUCUCGGGCAAGUAACAUACCGAUGACAAAGGGAACAACGUAUGUUGUUAUGCGGUUUGACCGAUAAAGAUCUUCGUAGAAUAUGUAGGAGCCAAUAUGAGCAUCCAGGUUCCGCUAUUGGUUAUUGACCGGAGAUGUGUCUCGGUCAUGUCUACAUAGUUCUCGAACCCGUAGGGUCCGCACGCUUAACGUUCGAUGAUGAUUUGUAUUAUGAUUUAUGUGAUUUGAUGACCGAAGUUUGUUCGGAGUACCGGAUGAGAUCACGGACAUGACGAGGAGUCUCGAAAUGUUCGAAACGUAAAGAUCUAUAUAUUGGAAGGCUAUAUUCAGACAUCGGAAAUGUUCUGAGUGGUUCGGGUAUUUUUCGGAGUACCAGAGAGUUACGGGAAUUCGCCGGGGGAAGUAUUGGGCCUUUAUGGGCCUUAGUGGAAUGGAGAGAAGGGCCACAAGGGGAGGCCGCCCCCCCAUGGGCUGGUCCGAAUUGGACUAGGGCGGGGGCGGCGCCCCCCUCUUUCCUUAUCCCUCUCCUACUCCUUCCCUCUCUCCCCUCUUGGAAAAGAAUCCUAGUUGGACUCCCCCUAUAGGCGCACCCCUCCUAGGCCGGCCUCCUCUUCCUCCCUCCUUUAUAUACGUGGCCAGGGGGCACCCCAAUAGCACAACAGACAAUCUCUUAGUCGUGUGCAGUGCCCCCCCUCCACAGUUACAGACCUCGGUCAUAUCGUCAUAGUGCUUAGGCGAAGCCCUGCGUCGGUAACUUCAUCAUCACCAUCACCACGCCGUCAUGCUGACGGAACUCUCCCUCGGCCUCAACUAGAUCAAGAGUUCGAGGGACGUCACCGAGCUGAACGUGUGCUGAACGCGGAGGUGCCGUACGUUCGCUGCUUGGAUCGGUUGGAUCGCGAAAACGUUCGACUACAUCAACCGCGUUACUAAACGCUUCUGCUUUCGGUCUACGAGGGUACGUGGACACACUCUCCCCGCUCGUUGGUAUGCUUCUCCUAGAUAGAUCUUGCGUGAUCGUAGGAAUUUUUUUGAAAUACUACGUUCCCCAACAGUGGCAUCCGAGCCAGGUCUAUGCGUAGAUGUUAUAUGCACGAGUAGAACACAAAGAGUUGUGGGCGAUAAUAGUCAUACUACUUACCAGCAUGUCAUAUUUUGAUUCGGCGGUAUUGUUGGAUGAAGCGGCCCAGGCCGACAUUACAUGACCGCGUUCAUGAGACUUGUUCUACCGCCGUGCUUCGCACACAUGUGGCUAGUGGGUGUCUGUUUCUCCAACUUUAGUUGAAUCGAGUGUGACUACGCUCGGUCCUUGUUGAAGGUUAAAACAACACACUUGAUGAAAAAUCGUUGUGGUUUUGAUGCGUAGGUAAGAACGGUUCUUGCUAAGCCCGUAGCAGCCACGUAAAACUUGCAACAACAAAGUAGAGGACGUCUAAGUUGUUUUUGCAGGGCUUGUUGUGAUGUGAUAUGGUCAAGACGUGAUGAGAUAUAAAUUGUUGUAUGAGAUGAUCAUGUUUUGUUAAAGUCAUCGGCAACUGGCAGGAGCCUUAUGGUUGUCUAUUUAUUGCAUAAGAUGCAAGCGCCAUAUAAUUGCUUUACUUUAUCGCUAUGCAAUAGCAAUAGUUGCAAAAGCAAUAGUUGGUGAGACGACCAUGUGACGGCACGUUGAUAAAGAUCAAGAUGAUGGAGAUCAUGGUGUCAUGCCGGUGACGAUGGAGAUCAUGACGGUACUUUGGAGAUGGAGAUCAAAGGCACAAGAUGAUGAUGGCCAUAUCAUGUCACAUAUUUUGAUUGCAUAUGAUGUUUAUCUUUUAUGCAUCUUAUUUUUCUUAGUACGACGGUAGCAUUAUGAGAUGUUCCCUUAUUAAAAUUUCAAGGUAUAAGUGUUCUCCCUGAGUAUGCACCGUUGCGGCAGUUCUUCGUGCUGAGACACCGCGUGAUGAUCGGGUGUGAUAAGCUCUACGUUCACAUACAACAGGUGCAAGCCAGUUUUCCACAUGCAGAAUACUCAGGUUAAACUUGACGAGCCUAGCAUAUGCAGAUAUGGCCUCGGAACACUGAGACCGAAAGGUCGAACGUGAAUCAUAUAGUAGAUAUGAUCAACAAAGUGAUGUUCACCAUUGAAAGCUACUCCAUCUCACGUGAUGAUCAGACAUGGUUUAGUUGAUAUGGAUCACGUGGUCACGUAGAUGAUUAGAGGGAUGUCUAUCUAAGUGGGAGUUUUUAAGUAAUAUGAUUAAUUGAACUUUAAUUUAUCAUGAACUUAGUCCUGAUAGUAUUUGCAUAACUAUGUUGUAGAUCAAUAGCUCAUGAUGUAGCUCCCCGUUUAUUUUUUGAUAUGUUCCUAGAUAAAAACUAUGUUGAAAGAUAAUUGUAGCAAAUGAUGCAGAGUCCGUGAUCUGAGGAUUAUCCUCAUUGCUGCACAAAAGAUUUAUGUCCUCGAUGCACCGCUAGCUGACGGACCUAUUGCAGGAGCAAAUGCAGACGAUAUGAACGUUUGGCAAGCUCGGUAUGAUAACUACUUGGUAGUUUAGCGCACCAUGCUUUAUGGCUUAGAACCGGGACAUCAAAACGUUUUGAACGCCAUGGAGCAUAUAAGAGUUCCAAGAGCUGAAAUUGGUAUUUCAGACUCAUGCCCGAGUCGAGAGGUAUGAGACCUCUGAGAAGUACUUUGCCUACUAGAUGGAGGAGGAUAGCUCAACCAGUGAGCAUGUGCUCAGAUUGUCUGAGUACUACAAUCGCUUGAAUCAAGUGGGAGUUAAUCUUCCAGAUAAAAUAGUGAUUGACAGAGUUCUCUAGUCACUAUCACCAAGUUACUAGAACCUCGUGAUGAACUAUAAUAUGCAAGGGAUGACGAAAAUGAUUCUCCGAGCACUUCGCGAUGCUAAAAUCGACGAAGGCAGAAAUCAAGAAAAGCAUCAAGUGUUGAUGGUUGACAAUACCACUAGUUUCAAGUAAAAGGGCAAGGGAAAGAAAGGGAACUUCAAGAAGAAUGGCAAGCAAGUUUCCACUCCCAUGAAGAAGCCAAAAGCUAGACCCAAGCCUGAAACUGAGUGCUUCUACUUCAAAGGAAAUGAUCACUGGAAGCGAAACUGCCCCAAGUAUUUGGCGGAUAAGAAGGAUGGCAAAGUGAAGAAAAGUAUAUAUGAUAUACAUGUUAUUGAUGUGUACUUAAGUAGUGUUCACAGUAGCCCCUGGGUAUUUGAUAGUAAUUCAGUUGCUAUGAUUAGUAACUCGAAACAGGAGUUACAAAAUGAACAAAGACUAGUUGAGGGCAAGGUGAAGAUGUCUGUUGAAAGUGAUUCCAAGGUUGAUAAGAUCACCAUCGCACACUCCCUUUACCUUCGGGAUUAGUAUUGAACCUAAAACAAAUGUUAUUUGGUGUGUGCGUUGAGCAUAAUAUGAUUGGAUCAUGUUUAUUGCAAUACGGUUAUUCAUUUAAGUCAAAGAAUAAUUGCUAUUCUGUUUAUAUAAAUAAAACCUUCUGUGGUCAUACACCCAAGGUGAAUGGUUUAUUGAAUCUCGAUCGUGGUGAUACACAUAUUCAUAAUAUUGAUGCCAAAAGAUGCAAAGUUGAUAAUCAUAGUGCAACAUAUUUGUGGCACUGCCGUUUAGGUCAUAUUGGUGUAAAGCGCAUGAAGAAACUCCAUGCUGGUGGGCUUUUGGAAUCACUUGAUUAUGAAUCACUUGAUGCUUGCGAACCAUGCCUCAUGGGAAAGAUGACUAAGACUCCGUUCUCCAGAACAAUGGAGCAAGCCACUGACUUAUUGGAAAUAAUACAUAUAGAUGUAUGCGGUCUGAUGAGUGUUGAGGCUCGCGGCGGGUAUCGUUAUUUUCUGACCUACACAGAUGAUUUGAACAGAUAUGGGUAUAUCUACUUAAUGAAACACAAGUCUGAAAAAUUUGAAAAGUUCAAAGAAUUUCAGAGUGAAGUUGAGAAUCAUCGUAACAAGAAAAUAAAGUUUCUACGAUCUGAUCGAGGAGGCGAAUAUUUGAGUUACGAGUUUGGCCUUCAUUUGAAACAAUGUUGAAUAGUUUCGCAACUCACGCCACUUGGAACACCACAGCGUAAUGGUGUGUCUGAACGUCGUAAUCGUACAUUAUUAGAUAUGGUGCGACCUAUGAUGUCUCUUACCAAUUUACCACCAUCGUUUUGGGGUUAUGCAUUAGAGACAGCUGCAUUCACGUUAAAUAGGGCACCGUCUAAAAAUCCCUUGAGACGACACCAUAUGAACUGUGGUUUAGCAAGAAACCUGAGCUGUUGUUUCUUAAAGUUCGAGGUUGCGAUGCUUAUGUGAAAAAGCUUCAACCUGAUAAGCUCGAACCCAAAUCGGGGAAGUGUGUCUUCAUAGGAUACCCAAAAGAAACUAUUGGGUGCACCUUCUAUCACAUAUCCGAAGGCAAGAUCUUUGUUGCUAAGAAUGGAUCCUUUCUAGAGAAGGAGUUUCUCUGGAAAGAAGUGAGUGGGAGGAAUGUAGAACUUGAUGAGGUAAUUGAACCUUCUCCCAAAUUGGAAAGUAGUUCAUCACAAAAAGCAGUUCCAGUGAUUCCUACACCAAUUAGUGAGGAAGCUAAUGAUGAUGACCAUGAAACUUCAGAUCCAGUUACUACUGAACCUCGUAGGUCAACCAGAGUACGGUCCGCACCAGAGUGGUACGGUAAUCCUGUUUUGCAAGUCAUGUUACUAGAUCAUGACGAACCUACGAACUAUGAGGAAGCGAUGAUGAGCCCAGAUUCCGCAAAAUGGCUUGAGGCCAUGAAAUCUAAGAUGGGAUUCAUGUAUGAAGAACAAAGUGUGGACUUUGGUUGACUUGCGCGAUGAUCAGCAAGCCAUUGAGAAUAAAUGAAUCUUCAAGAGGAAGAUGGACGCUGAUAGUAGUGUUACUAUCUACAAAGCUUGAAUUGGCGAAAAACAGUUUUCGGCAAGUUCAAGGUGUUGAUUACGAUGAGAUUUUAUCACUCGUAGCGAUGCUUAACUCUGUCCGAAUCAUGUUAGAAAUUACCACAUUUUGUCAAAUCUGGCAAAUGGAUGUCAAAACUACAUUCCUUAUUGCAAAAAUCUACGAGUCAUCAAAAACCAAGCAUUAUGCGCAAGCUCCUAGGGGGAUAGAUUGGUAGGAAAAGACCAUCGCUCGUCCCCGACCGCCACUCAUAAGGAUGACAAUCAAGGAACACCUCAUGUUUCAAAUUUGUCACACAACGUUUACCAUACGUGCAUACUAUGGUACUUGCAAACUUCAACACAAGUAUUUCUCAAAUUCACAAUUACUCGACUCGCACAACUCUAAUAUUACCAUCUACAUAUCUCAAAACAAUCAUCAAAUAUCAAACUUCUCAUAGUAUUCAAUGCACUCUAUAUGAAAGUUUUUAUUAUACCCAUCUUGAAUGCCUAUCAUAUUAGGACUAGUUUCAUAACCAAAUAAAAUUACCAUGCUGUUUAGGACUCUCAAAAUAAUAUAAGUGAAGCAUGAGAGUUCAUCUAUUUCUACAAAAUAAAACCACCGUCGUGCUCUAGAAGGAUAUAAGUGAAGCACUAGAGAAAAUGACAAACUACUCCGAAAGAUAUAAGUGAAGAUCAAUGAGUAGUCGAAUAAUUAUGCAAAUAUGUGAAGACUCUCUAACAUUUAUGUAUUUCAUAUCUUGGUAAAUUAUUCAAACAGCAAGCAAAACAAAAUAAAGCAAAAUGACGCUCCAAGCAAAACACAUAUCAUGUGGUGAAUAAAAAUAUAGCUCCAAGUAAAGUUACCGAUGAACGAAGACGAAAGAGGGGAUGCCAUCCGGGGCAUCCCCAAGCUUAGGCUCUUGGUUGUCCUUGAAUAUUACCAUGGGGUGCCUUGGGCAUCCCCAAGCUUAGGCUCUUGCCACUCCUUAUUCCAUAGUCCAUCGAAUCUUUACCCAAAACUUGAAAACUACACAACACAAAACUCAACAGAAAACUCGUCAGCUCCGUUAGUAUAAGAAAAUAAAACCACCACUUAAGUACUGUUGUGAACUCAUUCUAAAUUCAUAUUGGUGUAUUAUCUACUGUAUUCCAACUUCUCUAUGGUUCAUACCCUCCGAUACUACUCAUAUAUUCGUCAAAAUAAGCAAACAACACAUAGAAAACAGAAUCUGUCAAAAACAGAACAGUCUGUAGUAAUCUGUAUCAAACGUAUAUUUCUGGAACUCCAAAAAUUCUGAAAUAAAAUGGUGGACCUGAGGAAUUUGUCUAAUAAUCAUCUGCAAAAAUAAUCAACCUAAAAUCACUCUCCAAUAAAAAAAUGGCAGCUAAUCUCGUGAGCGCUAAAGUUUCUGUUUUUUACAGCAAGAUCACAAAGACUUCACCCAAGUCUUCCCAACGGUUAUAGUUGGCACAAACACUGAUUAAAACAUAAAACCACAUCUAAACAGAGGCUAGAUGAAUUAUUUAUUACUAAACAGGAACAAAAAGCAAGGAACAAAAAUAAAAUUGGGUUGCCUCCCAACAAGCGCUAACGUUUAACGCCCCUAACAAGGCACGAUGAUUUCAAUGAUGCUCACAUAAAAGAUAAGAAUUGAAACAUAAAGAGAGCAUCAUGAAGAAUUUGACUAGCAUAUUUAUGUCUAACCCACUUCCUAUGCAUAGGGAUUUUGCGAGCAAACAACUUAUGGGAACAAUAAUCAACUAGCAUAGGAAGGCAAAACAAGCAUAACCUCAAGAUUUUCAACACAGAGAGGAAACUUGAUAUUAUUGCAAUUCCUACAAGCAUAUGUUCCUCCCUCAUAAUAAUUUUCAGUAGCAUCGUGAAGGAAUUCAACAAUAUAACCAUCACAUAAAGCAUUCUUUUUAUGAUCUACAAGCAUAGAAAAUUUACUACUCUCCACAUAAGAAAAAUUCUUCUCAUUCGGAAUAGUGGGAGUAUCAUAAGAAACUUGAAUACUAUAAAUUGUUUCCAUAUUAAAAGAGUAAUGUUCAGAAAAUGGGUAAUCAUAAUCAUGACAAGUUUUAUAAAUAUAAUCAUCACUACUUUUUAUACCAUAACUGUCAUCACAAUAAUCAUCAUAAGUAGCAACUUUGUUCUCAUCAUAAUCAAUUGAAACCUCUUCCAAGAUUGUGGAAUCAUUACUAAAUAAAGUCCUGACCUCUCCAAAUCCACUUUCAUAAUUAUCACAAUAAGAUUCAACAUCCUCCAAAAUAGUGUCAUCAUUACUUCCUAAAGUUGACACUCUUCCAAACCCACUUUCAUCAAUAUAAUCAUCAUAAGUAGGAGGCUUGCUAUCAUCAUAACAAAUUUGCAUAUCAAAACUUGGGAGGCUAAAAAUAUCAUAUUCAUUAGACAUAGACUCCCCAAGCUUGGGACAAACAUUAAUUGCAGCAAAUAAAUUCUCGAACAUGUCAGUCUCAUCAAACAUAGCAUCCCCAAGCUUGGGCCUUUUCAUAUCAUAAACGUAAUCACUCUCAUCAUUAAUAGUAUGGAUAGCACCAAUAGUAUAGCAAUUAUCAUCAUCACAAUGAGUAAUAGGAGCAACAUCAUUUGGGAGGGAUACCUUUUCACCUUUGCUUCUCCGUCUUCUCUUUUUCUUCUUCACAUUAUGUGUGGGUUUAAUCCUCUUUUUGGAGCACCUUAUUAAUGAGAUUAGUUGAAUAGAAGGCUCCUCCUCGUUACCUGAUUCAUCAUAAGAAAUAAUAGGAAGAUAUUGGGAAGUCUCUUCCCUUUCAUUAGUAUUCUCUUCAUCUUCUAUUUGUUUUCUUGUCUUUAUGUAAUUGGCAAUAUAAGGAUUUUCAAUGCAAUUCACCGCACAAUACAUAAAAAUUUCUUCUAGAUCAAAAUCAAGAAAUCUAUCAAGAUUAAAUCUUGGAAUACCCUCAGUUAUAUGUUUCAUUUCUUCAUACCCCAAAAGAAGAAUAAGCUCUUUAUGAUGCUCAAGGUUAAUCAAGUUAUAAAACUUUUUCGACACGAUUUGAUCAUGAAACAAAUAGCAUUGGAGCUUUAAAUGACCAUGUUCAUUGCAAAGUUCACAAGGAUGGCGAUAAAUAUUGAAUCUUUCAACACAAUCAUCUAGCCUUUCUUGCAACCAUUUAGUUUCUAAAUACUUAUGCCUCUUGCAAUCUAUCUUCCCUAUUUGGUGUGUACUCGCAAACUCUAUGCACUCCACAAAAAUUGACUUGCUUAUAAGAGACAUUUUCAUCAUGACUAGUGCAAUCAUCAUUAGUACUAUGGAUAUUCAAAGAGUUCAUACUAACAACAUUGCAGUCAUGCUCAUCAUUCAAAUAUUUAGUGCCAAACAUUCUAAUGCAUUCUUCUUCUAACAUUUUGGCACAAUUAUUGGAAUCCUUAUUUUCAUGAAAGAUAUUAAAAAGAUGAAGCAUAUGAGGUACCCUCAAUUCCAUUUUUUUGUAGUUUUCUUUUAUAAACUAAACUAGUGAUAAAACAAGAAACUAAAAGAUUCGAUUGCAAGAUCUAAAGAUAUACCUUCCAGCACUCACCUCCCCGGAAACGGCGCCAGAAACUUCUUGAUGUCUACUACGCAAUCUUCUUCUUGUAGACGUUGUUGGGCCUCCAAGUGCAGAGGUUUGUAGGACAGUAGCAAAUUUCCCUCAAGUGGAUGACCUAAGGUUUAUAAUUCGGUGGGAGGCGUAGGAUGAAGAUGGUCUCUCUCAAACAACCCUGCAACCAAAUAAUAAAGAGUUUCUUGUGUCCCCAAAACACCCAAUACAAUGGUAAAUUGUAUAGGUGCACUAGUUCGGCGAAGAGAUGGUGAUACAAGUGCAUUAUGGAUGGUAGAUAUAGGUUUUUGUAAUCUGAAAAUAUAAAAACAGCAAGGUAGCAAGUGGUAAAAGUGAGCGUAAACAGUAUUGCAAUGCUAGGAAACAAGGCCCACGGUUCAUACUUUCACUAGUGCAAGUUCUCUCAACAAUAAUAACAUAAUUGGAUCAUAUAACUAUCCCUCAACAUGCAACAAAGAGUCACUCCAAAGUCAGUAAUAGCGGAGAACAAACGAAGAGAUUAUUGUAGGGUACGAAACCACCUCAAAGUUAUCCUUUCUGAUCAAUCUAUUCAAGAGUCCGUAGUAAAAUAACAUGAAGCUAAUCUUUCCAUUCGAUCUAUCCUAGAGUUCGUACUAGAAUAACACCUUAAGACACAAAUCAACCAAAACCCUAAUGUCACCUAGAUACUCCAAUGUCACCUCAAGUAUCUGUGGGUAUGAUUAUACGAUAUGCAUCACACAAUAUCAGAUUCAUCUAUUCAAACCAACACAAAGUACUUCAAAGAGUGCCCCAAAGUUUCUACCGGAGAAUCAAGACGAAAACGUGUGCCAACCCCUAUGCAUAGAUUCCCAAGGCCACAGAACCCGCAAGUUGAUCACCAAAACAUACAUCAAGUGGAUCAAUAGAAUACCCCAUUGUCACCACGGGUAUCCCACGCAAGACAUACAUCAAGUGUUCUCAAAUCCUUAAAGACUCAACCCGAUAAGAUAACUUCAAAGGGAGAACUCAAUCCAUCACAAGAGAGUAGAGGGGGAGAAACAUCAUAAGAUCAACUAUAAUAGCAAAGCUCGCGAUACAUCAAGAUCGUGACAAAUCAAGAACACGAGAGAGAGAGAGAUCAAACACAUAGCUACUGGUACAUACCCUCAGCCCCGAGGGUGAACUACUCCCUCCUCGUCAUGGAGAGCGCCGGGAUGAUGAAUAUGGCCACCGGUGAGGGAUCCCCCCUCCGGCAGGGUGCCGGAACAGGGUCCCAAUUGGUUUUUGGUGGCUACAGAGGCUUGCGGCAGUGGAACUCCCAAUCUAGGUUAUGUUCUGGAAGUUUCGGUAUAUAUAAGAGGUUUUGGCGUCGGGAACAAGUCAGGGGGGUCUCCGAGGUGGCCACGAUGUAGGCGGGCGCGCCCAGGGGGUAGGGCGCGCCCCCACCCUCGUGGGUGCCUCCGGACUCUUCUGGCCCAUCUCCGAUACUCCAUGGGCUUCUUCUCGUCCAAAAAUAAUCUCCGUCAAAUUUCAGGUCAAUUGGACUCCGUUUGGUUUUCCUUUUCUGCGAUACUCAAAAACAUGGAAAAAAAGAAACUGGCACUGGGCUCUAGGUUAAUAGGUUAGUCCCAAAAAUCAUAUAAAAUAGCAUAUAAAACAUCCUAGAUGGAUAAUAUAAUAGCAUGGAACAAUAAAAAAUUAUAGAUACGUUGGAGACGUAUCAGCGAAGAAGGAGGCGGAGUGCCCUGAUCACUCGCCGGAGGAGGAGGCGGAGUGCCCUGACUCGCCUGAUGAGGAGGAGGAGGCGGAGGCGUCCAGUUCGGCUGGUUGAUGAGCUCCUUCCGCCAUAGGCAUGGAGUCUUCGGAGCAGAACCUAGUCGAGUCUCCCCUUCACCGGUAGGGUGGUCAAGCUCGAGAUCCUCAAAUCCCUCCGUUAUUUCAUCCACCGUCACCCUACCAUAUCCUUCUGGAAUUGGACGGCAGUGAAAAGUUGCGACGGGUUCAGGAGGUCGAACAGAGCUGACAGCCGCCUUGACUUUGAAGUUCUGCCAUUGCGUCAUAAGGUGGUAAUGUUGAGACUCCGUGAUAGCAUCCACGGGGUAGCUAGCAGGAGCCGUGAAGACAGGCUCCAGCUGAAGCAGCUCGGUGGAAGCCACUCUACUUCUCCGCUGAGAUGGCGGGGUAGCUUCGGCAGGUCGCUUGCUGUGAACUGCUUCUCGUUCCUCUAGCGCUUGUACCCUUGCGUGCAGCUUCUGCAGUUGGGUAUGCUCCACUUUCCUCCUCCUCUCCUGGCAUUUGUAACCGCCUGCGUACGGAAACACAGCCUUCCACGAAACGGAGCCUGGCGUGCCUCGUGUCCGUCCAGGGUGCUCAGGAUUCCCGAGGGCCAUUGUGAGCUCGUCGUUCUCUCUGUCUGGAACAAACGUCCCUUCCUGCGCUGCGGCUAUAUAGUCCUGAAGCUUCAUGACGGGUAUUCGUAGUUGCUCGUUUGUCGAAACGCACUUCCCUGUUAUAGGGUCCAAGGUUCCGCCAACCCCGAAGAACCAAGGCCUUGAACGGUCUGGCCAGUUCAAUGUCUCUGGUUCGACCCCUUUAUCAAGCAGGUCAUUCUCAGCCUGGGCCCACAACGACCGGGCUUUGAGGUAGCCACCUGACCCCGUGCGAUGGUGAUGCUCCUUCUUCGCAGAAUUUAUCUUCAGCAGGCCACAAAUGCGUCCUAGUGAUCUCUGGUCUUCUCAUACCGGCCGGUGAAUUCUGGUGUCUUUUCUUUGUCGACAAUCUUUGUUUUCAGCUCAUUCUUCCACCUCCUGAAUAGAUCUGCCAUCUUCUUAAGAGCAUGAGACUUGAUCAAUGGCUCUUUAACUGGCUUCUCCGGAUCCUCCUCUGGCGAUAGGGUGAAAUUUGCCUUCAGCGCGGCCCAAAGAUCAUGUUUCUGCCUAUCGUUGACAUAAGACACCUAAGGGUCUUCGUUCUUAGGCUUAUACCAUUGGUGGAUGCUGAUCGGGAUCAUGUCCCUAACAAGAACCCUGCACUGAGUAGAAAAUGCUUCCUUGGUCCGGAUGGGUUCAAUCGGUUGGCCAUCGCGCGUGAUUGCUGUGAUCGUGAACCUUUCAUCCGAGCGCACCUUUUUCUUCGGGACUCAUCUCUUUACCGAAGUUGUGAUCGAUCCGGAGGGCUAGAAAAAGAAGAAAGACGAGAGUUAAUAUGUGUAAAUACCAAAACAAUGAAUGCAUCAAUUAGCUAGUCCGCACAGGCUUAAUUAAUAUAUAUACCUGGCCGGACUCUGUUCGGUCACCGGAGCCGUCAUCACGGUCUCCUUCUUGCACCGGCAUUCGAUCACCGGAGCCAUCAUAAUCAUGUCCUUCCUCCUCCAUUGUUCAAUAACCGUAGCCUGCUUCACCCUCUCCUUCCAGACCAUCGGUUUCGUUGAUAUACGACAUGACAUCACCUCCGACUGCGAUUAUGCCCCCCAACACCUGUUCUGCUUCCUCAUCUCGGCCGUGCUCCAUAGUUUCGGCAAAUAUUACAACAUGGCAAUUAUUAUACAAACAUGAAAGAUGGAUAUAAUAGUGGCAAACGUAGACCUAGCUAGCUAAUCACAACAAGGAAUCAUAUUAGUGUCCUCGACGCUUCUCUAGGGUUUGGGGUGGCCUCGGCAACGAUUCAAGGGUUCGGGGUGGCCUCGACGACAACGCUCUUUUAAAUUGGUAAAUUUGGGUGGCCUCGGCAGCGCUUCUAGGGUUUGGAUCAAUGAUGUCUACUACACAACCAUCUUCUUGUAGACGUUGUUGGGCCUCCAAGUGCAGAGGUUUGUAGGACAGUAGCAAAUUUCCCUCAAGUGGAUGACCUAAGGUUUAUCAAUCCGUGGGAGGCGUAGGAUGAAGAUGGUCUCUCUCAAGCAACCCUGCAACCAAAUAACAAAGAGUCUCUUGUGUCCCCAACACACCCAAUACAAUGGUAAAUUGUAUAGGUGCACUAGUUCGGCAAAGAGAUGGUGAUACAAGUGCAAUAUGGAUGAUAGAUAUGAGUAUUUGUAAUCUGAAAAUAUAAAAACAGCAAGGUAACUAAUGAUAAAAGUGAGCGUACACGGUAUUUCAAUGCUAGGAAACAAGGCCUAGGGUUCAUACUUUCACUAGUGCAAGUUCUCUCAACAAUAAUAACAUAAUUGGAUCAUAUAACUAUCCCUCAAUAUGCAACAAAGAGUCACUCCAAAGUCACUAAUAGCAGAGAACAAACGAAGAGAUUAUGGUAGGGUACGAAACCACCUCAAAGUUAUUAUUUCUGAUCGAACUAUUCAAGAGUCCAUAGUAAAAUAACACGAAGCUAUUCUUUCCAUUCGAUCUGUCAUAGAGUUCAUACUAGAAUAACACCUUCAGACACAAAUCAACCAAAACCCUAAUGUCACCUAGAUACUCCAAUGCCACCUCAAGUAUCCGUGGGUAUGAGUAUAAGAUAUGCGUCACACAAUCUGAGAUUCAUCUAUUCAAUCCACACAAAGAACUUCAAAGAGUGCCCCAAAGUUUCUACAGGAGAUUCAAGACGAAAACGUGUGACAACCCCUAUGCAUAAGUUCACGGAACUCGCAAGUUGAUCACCAAAAUAUACAUCAAGUGGAUCACGUGAUAUCCCAUUGUCACCACAGAUAAGCACAUGCAAGACAUACAUCAAGUGUUCUCAAAUCCUUAAAGACUCAAUCCGAUAAGAUAACUUCAAAGGGAAAACUCAAUCCAUUACAAGAGACUAGAGGGGGAGAAACAUCAUAAGAUCCAACUAUAAUAGCAAAGCUCGCGGUACAUCAAGAUCGUGCCAAAUCAAGAACACGAGAGAGAGAGAUCAAACACCUAGCUACUUAUACAUACCCUCAGACUCGAGGGUGAACUACUCCCUCCUCGUCAUGGAGAGCACCGGGAUGAUGAAGAUGGCCACGGGUGAAGAAUUUCCCCCACCGGCAGGGUGCCGGAACGGGUCUAGAUUUUUUUCCGAUGGCUACAGAGGCUUGCGGCGGCGGAACUCUCGAUCUAUUCUGCUACCCGAUGUUUUUAGGGUAUAUGGAUAUAUAUAGGCGAAGAAGUCGGUCACGGGAGCCACGAGGGGCCCACGAGGGUGGGGGCGUGCCUAGGGGGGUAGGGCGCGCUUCCCUGCCUCGUGGCUUCCUCGAAGCUUCCCUAACGUCUACUCCAAGUCUCCUGGAUUGCUUCUGUUCCAAAAAAAACUCUCCCGAAGGUUUCAUUCUGUUUGGACUCCGUUUGAUAUUCCUUUUCUUCGAAACACUGAAAUAGGCAAGAAAACAACAAUUUGGGCUGGGCCUCCGGUUAAUAGGUUAGUCCCAAAAAUAAUAUAAAAGUGCAUAAUAAAGCCCAUUAAACAUCCAAAACAUAUAAUAUAAUAGCAUGAAUACUUCAUAAAUUAUAGAUACGUUGGAGACGUAUCAAUCAACUUGUGCACAUUGCCAGACCCUCGACCCUCGACCGCUCGGCGAUCCACGACCCUCUACGUACCCUAUUUCCCAACCCUCGACCCCGUCAUGUCACAUUUGUCUAGUGUCAAAGGACUCAACAAAACCAUGUCUUCAUCAUUUAGGCGAAAGUAACAGGCGCAUGAUGGUACGAAGUUAUGCAAAGUUGUUCUGGAACGGAGUCCCAGAUAGGAACAUUCGCUUUUUCGUACAAAGUUCAGCAAGAGCCUUCCGAAUAUCGCUAUUUGGAAGGCCUUUGCUGAAAUUCAUACAAAAAGGCGAAUUAUCCUAUCCGGGACUCCGUUCCAGAAUAACUUUGCACAACUUCAUACCAUCAUGCCCCAGUUACUUCCGGCUAAUGAUGAAGCCAUGGAUUUCUUCAAUACUUUGACACUAGCUAGGCAACCUCUCGACCCCUCGGCGAUCCUCGACUCUCAACCGCUCGGACGAUCCACGACCCUCUACCCUAUUUCCCGACCCUCGACCCCCUCAUGUCACGUUUGUCUAGUGUCAAAGGAUUCAACAAAACCAUGUCUUCAUCAUUAGGCGAAAGUAACAGGCGCAUGAUGGUACGAAGUUCUGCAAAGUUGUUCUGGAACGGAGUCCCAGAUAGGAACAUUCGCUUUUGUCGUACAAAGUUCAGCAAGAGCCUUCCGAAUAUCGCUAUUUGGAAGGCCUUUGCUGAAAUUCAUACAAAAGGGCGAAUUAUCCUAUCCGGGACUCCAUUCCAGAACAACUUUGCACAACUUUGUACCAUCAUGCCCCGGUUACUUCCGGCUAAUGAUGAAGCCAUGGAUUUCUUCAAUACUUUGACACUAGGCAACCUCUCGACCCCUCGGCGAUCCUCGACCCUCGAACCCUCGGCGACCCUUGACCCCUCGGCGUUCCUCGACCCUUGUCGGUGUCAAAACCGGCGGAUCUCGGGUAGGGGGUCCCGAACUGUGCGUCAAGGAACGAUGGUAACAGGAGACGGGGGGUUACAAGAUUUGAUCUACCACGAGAUCAUAAUAGCUAAACCCUAGAAGCCUAGCCUGUAUGACUAUGGUAAUGUGUAUAUGUCUAUCCGGACUACGCUCUCCAGUUUAUAUAGAUACCGGAGAGAUCUAGGGUUACAUGGGGUUGGUUACAUAAGAAGGAAUCUUCAUAAUUGGUCGCCUAGCUUGCCUUGCGCCAAGGAGAGUCCAAUCUGGACACGGGUAUAGUCUUCGGCCUUCAUAUCUUCACCGCCCAUCAGUCCGGACCAGUGAAUAACAGGCCGGACGCCCGAGGACCCCUUAGUCCAGGACUCCCUCAGUAGCCCCUGAACCUGGCUUCAAUGACGAGGAGUCCGGCGCGCAGAUUGUCUUCGGCAUUGCAAGGCGGGUUCCCCUUUUUCCGAACUCCAAGAUAGUCUUCGGAUGCGAUGAUUGUAUCCGGACUUGUAACGCAUACCACACACAACCGCAGAGAGAAUAUAAUAUUUGCACAAAUCUAAUCUGUCGACAGCUUUUUUAUAACACGACAUCACGUCUGUCCGGUCAUAAUUUCGAACCGUUUUUCAUCUGCCAUCCCAUGUUUUGAGACGCGGUUGUAAUUGGCACGUCCUGUCGAAGCAGAGAUCGUGUCCCCUUAUUGCGGGAUUCUCAUCAAUGCGGGCAUGGGUAACCCAACCGGGCCGUUUAUAUAGCCCUUGGGAAUAGGUGAGUCUUAAGGCGAGUGAGGAGGCGCUUAAUAUUUGUCGUCUUUAUAAGGGGAUAAGCAUUCCCUCUUCCUCUUCUCACGCUUUCUCUCUGUCUCCGCCUUUCCAAUCUUGAGAUCCAGCGCCCAAGUUCUCAUCUCCUUUCCACUCAAGCAACCAUGUCCAGAUCCGGUGGUCAGGGCAAGUGGAUGGUCUCCUCCGUUAAGGAGGAGGACAUUACUGAGCUUCGGGCGGCCGGAUAUUUGGCGAAGGAGAUCUCCCACCGUCUGACGGCCGAGGGACAAGUCGUCCCCACGCCGAAGCCCACCGAGAGGGUAGUAUUCAUCCCCCAUUUCUUCCGCGGGCUAGGGUUUCCACUCCACCCUUUCAUCCGUGGGCUGAUGUAUUAUUACGGGAUGGAUUUCCAUGAUCUGUCCCCGAAUUCCUUCCUCAACAUCUCAGCAUUUAUCAUCGUGUGUGAGGCCUUCCUCCACAUCCAACCCCACUUCGGGCUGUGGCUCAAAGUCUUCAACGUGAAGCCAAAGGUGGUGGAUGGCAGCACGCGGAGUGCGGGGGAGCCAUGGUGAGCAAGCUAUCCAACGUCUCCUGGCCCAAAGGCACUUUUGUGGAGACAGUAAAGGAGUGGCAGAAGCAGUGGUUCUACAACACAAAACCUCGCGGCACCACCUGGUCUGCAGCUGCCUAAUUCCGCUCCGGCGCUCCCAUGCGACUCAUCUCCUGGGUCGAGAAGAGUCCUGACUGGUGUUCACCUCACGAGUUGAUAGCGCUGCAGACGCGUGUUCAGAGCAUGCUGACCAAGAAUGUCAAGCUUUUUGACGUAAUCCAUGUGAUGCUGGUUCACCGGAAUCUUCCAUGCCAGCGCCGAAGCCGCCCUCUAUGAGAGUUCAAUUCGAAGAAGCACCAGACCUUGAUAAGGCUCUUCGAGACUACUCACGAAGGCGCCUGGAAGUUGCUUUUUAAGGGCAAAGAGAAGCCACCGGCCAUGGAUUCAGACCGUGGUCACGAUUGUAAACACCCCGCCAGCGAGGUAUGCUAUUUUUGAUGUACCCCCAACUUAACUGUUUCGAGGAUGACGUGUGAGGUUUUAUUAUGGCUUUUUUCAGCACUAGAUGGAGAGGGCGAAGCAGAUCCAGUGUCCGACUCCGCUUCUUGAAGAACCAGUCAUCCCGCGUCUAGCGAAGAUGCUGGCGCCGGCCCCGUAUAAGGCGCCGGAGAAGAAGGCCAAGAAGAAGGCCAAGGGGGCCAAGAGUGGCCCCCGUCGCAAGGGCACUUCGGACGUGACGUCCGAAGACGACGAAGCCCAUUCCUCUGUCCCCGAGGACCAUGAAGAGGAAGAGGAGGAGGAGGAAAACAACCCUCCCCCCGAGGAGAAGAAGAAAAAGAGGGCGGCUUCAGUGCAUCUGGAGGUGGAAACGCCCAAGAAGGGGAAGGGCGUCCCAGCGGUCAACACCUCGUGGGACGUUGACAACAGUCCGGAACAACGCCCCCGCGCAAAGCCCCAGGCCGCAUCGUAAGUGACAUGGCUCGCUCGUGCGCACAUCCGACCCUUUCUCUUUAUUAUCUUGACAGGGUUAACUGCACUAUCGCAGUCCGGCCCGCGACCUUAUCCAGCGAUCCUCAUCUAGAGGUUCGUUGGCUCCGUCGGAGAUGGCGAGCAUGUCGCCACCGCCGGCUUAUUCCCCCGUGGCCAGGGACGACACCGAAGUGUUGUCCCGGAGGACUGCUCCGAACUGGGGAGGAGCCCAGGAUGCUGUCCGGGAGGCGCCACAAGGCAAGACCUCCACCACCGGACACGCAGGAGAGCCGAUCCCCAUGGAGAUUGGCAAAGAGGGCCGCAUCCAGUUCGGCCCUCAGCCGAAUACGAUUCCGGAGACCCAGAUGGCUCCGGAGUCGGGCGAGUAGCCCCCUUUGAAGGAGGGGGUGCCGCUUCCACCGGUGGCCCCUGUCCAUCCAGGGACGCCGGAUAACCUGAUGGAGGCGCUGUGAGGCGCCUCCGUUAUGGACGAGCAUCGUGUCCUUAUGGGUGCGGUGAUCGAGAAGGUUCAGUCUGCCAAGAGUGGACUGAAUGAAGCCUGCAGCAACCUGUUAACAGGUUUCGAAGUAAGUGACAUAGAAAGAGAAAAACCCCAUGUUGUCAGUAGCCCCUGAGACACUGUCUGGUGUUCGGCAAAAAGAACCGGACAGAGGAUCAAUCUUCUAUUGUAGGAGACUAAUGUAAUGUGUAUGCAUAAGCAGGCGUCGUUGUUGGCCGCAACCUCGCAUGCUGUCGAAGUCUCUGAAUUGAGGCAGAGGCUAGAGCGGACCGAGAACGAGCUCGGCGAGGUUAAGGUUCGGCUCCAGGAGAAGCAAGGUGAGUAACGACUUGCUGUGUGUUUUCGGAAAGCGUAGGCGUUGUGUAUUGAUUGUAGUGCCGUAAUAUGUGUAGGAUCCGCGACCGAGGUCGAGGCCCUCAGUAAGGCCCUGGGCGAGGCCGAGGAGAAGGUUGUCCAGCAGCAAGCCGCCCAUAGGAAGCUCAAGGCCCGGGUCAAAGAAAUCCAGCAGGAGCUUCAGGAUGCGGUGAAAAAAUGUGAGACCUUGGAGCAUGAUGCAUCGGCGAGGCCGAACUCACCAAGGCUCGUCAAAGUGCGGAGACCGCACGGAAUGAGGCCCAGGCCGCCCUCCAGGAGAUCCAGGAGGCCAAGAAGAUCAUGGCGGGUAAGGCUUUUAAGAUGCAAAGCAAGUAUGCAGUGAAGCAGUACCUUUUACUAACCCGGGUUCGGAGUUCCCCAGGGGAUUUUGCGGAUUUACCACACAGUGUAUCAGACGCCGUGGAGUUCUAUCGAGCCAAAGGAGGGGGUUCGACGGAAAAGCUAUUCUGGUCGCAAUAUGCGGCGCCAGAACCUCCCGUGUCCUUUACGAUCAGCUGAAACAGCUGGUGGAGCUGCAUAGGGUGGCCGAACUAGCCAUGAAGGAUUUGAUAAUCUGGCUGUGGCCAACCGAAGCUAUGCCUGGCAGCUACUUCGGACUCAUGAGGCGGAUGGUGAACGCCUGUCCUCGGCUGGACGUCGUCAAGCGCUCUGCCUGUAUUGAAGGUGCCCGCAUGGCCUUCGCCCGUUGCAAGAUGUGGUCUAAGCUUGGGGGAGUUGAUACGUCCAUUUUGCAUCAUGCUUUUAUAUUGAUAUUUAUUGCAUUAUGGGCUGUUAUUACACAUUAUAUCACAAUACUUAUGCCUAUUCUCUCUUAUUUUACAAGGUAUACAUGAAGAGGGAGAAUGCCGGCAGCUGGAAUUCUGGGCUGGAAAAGGAGCAAAUAUUAGAGACCUAUUCUGCACAACUCCAAAAGUCCUGAAACUCCACGAAAGUCAUUUUUGGAAAUAAUAAAAAAAUAUUGGGCGGACGAAAUACCAGAGGGGGCCCACACCCGAGCCACGAGGGUGGGGGGCGCGCCCUACGCCCCUGGGCGCGACCCCUGCUUCGUGGGCCCCCUGUUGGCCCUCCGGUGCCCAUCUUCUGCUAUAUGAAGUCUUUCGUCCGAAGAAAAAUCAUAAGCAAGCUUUCGGGACAAGACUCCGCCGCCACGAGGCGGAACCUUGGCGGAACCAAUCUAGGGCUCCGGCAGAGCUGUUCAACCGGGGACACUUCCCUCCGGGAGGGGGAACUCAUCGCCAUCGUCAUCACCAACGCUCCUCUCAUCGGGAGAGGCCAGUCUCCAUCCACAUCUUCACCAGCACCAUCUCCUCUCAAACCCUAGUUCAUCUCUUGUAUCCAAUUCUAGUCUCAUAGCCUGGGAUUGGUACCUGUAGGUUGCUAGUAGUGUUGAUUACUCCUUGUAGUUGAUGCUAGUUGGUUUAUUUGGUUGAAGAUCAGAUGUUCAGAUCCUAUAUGCAUAUUAAUACUCCUCUGAUUAUGAACAUGAAUAUUCUUUGUGAGUAGUUACGUUUGUUCCUGAGGACAUGGGAGAAGUCUUGCUAUUAGUAGUCAUGUUUAUUUGGUAUUCGUUCGAUACUUUGAUGAGAUGUAUGUGGUCUUUCCUCUAGUAGUGUUAUCUGAACGUCGACUACAUGACACUUCACCAUUAUUUGGGCCUAGAGGAAGGCAUUGGGAAGUAAUAAGUAGAUGAUGGGUUUCUAGAGUGACAGAAGCUUAAACCCUAGUUUAUGCGUUGCUUCGUAAGGGGCUGAUUUGGAUCCAUAUGUUUCAUGCUAUGGUUAGGUUUACCUUAAUACUUCUUUUGUAGUUGCGGAUGCUUGCAAUAGGGGUUAAUCAUAAGUGGGAUGCUUGUCCAAGUAAGGACAGCACCGAAGCACCGGUCCACCCACAUAUCAAAUUAUCAAAGCACCGAACGUGAAUCAUAUGAACGUGAUGAAACCUUGCUUGACGAUAAUUCCCAUGUGUCCUCGGGAGCGCUUUUCUCUAUAUAAGAGUUUGUCCAGGCUUGUCCUUUGCUACAAAAAGGAUUGGGCCACCUUGCUGCACUUUAUUUACUUUUGUUACUUGUUGCUCGUUACAAAUUACCCUAUCACAAAACUAUCUGUUACCUAUAAUUUCAGUGCUUGCAGAGAAUACCUUGCUGAAAACCGCUUAUCAUUUCCUCCUGCUCCUCGUUGGGUUCGACACUCUUACUUAUCGAAAGGACUACGAUAGAUCCCCUAUACUUGUGGGUUAUCAAGACUCUUUUCUGGCGCCAUUGCCGGGGAGUGAAGCGCCUUUGGUAGGUGGAAUUUGGUAAGGAAAAAUUUAUAUAGUGUGCUGAAAUUUACUGUCACUUGUUACAAUGGAAAGUAAACCUCUGAGGGGUUUGUUCGGGGUAUCUUCACCCCGACCGGUAGAGCAAAGAGUUGCUCCUCAACCUACUGAACCUACUGAAAAUGAAAAUGUCUAAUUUGAGAUUCCUUCGGGUAUGAUAGAAAAACUGCUAGCUAAUCCUUUUGCAGGAGACAGAACAAUGCAUCCUAAUGAGCACCUAAUAUAUGUGGAUGAAGUUUGUGGAUUAUUGAAGCUUGCAGGUGUGCCCGAUGAUGUUAUUAAAAAGAAGGUCUUCCCUUUAUCUUUGAAGGGAGAUGCAUUGACAUGGUAUAGGCUAUGUGAUGACAUGGGAUCAUGGAACUACAAAUGAUUGAAAUUGGAAUUUCAUCAGAAGUUUUAUCCUAUGCAUCUUGUUCAUCGUGAUCGCAAUUAUAUUUAUAAUUUUUAGCCUCGCGAAGGAGAAAGCAUCGCUCAAGCUUGGGCGAGGCUUAAAUCAAUGUUAUAUUCAUGCCCCAAUCAUGAGCUCCCAAGAGAAAUAAUUAUUCAAAACUUUUAUGCUCGGCUUUCUGAUAACAAUCGCACCAUGCUCGAUACUUCUUGUGCUGGCCCUUUUAUGAUGAAGACUAUUGAAUUCAAAUGGGAUUUAUUGGAAAGAAUUAAACACAAUUCUCAAGAUUGGGACCUCGACGAAGGUAAGGAGUCAGGUAUGACACCUAAGUUUGAUUGUGUUAAAUCUUUUAUGGAUACCGAUGUUUUCCGUAAAUUUAGCACUAAAUAUGGACUUGACUCUGAGAUAGUAGCUUCUUUCUGUGAAUCUUUUGCUACUCAUGUUGAUCUCCCUAAGGAGUAGUGGUUUAAAUAUCAUCCUCCCAUAGAAAUAAAAGUAGCUGCACCUAUUAAAGUUGAAGAAAAGACUAUCACUUAUACCGAUCCUUUUGUUCCUACUGCUUACGUUGAGAAACCACCUUUUCCUGUUAGGAUAAAAGAUCAUCCUAAAGCUUCAACUGUGGUUCGUAAAAGCAAUAUUAGAACCUAUACACCUCCUGAGCAAGUUAAAGUUGAACCUAAUAUUGCUAUAUUUAAAGAUCUCUUGGCUGAUAAUAUUGAUGGGCAUGUUAUUUAUUUCUGUGAUGAAACUGCUAAAAUUGCUAAACCGUGUGCUAAAGAUAAACAUAGACCUGUGGUAGGCAUGCCUGUUAUUUCUGUUAAAAUAGGAGAUCAUUGUUAUCAUGGCUUGUGUGAUAUGGGUGCUAGUGCUAGUGCUAUACCUCAUGACUUAUACAAAGAAAUUAUGCAUGAUAUUGCACCUGCUGAGAUAGAAGAUAUUGAUGUCACAAUUAAACUUGCUAAUAGAGAUACUAUAUCACCAAUUGGAAUUGUUAGAGAUGUUGAAGUCUUGUGUGGGAAAACUAAGUAUCCUACUGAUUUUCUUGUUCUUGGUUCCCCAGAAGAUAGCUUUUGCCCCAUUAUAUUUGGUAGACCCUUCUUAAACACUGUUAAUGCUAAGAUAGACUCCGAAAAGGAUGUUGUUACUAUUGGUUUGGGUGAUAUGUCUCAUGACUUUAAUUUCUCUAAAUUUCGUAGACAACAUCGUGAAGAGGAAUUGCCUAGUAAAGAUGAAAUUAUUGCUCUUGCUUCUAUUGUCGUACCUCCUAGUGAUCCUUUAGAACAAUAUUUCCUAGACCAUGAAAAUGAUAUGUUUAUGAAUGAAAGAAGGGAAAUAGAUGAAGUAUUCUUUAAACAGGAACCCAUCCUGAAACACAAUUUGCCUGUUGAAAUCCUAGGGGAUCCUCCUCCACCCAGGGGUGAUCCCGUGUUUGAGCUUAAACCAUUGCCUGAUAGUCUUAAAUAUGCUUAUCUCGAUGAGAAGAAGAUAUAUCCUGUUAUUAUUAGUGCUAACCUUUCAGAGCAUGAAGAAGAGAGAUUAUUGAAAACUCUGAAGAAGCACCGAGCUUCUAUUGGAUAUACUCUUGAUGAUCUUAAGGGCAUUAGUCCCACUCUAUGUCAACACAAAAUAAAUUUGGAGAAAGAUGCCAAACCAUUUCGUGAUCACCAACGACGGCUGAAUCCUAAGAUGGAAGAAGUGGUAAGAAAGGAAAUACUAAAGCUCCUUGAGGCAGGUAUAAUUUACCCCGUUGCUGAUAGUUAGUGGGUAAGUCCUGUCCAUUGUGUCCCUAAGAAGGGAGGUAUUACUGUCGUUCCUAAUGAUAAAGAUGAAUUGAUUCCGCAAAGAAUUAUUACAGGUUAUAGGAUGGUAAUUGAUUUCCGCAAAUUAAAUAAAGCUACUAAAAAGGAUCAUUACCCCUUACCUUUUAUUGAUCAAAUGCUAGAAAGAUUAUUCAAACAUACACAUUUUUGCUUUCUAGAUGGUUAUUCUGGUUUCUCGCAAAUACCCGUGUCAGCCUAUGAUCAAUCAAAGACCACUUUGACUUGCCCUUUCGGUACUUUUGCUUAUAGACGUAUGCCUUUUGCUACCUUUCAAAGAUGCAUGAUGGCUAUAUUCUCUGACUUUUGUGAAAAGAUUUGUGAGGUUUUCAUGGACGAUUUCUCCGUCUAUGGAUCCUCUUUUGAUGAUUGCUUAAGCAACCUUGAUCGAGUUUUGCAGAGAUGUGAAGAAACUAACCUUGUCUUGAAUUGGGAGAAGUGCCACUUUAUGGUUAAUGAAGGUAUUGUCUUGGGGCAUAAUGUUUCUGAAAGAGGUAUUGAAGUUGAUAAAGCCAAGGUUGAUGCUAUUGAGAAGAUGCCAUGUCCCAAGGACAUCAAAGGUAUAAGAAGUUUCCUAGGUCAUGCCAGUUUUUAUAGGAGGUUCAUUAAGGACUUCUCAAAAAUUUCUCGGCCUCUCACUAAUUUAUUACAAAAAGAUGUACCCUUUGUCUUUGAUGAUGAUUGUGUAGAAGCAUUUGAAAUACUUAAGAAAGCAUUGAUCACUGCACCUAUCGUUCAGCCACCUGAUUGGAAUUUACCUUUUGAAAUUAUGUGUGAUGCUAGUGAUUACGCUGUAGGUGCUAUUCUAGGGCAAAGAGUUGAUAAGAAAUUAAAUGUUAUUCAAUAUGCUAGUAAGACUCUAGACAAUGCCUAGAUAAAUUAUGCUACUACUGAAAAAGAAUUCUUAGCAGUUGUAUUUGCCUAUGAUAAGUUCAGACCUUAUAUUGUUGAUUCUAAAGUAACUAUUCACACGGAUCAUGCUGCUAUUAAAUACCUUAUGGAAAAGAAAGAUGCUAAACCUAGACUUAUUAGAAGGGUUCUCUUGCUACAAGAAUUUGAUUUAUAUAUUAUUGAUAGAAAGGGAGCUGAGAACCCCGUUGCAGACAACUUGUCUAGGUUAGAAAAUGUUCUUGAUGACCCACUACCUAUUGAUGAUAGCUUUCCUGAUGAACAAUUAAAUGUCAUAAAUGUUUCUCGUACUGCUCCAUGGUAUGCUGAUUAUGCUAAUUACAUUGCUGCUAAAGUUAUACCACCUAAUUUCACAUACCAGCAAAAGAAAAAGUUUUUCUAUGAUUGAAGACAUUACUUCUGGGAUGAUCCACAUCUCUAUAAAGAAGGAGUAGAUGGUGUUAUUAGACGUUGUGUACCUGAGCAUGAACAGGAAUAGAUCCUACGCAAGUGUCAUUCCGAAGCUUACGGAGGACACCACGCUGGAGAUAGAACCGCACAUAAGGUAUUGCAAUCCCGUUUUUAUUGGCCUACUCUCUUCAAGGAUGCCCGUAAGUUUGUCUUGUCUUGUGAUGAAUGUCAAAGAAUAGGUAAUAUUAGUAGACGUCAAGAAAUGCCUAUGAAUUAUUCACUUCUUAUUGAACCAUUCGAUGUUUGGGGCUUUGAUUAUAUGGGACCGUUUCCUGCCUCUAAUGGAUACACACAUAUUCCAGUUGCUAUUGAUUACGUUACUAAGUGGCUAGAAGCUAUUCCAACUAGUAGUGCUGAUCAUAACACCUCUAUUAAUAUGCUUAAAGAAGUGAUUUUUCCAAGGUUUGGAGUCCCUAGAUAUUUAAUGACUGAUGGUGGUUCACAUUUUAUUUAUGGUGCUUUCCGUAAAAUGCUUGCUAAGUAUGAGGUUAGUCGUAGAAUUGCAUCCCCUUAUCACCCACAGUCUAGUGGUCAAGUAGAAUUGAGUAAUAGAGAACUCAAAUUAAUUUUGCAAAAGACUGUUAAUAGAUCUAGAAAGAAUUGGUCCAAGAAACUUGAUGAUGCAUUAUGGGCCUAUAGAACUGCAUAUAAAAAUCCUAUGGGUAUGUCUCCGUAUAAAAUGGUUUAUGGAAAAGCAUGUCACUUACCUCUCGAGCUAGAACAUAAGGCUUAUUGGGCUAUUAAGGAGCUCAAUUAUGAUUUCAAACUUGCUGGUGAGAAGAGGUUAUUUGACAUUGGCUCACUUGAUGAAUGGAGAACCCAAGCCUAUGAGAAUGCCAAGUUGUUUAAAGAAAAAGUUAAAAGAUGGCAUGACAAAAGAAUACAAAAGCGUGAGUUUAAUGUAGGCGAUUAUGUAUUACUAUACAACUCUCGUUUGAGAUUUUUUGCAGGAAAACUUCUCUCUAAAUGGGAAGGUCCAUACGUUAUCGAGGAGGUCUAUCGUUCCGGUGCUAGAAAAAUCAACAACUUCGAAGGCACAAAUCCGAAGGUGGUAAACGGCCAAAGAAUCAAACAUUAUAUCUCAGGUAAUCCUAUAAAUGUUGAAACCAAUGUUAUUGAAACCGUAACCCCGGAGGAAUACAUAAGGGACACUUUCCAGAACGUUUCAGACUCUGAAAAGGAAUACGUAUGUGGUACAGUAAGUAAACCGACUCCAAAACAGUUCUAAAGGCAUUUUUUCUCCGUUUGGGAAUAUUUAGAAAAAUAAGAUGCAGUCCGGGAAGGACACGAGGGCUCCACGAGGGUGGAGGGCGCGCCCCCUGCCUCGUGGGCACCUCGUGUGCUCUCCGGACUCCGUUUUUUUGCACGAUACGUAUUUUGGUCGGUAAAAAUUCAUCAUAUAAUCUCCCAAAGGUUUUGACUCCUCUAUCACGCAAAUAUCCUCUAUUUUCUGUUUCGAGUUGUUUCUGUAGCAGGUUUGGAGCAAGAUGUCAUCUCAGGAUUCCGACGGAGAGAGCUAUGUCUCACACUUCGUUGUUGACCCAAAGACCUAUGGGGAUCUAUCUCCUUGUGGUCGAACUACGGAUGAGGAGGAGGAUGCUCAUUUGAUGAGGAUCAAUGAUUCAAGUUCGGAGGAGGAGGAUAUCCCUCUACCUCAACCUGGGGAUAUGCACGUGAAGUUCAAGAAAUCUAGUCUUCCCAAGAGGGCUAAACUAUGUAACAACCGAUCUAUUCCUUCUCGUUUCGACAGAAGAGCAAGGGAGAUUUAUGUGACAGGAUCUUGAAGCUGGAAUCGGAGGUCGAUGAUUUAAAGGAGGAAAUUGCUCUCCUCAAUUACAAUAUAAAGAAGCUGAAAGCACAAUUUACAUCAUCAACAACUCUGUCAUCAUCACCUCCGAACAAGGAGACAUAAUCACAUGGGUAUGGGCACUCCCCUUGGCAACUGCCAAGCUUGGGGGAGGUGCCCCGAUAUCUUUACCGUUUUUCUUAGUUCGAUCCUAUUAGUAGUAUCUUGAUCUAGUAGAAUAUAUUUUAUGGCAUGAUCUAGUUUUGAGUUUUGCUUUAUGAUCCCUCUAUGUAACCGAGGCCGUGAGCUAUAUAAUAAAGAUUAGUGUUCAGUCAAGGGCUUGAUUAUUUUGCCAUGAUCUUGAGUGAAUAAAAGAAAAGAGAAAAGAAUAAAAAGAAACAAAGAGAUCAUAUUGAUCUUAUGGAGAGUAAUGACUUCACAUGGAAAGAGUAUGAUGAUUAAAUUUUUUUGGGAGUUGACAAACAUAGCUUUGGUCAUCGUUGCAAUUAAUACGAAGUAAUAAAGAAAGAGAGGUUUCACAUAUAAAUAUACUAUCUUGGACAUCUUUUAUGAUUGGGAGCACUCAUUAAAAUAUGACAUGCUAAAGAGUUGAUGUUGGACAAGGAAGACAACGUAAUGGGUUAUGUUUUCUUAUAUCUGAGUUAAAGUAUAUUGUCAUGGAUCAUCCAACAUGUUGAGCUUGUCUUUCCCCCUCUUGCUAGCCAAACUCUUUGCACCAAGUAGAGAUACUACUUGUGCCUCCAAAUACCCUUAAACCAGUUUUGCCAUGAGAGUCCACCAUAUCUACCAAUGGAUUGAGUAAGAUCCUUCAAGUAAGUUUUCAUCGGUGCAAGCAAUAAAAAUUGCUCUCUAAAUAUAUAUGAUUGAUUGGUGUGGAGGAAAUAAGCUUUAUACGAUCUUGUGAUGUGGAAGAAAUAAAAGCGACGGACUACAUAAUAAAGGUUCAUAUCACAAGUGGCAAUAUAAAGUGACGUUCUUUCGCAUUGAUAUUGGCAACCUCUGCUUCCCUCUACGAAGGGCCUAUCUUUUAUUAUUAUCUUCUACGUUAUGCAGGAGUCGUGGUGAUCUUCACCUUUUCUUUUUACGUUUUAUCCUUUGGCAAGCACAGUGUGUUGGAAAGAUCCUGAUAGAUAUAUCUAAUUGGAUGUGAGUUAGCAUGAGCUAUUAUCGUUGACAUUACCCUUGAGGUAAAAGGUUGGGAGGCGAAUCUAUAAGCCCCUAUCUUUCUCCGUGUCCGAUUAAAACUCUGUAACCGUAAGUAUUGCGUGAGUGUUAGCAAUUAUGAAAGACUAAAUGAUAGUUGAGUAUGUGGACUUGCUGAAAUGCUCUGACAUAGACUCUUUCUGAUGUUAUGAUAAAUGGCAAUUGCUUCAAUGACUGAGAUUAUAGUUUGUUAGUUCUCAAUAAAGUUUCUGAUUCAUACUUUGCAUUGUGAAUAGAUUAUUACUUGAGCAUAAGAAAUCAUAUGACAAUAUCCAUAUAUGUUGCUGUUAUAAGAUUAAUCAUGAUGCCCUCAUGUCCGUAUUUUAUUUUAUCGACACCUCUACCUCUAAACAUGUGGACAUAUUUAUCGUUAUCGGCUUCCGCUUGAGGACAAGCGAGGUCUAAGCUUGGGGGAGUUGAUACGUCCAUUUUGCAUCAUGCUUUUAUAUUGAUAUUUAUUGCAUUAUGGGCUGUUAUUACACAUUAUGUCACAAUACUUAUGCCUAUUCUCUCUUAUUUUACAAGGUUUACAUGAAGAGGGAGAAUGCCGGUAGCUGGAAUUCUGGGCUGGAAAAGGAGCAAAUAUUAGAGACCUAUUCUGCACAACUCCAAAAGUCCUGAAACUCCACGAAAGUCCUGCCCCCCUGCCUCGUGGGCCCCCUGUUGCCCCUCCGGUGCCCAUCUUCUGCUAUAUGAAGUCUUUCGUCCGAAGAAAAAUCAUGAGCAAGCUUUCGAGGUGAGACUCCGCCGCCACGAGGCGGAACCAAUCUAGGGCUCCGGCAGAGCUAUUCUGCCGGGGACACUUCCCUCCGGGAGGGGGAAAUCAUCGCCAUCGUCAUCACCAACACUCCUCUCAUCGGGAGAGGGCAAUCUCCAUCAACAUCUUCACUAGCACCAUCUCCUCUCAAACCCUAGUUCAUCUCUUGUAUCCAAUUCUAGUCUCAUAGCCUGGGAUUGGUACCUCUAGGUUGCUAGUAGUGUUGAUUACUCCUUGUAGUUGAUGCUAGUUGGUUUAUUUGGUGGAAGAUCAUAUGUUCAUAUCCUAUAUGCAUAUUAAUACUCCUUUGAUUAUGAACAUGAAUAUGCUUUGUGAGUAGUUACGUUUGUUCCUGAGGACAUGGGAGAAGUCUUGCUAUUAGUAGUCAUGUGAAUUUGGUAUUUGUUCGAUAUUUUGAUGAGAUGUAUGUUGUCUUUCCUCUAGUGGUGUUAUGUGAACGUCGACUACAUGACACUUCACCAUUAUUUGGGCCUAGAGGAAGGCAUUGGGAAGUAAUAAGUAGAUGAUGGGUUGCUAGAGUGACAGAAGCUUAAACCCUAGUUUAUGCGUUGCUUCGUAAGGGGCUGAUUUGGAUCCAUAUGUUUCAUGCUAUGGUUAGGUUUACCUUAGUACUUCUUUUGUAGUUGCGGAUGCUUGCAAUAGGGGUUAAUCAUAAGUGGGAUGCUUGUCCAAGUAAGGACAGCACCCAAGCACCGGUCCACUCACAUAUCAAAUUAUCAAAGUACCGAACGCGAAUCAUAUGAACGUGAUGAAAACUAGCUUGACAAUAAUUCCCAUGUGUCCUCGGGAGCGCUUUUCUCUAUAUAAGAGUUUGUCCAGCCUUGUCCUUUGCUACAAAAAGGAUUGGGACACCUUGCUGCACUUUAUUUACUUUUGUUACUUGUUGCUCGUUACAAAUUACCCUAUCACAAAACUAUCUGUUACCUAUAAUUUCAGUGCUUGCAGAGAAUACCUUGCUGAAAACCGCUUAUCAUUUCCUUCUGCUCCUCGUUGGGUUCGACACUCUUACUUAUCGAAAGGACUACGAUAGAUCCCCUAUACUUGUGGGUCAUCAGGUGCUCAUCCGGUCAAGGCCAGGGCACAAUCGCAGUAGUUCUCCCUUUACUACCCUAGCCGAUGUAGCGGAACGUAGGGUAGCAAGCACAGGAGCCGGGCAACCCAACUAUUGACCAAAGAAAUGAUUCGGCGCCAAUGCAUAUAAUGCUAAAUUCGGGGUGUCGAACUUAUCUAUAAGAAGUGUUUGGGCUAUGCUGCCGUAUUGUGGGGCGACAAGUAGCCCCUAACGAAUAUGAAACGUACAAAAGUCUACCGAUGCAGCCGAUAAGCAUAUCAAAAUAAAAUGAAGUAAGAAGCGAAAACCAUAGAAACUGGGCCACAAACCAUUUUUAUUAUAACUGGAUGGAUACGUCAAGGCGUAUCUUGUACAGACGGUGCGAUAAGUAUCCGGGCUAUUUAGCAUGCCGGAAUCAAUAGGGUGCAGUGUGCGGGUCCUGAGAAAUAAGUAUGAAUACCGUCAAGAAGAACGUAUAGAGGUUACCCUACACACCUGUGCUGCUUGCCUCCGUUGUAUGCCAAUCCUUCGAAAGGACUUGUGAUCAAGCCCGCGGAAAAAGGAACCUGAAACAAGAAGAAAAAGUGAAAGUAUGAGUGUCCUAGAUCGGUCUGGCCGAACUGUAGGUCCCGGAUUAGCUUGUGCCUCCGUCGAUGUCCAUGGAAUUUUGAGUGCGUAAUUGUGUACGCGUGGUACGAGUGCCACUACCUCAUCGGGACUGGGAUAGAGGCUGAAUUGCUAAUUGAGCUCUUGACGAGCCGCGCCUUCCUAUUGCAGUGUAGUCCGGAACCUCUUAAUGACGUCCGAGGGCUCGACAGCCGUACUAUGGUGCUGCUUGUGAAGGCCGCUCUGUACUUCUGCUGCUAGGGCGGCGGUGUGCUCCUCUGUUCGGAGGGAGCGCUCCGUAUUGCCAUUGACUGUUAUGACGCCGCGUGGACCGGGCAUCUUAAGCUUGAGAUAAGCAUAGUGUGGCACUGCGUUGAAUCUAGCAAACACGGUUUGUCCGAGCAGUGCGUGAUAGCCACUGCAGAAGGGGACGAUAUCGAACAUUAACUCUUCGCUUCGGAAGUUGUCCGGAGAACCGAAAACUACCUCCAGCGUGAUUGAGUCCGUACAGCGGGCCUCUACGCCUGGUAUGACUCCUUUUAAAGGUAGUCUUUGUUGGUUUGAUUCAUGAGGGGUUAAUGCCCAUCUUCCGCACUGUGUCCUGAUAAAGCAGGUUGAGGCUGCUGCCACCGUCCAUCAGGACUCGUGUUAGGUGAAACCUGUCAAUAAUUGGGUCGAGGACUAGUGCGCCUGAACCGCCAUGGCAGAUACUAGUUGGGUGAUCUCGGUGAUCGAAGGUGAUCGGGAAUGAUGACCACGGUUUGAAUUUGGGGGCGACUGGCUCUACCGCGUAGACGUCCCUAAGUGCUCGCUUGCGCUCCUUUUUGGGGAUGUGUGUAGCGUAUAUCAUGUUCACCGUUUUGACUUGAGGGGGAAAUUUCUUCUGUCCCCCAGUGUUCGGCUGCCGGGGCUCUUCGUCCUCGUCCUCACUUUGUGAUCCCUUUUCUUUGUUUUCAGCGUUUAACUUGCCGGCCUGUUUGAAAACCCAAUGGUCUCGGUUGGUGUGAUUGGCUUGUUUGUCUGGGGUGCCAUGUAUUUGGCACGGACGGUCAAGUAUGCGGUCUAGGCUGGAAGGUCCUUCAUUGUUUCUUUUGUAGGGCUUCUUGCGUUGGCCGGACUUGGAGCCACUGAAUCCGGCGUUAACUGUGGUGUCAUCGGUGUUGUCGCCAUUGCUUCGGCGUUUGUGUCUAUUGCGCCGGAGCUUGCUGGUGCUAUUCUUGGCCUCGGAGGGGCCUGCCUCGCUGGCUGUGUUCUUGCUACGAGCCAGCCAGUUGUCCUCACCCACGCAAAAGCGGGUCAUGAGUCCCGUAAGGGCUACAAUAGACUUCGGCUUUUCUUGGACGAGGUGGCGUGCUAGCCAUUCGUCACGGAUGCUGUGUUUGAAGGCUGCUAGGGCCUCGGCAUCCGGACAGUCAACGAUCUGGUUCUUUUUGGUUAGGAACCUAGUCCAGAAUUUUCUGGCUGAUUCUCCAGGUUGUUGAACUAUGUGGCUUAAGUCGUCGGCGUCUGGUGGCCGGACAUAGGUUCCUUGGAAGUUAUCUAGGAAGGCUUCUUCCAAGUCCUCCCAGCUGCCGAUAGAAUUUUCAGGCAGGUUGUUAAGCCAAUGUCGAGCUGGCCCUUUGAGCUUUAGUGGGAGGUAUUUAAUGGCGUGAAGGUCAUAUCCUCUAGCCAUAUGGAUGUGGAGAAUGAAAUCCUCGAUCCAUACUGCAGGAUCGGUUGUGCCGUCGUAUGAUUCGAUAUUGACAGGCUUGAACCCCUCGGGGAAUUCAUGAUUCAGUACCUCAUCUGUGAAGCAGAGAGGGUGUGCGGCGCCUCUAUAUCGGGCCGCAUCGCGGCGUAGCUCUGAUGGAGUCCGUCUGCAGCAUUCGGCCCGGGCGUGCUUAUGUUUGUCACGUCCGAAUAGGUAGCCGUCGUCGUGCCUCAAGGCGCGUCCUCGCGAUCCGUAGAUCGAUCUUGUAUGUCCUGCUCUACUGUCCAGGGUCUGCCGGAGGUCGUACGUGUGACCCCGAACUCUUCCGUCUCUAUUUUUAUGGGGCGGUGGGGCAGGCUGCUGUUCGGCCUGUGUUGCCGCUUUAUCCCGACCGCGGGGUGGCCGGUCGGCCGCCCUGUCUCGACCAUGUGGUUGUCGCUCUGCAUUACGCGAGGGAGAUAUGUGCUCCGGUGCCUCCACAUCAAAUUGAGGCAGCAGUCUGUGUUUCGGGUAGCUCUUGGCUGGGUGCUUGAGGCCGUAUUCUUCGGCUGUCAGGACAUUGGUCCAUCUGUCGACGAGCAAAUCUUGUUCAGCUUGAAGCUGCUGAUGUUUCUUUUUCAGGCUCCUUGAAGUGGCUAUGAGCUGAAGCUCAAAGCGCUCCUGCUCCAGAGAAUCCUCAGGCAUGAUGAAAUCUUCGUUGCCGAGGCUUGUCUCCUCCUCGGAGGGUGGACGGUAGCUAUCGUCCUACGAGUCAUCUUCUAUGGUCUGUUCAUCAGGGUUAUCUUGCCUGUUGUCAUCUUCCUCCUAUUCGGAUGCAGCUCCGACAGGGUCUUCAUUGUUUUCGGCGUCGCCCGAUAUACUAUUUUCUCCGGUGCCAGUGUCGCCAUCCUUUGAGCGACGGGGCAUAGAACGGCGUUUGGGCCGUCGGCGCUUGGACUGCGUCUCAGAGGGUAUAUUCGUAUCUGGCUCUUCUUUGUCGUCGCCAGAUCCUUUAGGUGUAUCAACCAUGUACACGUCGUACGAAGAGGUGGCCGUCCAACGUCCAGUGAACGGCGGGUCUUGGCCUUGCUCCUUGUCAGCAUCGUCGUCCAUACCGUCGAUGUCUUCGGAGCCGUAGUCAAGCACGUCGGUUAAGUCAUCGACAGUGGCUAUGAAGUGGGUGGCGGGUGGGAAGCAAACUUCCUCCUCAUCCGCCUCUAGCUCGAACCGAACAUAGUUCGGCUGUGAGUCUUCCUCCAAGGACAAGUUCUUUAAAGAGUUUAGCACGUCACCAAAAGGUGAGUGCUGGAAGAUGUCUGCGGCGCUGAAUUCGAAAAUCGAUAACCGAUCCAGCUCGGUGUCCGCAGGCGUAUCUGGUCCGGAACUUAUAGCCGGAGACGAGUCCGGAGUUCCAUUGACGCAAUCAUUGCAGGAUGUCGAGUCCAUGUGUGGCUCCAACGCCGCGGAUUUUGUGGCCUUGGAGGGCACGAUCUGCUUCGGUUCUAAGGCCGCUGCAGCGAUAGGAACCAUCUCCUGGAUGUGAUCCGAUGACAGAUCUAAGUCACGUUCAUCGGGGCGAGGGGGAGCGAUUGCCGCGGUCCCAAACCCGCUGAAGAUCAAGUCUCCACGGGUAUCCGCGAUGUAAUUCAAGCUUCCGAAUCUGAACUGAUGGCCAGGGGCAUAGCUAUCGACUUGCUCCAGAUGGCCAAGGGAGUUGGCCCGCAGUACGAAGCCGCCGAACACAAAAAUCUGUCCGGGGAGGAAGGUUUCUCCUUGGACAGCGUCCCUAUCAACGAUUGAAGGAGCCAUCGAACCUUUAGUCGAUGGCACAGUGGAACUCUCAAUGAAAGCACCAAUGUCGGUGUCAAAACCGGCGGAUCUCGGGUAGGGGGUCCCGAACUAUGCGUCUAGGAUCGAUGGUAACAGGAGAAGGGGGACACGAUGUUUACCCAGGUUUGGGCCCUCUCUAUGGAGGUAAUACCCUACUUCCUGCUUGAUUGAUCUUGAUGAAUAUGAGUGUUACAAGAGUUGAUCUACCACGAGAUCGUAAUAGCUAAACCCUAGAAGCCUAGCCUGUAUAACUAUGGUAAUGUGUAUAUGUCUAUCCAAACUACGCUCUCCGGUUUAUAUAGACACCGGAGAGAUCUAUGGUUACAUGGGGUCGGUUACAUAAGAAGGAAUCUUCAUAAUUGGUCUCCUAGCUUGCCUUCCACGCCAAGGAUAGUCCAAUCCGGAAACGGGUAUAGUCUUCGGCCUUCAUAUCUUCACAGCCCAUCAGUCCGGCCCAAUGAAUAACAGGUCGGACGCCCGAGGACCCCUUAGUCCAGGACUCACUCAACCCUCGAACCCUAGGCCCCUCGACGACCCUUGAACCCUCAAACCCUUGGUGACCCUCGAACCUCUACCCUAAUUCCCGACCCUCGCCCCUCGAACCCUCGGCGACACCCCCCCUCCUCAUGUCGAAGUUAUCGGGGAGGGGGUAUAUCGACCCCCCCCCCAUGUAAGAAGAGGAAAAAAGAUCGAUGAAGAAAAAAGAGGAGAAGAAGAAAGGAAUAGGGGAGAAGAUCAAAGAAAAAAAAUAAGAAAAAAGGGAGGAGAAGAAAGGAAUAGAGGAGAAGAAGAAAAAAAUAUAAUUCUCCUAUUUUUUCUUCUUCUUUUUUUUCUCUUCUUCUUUUUCUCUCCUCUUCUUCCUCUCCUCUUCUUCUCCUUUCUUCUUCUCCUUCUUCCUCUUCUUAUUUCCCUUUUUCCACUCCUUCUUUUUCUUCUUCUUCUUCCUUCUUCCUUCUUCCUCUUUUCUUCCUUUUCCUUAUUUUAUUUUUUCCUCUACACAAACCUAAAAUGCACUAACCUAAAAUUGAUAUCUACUAAUUACAACCUAAAUAAAAAAAUUAAUACAUAUAUGAAAAAAACAUCAUAAGAAAUAAAACAUCAUAUGCACAAAAAAACAUCAUAUGAAAAAAACAUCAUAUCAACAUCAUCACAUAUAUGAAAAAAACAUCAGAAGGCCGCCGGACCGUAGGGCGGCGCAGCGACGGUGUCGGGGCAGUGGUGGCGCGGGGCGGUGAUGGCGUCGGGGCUGCGACGGCGUCGGGGCGACGCGGGGAGGCGCGGGGAGGUGACGGUGCGNNNNNNNNNNNNNNNNNNNNNNNNNNNNNNNNNNNNNNNNNNNNNNNNNNNNNNNNNNNNNNNNNNNNNNNNNNNNNNNNNNNNNNNNNNNNNNNNNNNNNNNNNNNNNNNNNNNNNNNNNNNNNNNNNNNNNNNNNNNNNNNNNNNNNNNNNNNNNNNNNNNNNNNNNNNNNNNNNNNNNNNNNNNNNNNNNNNNNNNNNNNNNNNNNNNNNNNNNNNNNNNNNNNNNNNNNNNNNNNNNNNNNNNNNNNNNNNNNNNNNNNNNNNNNNNNNNNNNNNNNNNNNNNNNNNNNNNNNNNNNNNNNNNNNNNNNNNNNNNNNNNNNNNNNNNNNNNNNNNNNNNNNNNNNNNNNNNNNNNNNNNNNNNNNNNNNNNNNNNNNNNNNNNNNNNNNNNNNNNNNNNNNNNNNNNNNNNNNNNNNNNNNNNNNNNNNNNNNNNNNNNNNNNNNNNNNNNNNNNNNNNNNNNGACGGCCUCGACGGGGCGAGCUCAGGCUGCCUGGCGGCGGCGGCUGGGCGGGGCAACUGCAGAGAUGAAAAUGAAAAACGCUAAGUGUUUGCUUAUAUAGCAAAGCCAUUGGUACCAGUUCGUGGCACCAACCAGGACCAAUGCACACCUUUAGUCCCGGUUGGUGGCAUCAACCGGGACCAAAGGUCUCUUUUCAGCAGCCCAAAGGGCGGGAAGCAGAGGCCUUUGGUCCCGGGACCAAAGGCCUUGUGCUGCCCGCGCCAAAAGUUUAGUCCCACCUCGCUUGCUGAGAGAGCUCGAGAGUGGUUUAUAAGCGCUGCUGCACCCACCCUCUCGAGCACCUCUCAAUUGCAGGCUUUCGGGCCUAACCUGUCACUGUGCCUGUGGGCCUACUGGGCCUGUUGCGGGCCUGAAUCUUGGGCCAUGAUUGAGUUUCUAGUCGUAUUCAGGCCGUGGUGGCCCAGUAGGUGGUACUUUUUUUGUUUUCUUUGUUGCUUUAUUUAUUUUAUUUUGUUUCUACUUACAAAAAAAUACUUACUGUUGCUAUUUUAUUUUGUUCCUACUUAUUUAUUAAAGUUUAUUUUGUUUCUACUUAUUUAUUUUAUUUGGUUUCUUGCUUUUAUUGAUUUCAUGAAAAUUCUUUUUUGCUUUUAAUGUUUUGAACACAAAAUACUUUGAAAAUUUUAGUUGCAAAUUUUUUAUAUAAUUUUAGUUUCAAUAAUAGUAGAGGUUUAUAAAAGCUUUUUAGUCGAUUCCUUUAGUACCGGUUCUAAGGCUGUUACAAAGGCAUUUCAUUUAGUACCGGUUCUAAGGCUCCCCACGAGAACCUUUAAUACCUGUUCGCGGCAUGAACCGGUAAUAGAGUUUUUUAAUUGAUUCUUUCUGCAGCUGGUUUUUAGUCCCACCUAGCCAAGCGAGAGGCACUCGCAGCGGUUUAUAAACCCUGAGUGCAGAGACGAUAUGAAGGAGAGGCGCAAUGCUCACCUGCACGUUGCUUAGCUUCAGGCCUUGAGGAAGUGGUGUAGACUGCACGGAGCUAUCAGGGUUUCGGACGAAAACUACACAUAGCUCCGUGCAGUCUACACUAUUUUCUCAAGGCCUGAAGCUAAGCAACGUGCAGGUGAGCAUUGCGCCUCUCUUUUAUUUUGAGCAUUGCACCAUCCAAAGCCACAUCAUCAAUUUUCAACCCUUUCUGACUUCAUUUGUUAUUUUUCAUGCAUUUACUGAUUUUUUUUGAGCUAUAAGACCCUAAAAUUCGAAAGCAUUUCAAAUGAACUCUGAAAAGGUUGAAAGUUGGCAUGGUAUCAUCAUUUCACCCACAUAGCAUGUGCUAAAAAGUUGAGAGGGUUACGGCACAAACUGGAUGCACUUCGUGUACAAAAUGGACAAUCUCUUUCGAAGUAUCAGGGUUUCAGACAAAAACUCAUCUGUUACAAAAGGCAUUUCAUUUCUUCACAUGUAACUGCAGGGAUAUUCUAGAUCAAAGGCAUCAUCAUAAUAGUUGUGGAGAGAAAAUCUUCACUUUUUCUUCGCUUGUGUGCUUUGCGUAUUGCGCCGUAACCAUGGAUAAUCUUCAUCGUUUAACAGGGUGCUUGGGUCAGCCUUGACUUUGAAGGGAGGAAUUUCAUGAAACUUUUCAUAACCUUCAGACAUGUCUGUCUUGCCCUCCACUCCCACGAUGUCUCUUUUUCCUGAAAGAACUAUGUGGCGCUUUGGCUCAUCGUAUAAUGUAUUCGCUUCCUUAUCUUUUCUUUUUCUCAGUUUGGUAGACAUAUCCUUCACAUAGAAAACCUGCGCCACAUCAUUGGCUAGGACGAACGGUUCGUCAGUGCACCCAAGAUUGUUCAGAUCCACUGUUGUCAUUCCGUACUGUGGGUCUACCUGUACCCCGCCUCCUGACAGAUUGACCCAUUUGCACUUAAACAAAGGGACCUUAAAAUCAUGUCCGUAGUCAAGUUCCCAUAUGUUCACUAUGUAACCAUAAUAUGUGUCAUUUCCCCUCUUGGUUGCUGCAUCAAAGCGGACACCGCUGUUUUGGUUGGUGCUCUUUUGAUCUUGGGCGAUCGUGUAAAAUGUAUUCCCAUUUAUCUCGUAUCCUUUGUAAGUCAAUACAGUCGAAGAUGGUCCCCUGGGCAACGAGUACAGGUCAUCACAAACAGUGUUGUCACCUCUGAGACGUGUAUCCAACCAACUGCUGAAAGUCCUGAUGUGUUCACGUGUAAUCCAGUCGUCACACUGCUCCGGGUGUUUGGAGCGCAGACUAUUCUUGUGUUCAUUGACAUACGGGGUCACCAAGGUAGAGUUCUGUAGAACUGUGUGGUGUGCUUGAGACCAAGAAUGCCUGUACCUGCAUAUUAUUGACUCCCCUCCAAGCAUGCCUUUUCCAGUCAGUCUCCCCUCAUACCGCGAUUUAGGGAGACCUAUCUUCUUAAGGCUAGGAAUGAAGUCAACACAAAACCCAAUGACAUCCUCUGUUUGAUGGCCCAUGGAGAUGCUUCCUUCUGGACUAGCGCGGUUACGGACAUAUUUCUUUAGGACUCCCAUGAACCUCUCAAAGGGGAACAUAUUGUGUAGAAAUACGGGGCCCAAAAUGACAAUCUACUAGGACGUGCGUCAUGAUAUUGAAGAAGGAUGGUGGGAACACCAGCUCGAAACUGACAAGACAUUGCGCCACAACACCCCUUAGCCUUGGUAUGAUUUCUGGAUCGAUCAUCUUCUGAGAGAUUGCAUUGAGGAAUGCACAUAGCUUCACAAUUGCUAAUCCGACGUUUUCCGGUAGAAGCCCCCUCAAUGCAACCGGAAGCAGUUGAGUCAUAAUCACGUGGCAGUCAUGAGACUUUAGGUUCUGGAACUUUUUCUCUGGCAUAUUUAUUAUUCCCUUUUUAUUCGACGAGAACCAAGAUGGGACCUUCAUACUGAGCAGGCAUUCAAAGGAGAUUUCCUUCUCUUCUUUGGUAAGAGCGUAGCUGGGAGGACCUUCAUACUGCUUUGGAGGCAUGCUGUCUUUUUCGUGCAAACGUUGCAGGUCCUCCCGUGCCUCCGGUGUAUCUUUUGUCGUCCCAUACACGCCCAAGAAGCCUAGCAGGUUCAUGCAAAGGUUCUCCGUCACGUGCAUCACGUCGAUUGAAGAGCGGACCUCUAGGUCUUUCCAGUAGGGUAGGUCCCAAAAUAUAGAUUUCUUCUUCCACAUGGGUGUGUGUCCCUCAGCGUCAUUCGGAACAGAUAGUCCGCCGGGACCCUUUCCAAAGAUUACAUGUAAAUCAUUGACCAUAGCAAGUACGUGAUCACCGGUACGCAUGGCGGGCUUCUUCCGGUGAUAUGCCUCGCCUUUGAAAUGCUUGCCUUUCUUUCUAUAUUGAUGGUUGGUCAGAAGAAAUCGACGAUGGCCCAGGUACACAUUCUUCCUCCAUUUGUCCAGGUAUAUACUUUCAGUGUCAGCUAAACAGUGCGUGCAUGGCCUUGUAUCCCUUGUUUGUCUGUCCUAAAAGGUUACUGAGAGCGGGCCAAUCGUUGAUGAUUACAAACAGCAACGCGUGCAGGUCAAAUUCCUCCUGUUUGUGCUCAUCCCACACACGUACACCGUUUCCAUUCCACAGUUGUAAAAGUUCUUCAACUAAUGGCCUUAGGUACACAUCAAUGUCGUUGCCAGGUUGCUUAGGGCCUUGGAUGACAACUGGCAUCAUAAUGAACUUCCGCUUCAUGCACAUCCAAGGAGGAAGGUUAUACAUAAAUAGAGUCACGAGCCAGGUGCUGUGAUUUCUGCUCUGCUCCCCGAAAGGAUUAAUGCCAUCCGCGCUUAAACCAAACCAUACGUUCCUUGGGUCACCUGCAAACUCAGCCCAGUACUUUCUCUCGAUUUUUCUCCACUGCGACCCGUCAGCAGGUGCUCUCAACUUCCCGUCUUUCUUACGGUCCUCUCUGUGCCAUCGCAUCAACUUGGCAUGCUCUUCGUUUCUGAACAGACGUUUCAACCGUGGUAUUAUAGGAGCAUACCACAUCACCUUCGCAGGAACCCUCUUCCUGGGAGGCUCGCCGUCAACAUCACCAGGGUCAUCUCGUCUGAUCUUAUACCGCAAUGCACCGCAUACCGGGCAUGCGUUCAAAUUCUCGUACGCACCACGGUAGAGGAUGCAGCCAUUAGCGCAUGCAUGUAUCUUCCGCACCUCCAAUCCUAGAGGGCAUACGACCUUCUUUGUUGCGUACGUACUGUCGGGCAAUUCGUUAUCCUUUGGAAGCUUCUUCUUCAAUAUUUUCAGUAGCUUCUCAAAUCCUUUAUCAGGCACAGCAUUCCCUGCCUUCCACUGCAACAAUUCCAGUACGGUACCGAGCUUUGUGUUGCCAUCUUCGCAAUUGGGGUACAACCCUUUUUGUGAUCCUCUAACAUGCGAUCGAACUUCAGCUUCUCCUUUUGACUCUCGCACUGUGUCCUUGCAUCAACAAUGACCCGGCGGAAAUCAUUAUCAUCGGGCACAUCGUCUGGUUCCUCUUGACUUCAGCAGCUUCCCCCGUUGCAGCAUCACCGUAUUCAGGGGGCACAUAGUUGUCAUCGUCAUCUUCUUCUUCGCUGUCUUCCAUCAUAACCCCUAUUUCUCCGUACUUCGUCCAAACAUUAUAGUGUGGCAUGAAACCCUUACAAAGCAGGUGGGUGAGAAGGAUUUUCGGGUCAGAGUAAGACUUCGUAUUCCCACAAUUAGGGCAUGGAAAACACAUAAAACCAUUCUGCUUGCUUGCCUCAACCACUUCGAGAAUAUUAUGCAGGCCCUUAAUGUACUCGGAGGUGUGUCUGUCACCGUACAUCCAUUGCUGGUUCAUCUGCGUGUAUUAUAUAUAGUUAUGUGUGUCAAAAACCAUUACAGAUACAUGGAUAGAUAAGUGACCAAAUAGUUAUAAAAGAUAAUAUAUAUACCACAUCCAAAUAGUUAUGUGUGUCAAAAACCAUUACAGAUCGCAUUGUAUAAUAACAAGCAAUAAUAAAAGUAAAAAAAUUAGACAAGUAUCUAUCUAAAGUGCAGGCGUGCCCCCUGCGCCCCCGCUCCCCCUUCCCCCAAGGCCGGCCCUGGGUGCAGGCGUGCAAUUGCUGUAUGAGUCGAGGUCCGAACUCUUGCGGUUGGUCACGACCAGCACCAUGAGCGCUGCCGGACAGAGCCCUGCGGCUACGACCAGGCCACUAGUACCGUCGUGCGGCGUUUCCUGGCGCCUGCACCAUCGAUGGCACAACCUACGCAGGAGACACAUGCCGCGGCGAGUACUCAACAUGUGGCACAUAGCCACAGGCUCGUCUCCGGCGGAACACACUGCUGUGGCUGCGGGCACUUUUGCCGAUAAGGCUGCAACAGUUGGUACUACCUCCGAGGCUCACGCUCAGCUCGCGCUCAUUAGUUUCCACAGCUCCUUCGAUUCCAUUCAUCCAGAAUGUGUAUAUACGUAGAGCUGGUUGAUUUCACGACCGUGUAUUUCUUGUUGCGUUGUUUUGAGGUUCGGCCAAAGAGACGAGAGAUUGAGAAUUAAAAAAAUACUCCGUUCUUAGACCAAACUUUGGGUAAAUCAACUUUUAAAUCUCAGCCGUUAAUCUUUAUGGUUAACAUAAAAUCAAGGAUAUAAAAAGAGGACCGUAAAGAGAUGACGUAUGGAGAAUUAUGAAAGCCUCCGUCUUUUAAUAUUAUUAGGUAAAGACGUGCAUGCCGAUCAUGUGCUUAGACAGAUCUAAGCCAGCUAUUUUGUAGGAAUCUCAUAGGUCUGAUGCCUGCAAAAACCACCAGCUCUUGACUGACUUAUUAGAACAAAAUCAUUCCACGCCGGCGUCCACAGCAAAUGUUCAUACGAAAUUUAAGUGGCAGAGCUAAGGUGACGGCUGUGUGGACGAGGGAUAAAAGAGAAGAGGAGGAGGUCUGGUCGGGCAAGGAGAGGAGGGAGGGGGAUAUACGAAUUGGCAUGGGCCGUUGCGGUCUGUGCUACAUGGCGGGUGCAUCCAAACGUUCCAUAUACGCCCCACAUAUGGACCGGUAUGGAUAGUGCCGGCUAGUCCAUGCGUUUGGGCCGGAUUUGCCAAGUCCGCUUGGGUUACAAUUUUACGUCCGAAAAAGCGACCUUGCAGCCCACCCGUGUGUUUGCUGUGGAUAGGGGGUCUGGUUAUAGAUGCUCUUAGCUAUUACACGCAUAGCACGAGAACCUAAUUAAUUGUUGUGUAUUCUCCCCAUAAAGAAAUAUAUGAGCGUUUUAUAUUUCUUUACAGAUGGAGUAGUUUUCACUUGUUGUGCUGCUUGCUACCAAUGGUUCGUUGGGUCAGCUCCUGUAACACUUUGUAACCCCUUCUUUCUAUCGCAAUGAAAGCAGGCUAAUACUGCCUUGCGUCUAAAAACAAUAACUCUAACAUUUAACCCUGAUGUAGCAAAUGGAUCCAAGCCAUUUGCACGUAACCGGAGUUAGGACUGACGACGUCCUUCCUGAAAACGCUUGGUAGUUUGCAUUAUACGUGGAUGCCGAACAUGUGCUUCAGUGGUCAAAUUUUAAGUUGAAACGGAUCCAAGCCAGCAAUUUUGUAGGAACCUCAAUAGAGCUGAUGCCAGCAACAACCACCAGCUCUUGACUGACUUAUUAGAAAAAUUCAUUCCACGCCGGCAUCCAGAGCAAGUGUUCAUACGGAAUUUAAGUUUUUUCUUAGGAAACUCUUCAGCCUCGUCCUUGAGUCUCUUGCAUUAUUUUUUUGCGGGGAUCUCUUGCAAUAUUUUUUACGAGAAAAUUUCUGAUGUAUUCAUCUUUAAUUGUGACAGUACAACAAAUAUCAGAAAUAAUAAAAAUUACAUCUUGAUCCGUAAACCAUCUAGCAACGACUACUUGCAUUCAAACAAGCCGAAGGCGCGCUACUGUUAUCGCCCCUCUCUAGCCGGAGCCACGCAAAACUUGUUGUAGUAGACAGUCAUAAAGUCGUAGUGCUAAGGCUAAUAGGACUAGCGUAUCAGAAUAGCAACCGCCGCCCAUGAAGAGUAGUGUAAGUUGGAAGGAUCCAAGCUGGAAACACAAGAAUGUAGACGAACGAUGAGCAAAUCCAUCAAAGACAGUCCCGCUAGAUACAUACCUCCAGUCCUCCACACGACCACCGACGAUACUAGACGCAUCACUGGGACAUGGGCUUAGCGUGGAGAACCUUAUUUCAUCUUCAAUGAGUCGUCGUCGUCUCGUCUUCCGGAGCAGGACACAAACCCUAACAAAACUCAAAGAAACAUCUAAAAACAAAGCCCUCCUACUAGCAAUGGCCAGAAUCCAUCGUGCCCAUGGCCCUAAGACUACCGGAGACGAGGCGGACUGACACCGGCGCCGACGGGUGGCAGGGGAACCCUAGGAUUUUUUUUAAUUUCUUUGUUUUUGAAGAGGAGGCGGCUGCGUAAGGAUACUUGCAAUAUUAUUAGUUCAUGGUUUAAAUGGAUCCUCCCAGCAAAUCAAAAACUGAAACGGAUCCCUAUGAGACAAUUGCUGGCUAUUGACUGACUGUCAAAUCUAGUAAAGAGCCACUACCUCUUGAUCACAACAACGGGACGCUUGAUUGUUAGCAAUUCAUUCUACGUCGGCGUCCAAACCAAGCGUUCAUACGUGGUUCAUACAUACACGAGUAUAUAUUUAUAGAUCAAGGAUUAAUCCAUGUGGCUGGACGGCUAUUAAUUAAGUCAUUUGUCAUAUCUUAAAUUUGUUAGAGGUCUUACCUGCUACUCCUAAAGUCUAUAUAAACGAAGCUCCGUCCUUUGGCACUUCCACACUUAAGUUGUAGAGCAACAAGUAGUGGCCGGAGGAAUUGAUCAAAGAUCCAUCUCUGAUCUCCAGCUGAUGGAAGGUAUAUCUGUUUUACAGUCCUUCAUCCACUCCAAGCUUUACCUACGUUUCGCGUGCAUGUUAUAGCUAAGAGGUCCACAACUUCGAUCUUAUAUGACUUUGCUAGUUGCCGACGUUUUUUUAAGUAUGUGAAUUGGUGUUGGUUGUAAGCAGGCUUGCCAGUACUACGCCAUCGUCCCAACCGCCAGUCGAGGCCGACGAAGGAACGGCCCAAGGCCCAGCUAGGAGAGCCCGCAAGCCCAACAAACGAGUGGCUGGCGAGGAGUGGGUGAACACGACCCAGGAAGCAUAAAGCAGGGGAUCGCUCUCUGGACAAGGAUCUAAGAUCGAUCAGGCUGGAACGGCACGGCGGCGGCGGCUACCUACUUAGAACCCUAGUUCCUUUCCCUUUUCCUUCCUGUAUUCAGCACUGAUGUGCUUGUAAGAAGAGAAUCCUGUACUCUGAACCACAUACAUACCUGAGACAGUAGUGCAGUCCUAACACUUGGUACUCAGAGCCAGGACCCAAUUUUGCUUCCGCCCUGGCGGCGUCCAUCAUCGAGACACGACAGCAGAGGGCAGACCGACUGCAACGGGAGGCCAUGGAUCCCGUCACCAAGGCCGACCUCAAGGACCUCUUGAAGGAGCUUCGAGCGGAAUGGAGGGAAGACAUCAAGUCUUCGGUCGCUGCGGAAUUCGCAUCCUGGAAGCCUGAGAUCGACUUGAAGAUGGCUGAUCUGCAAGAGGCAGUCGACUUACUCAAGCAGAAGCAAGCGAGCGGCAAGAUCGAUGACGCGGGGGAGGCGUUGGCGCCAGAUCACCCUGAUCUGGUGGCGCGGAAGAGCACUUCGUCUUCGGACGAUUCUCCGGCGCGCGUUUCUCCUCGGGCUGAUGGCCACGGCACUGCCUCACCUCCACGGACGGCAGUUGACGGGCUGUUCAUCAGUCCACCGGCCCCUCCGGCCAACGGUACGGUCCACCCACAACUUCCAUCGUCUGCUGUAGCCACUGCUAUAUCACCAACUACUCCGUCACCAUUUUUUUCCUUGCACGCUCCUAGUCCACCAACCAUACCAUUUCCGUUGUUUGAUGGCGAAAAUCCACUCCUUUGGAAGGAUCUCUGUGAGCAGUACUUUGCUAUCUAUGGUAUUCAGGAGUCCGUUUGGGUCCAGAUGGCUACUCUGAAUUUUCCCCCUACUACAGCAGUGUGGUUACAGUCUGUUAGGAAAAAGGUUAUGGCCUUGAAUUGGGAGGGGUUAUGCAAUUUGCUCUCCACCCGUUUCGGUCGGGAUCGACACCAGCUACUGAUCAGACAAUUCUUUGCCAUUAAGCAAUCUAGCACAGUCCAGGAUUACAUUGAGAGAUUUGAGCAUUUGAUGAACCAAUUGUUAUCAUAUUCUGAUGAAAUUCAUCCUUUCUAUUUUUUGACACGCUUCAUCGGUGGACUUCGGGCGGAUUUGCGAGCAGCGGUCAUGGUCCAACGCCCUGCUGAUUUGGACACAGCCUGUGCUCUCGCCCUGGUCCAGGAGGAGGUGCAAGAUGGAGUGCGACCGGAGAACAUACGUUUUCCGGAGCAAGCUUAUCGACCAGCGCCACGCCUUCCUUUACAGGAAGUUCCUCUUCAUCAACCACGACCACCUACAACACCAGCCGCGGUUGAUCGUCGUGGUGUGGAGGCAGCCCGUGCAGCCCCCGUCGAGCAACCACGUCCGCAACCAGCGGAAGCUAAUCCCCUCAACACCUUACGGGCGUACAGACGAGCUCGUGGGCUCUGUUUCAAGUGUGGCGAGCAUUGGGGACGCGACCACACUUGCCCUGCAACCAUUCAGAUGCAUGUACUAGAGGAACUCAUGGAUUUCUUGGGAGUCACACCGUCAGAGGAAGCAGAGCCGAGCAACACUUCUGACACCACUGAAGAAACAGUGUAUGCAGUCUCUUUACAAGCGUUCAAUGGGAAUGAUUCUUCCAAGUUGUUGCAAUUUAGUGCCACAAUCCAGGGACAAAGUGUGGAAGUAUUAGUGGAUUCUGGGAGCUCAGCGUCCUUUAUCAAUUCUCGUUGUGUGGGGGGACUCCAAGGACUGCAAACUAUGGCCAAACCAGCUCGUGUUAAAGUGGCCAAUGGAGCGGAACUGCAAUGUGAUCAGGAGUUGCUCAACUGCCAAUGGACAGUCCAGAAUCAUCAGUUGUUGGCGUCACUAAAGGUAUUACCACUUGGAGGGUCUGAUGUCAUUGUCGGGAUGGAUUGGUUGGAAGCAUUCAAUCUAGCCAUUGAUUGGAUCAACAAGACUGUCACACUCCAGUCAGAAACUGGUCCCAUCCAAUUGCAAGGCCAUAAGUUCUCCGCAUCAAACUGCCCGCAAAUUUCAUCAGAAGAGCUGCACUUCAUGUGUGUACAGGGAGAAGUGGAUCACCUGGUUUAUGUAUGCUCAAAGGAUGCCAAGCCAGUACAGAAAGGUGCAGAAUCACCGGAUCCACCAGUUGAAAUCCAACACCUCUUGGAUGAGUUCUCAGAAGAGCUGCACUUCAUGUUGUAUGCAUCCUAACUAUGUAGAGGCUGAGUGUGUACUCAUUGUGUUAUGUAUCUUCUUGAUGCUUCAUAUUGAACCAAUAAAAUCCAUCAUUUGUUUAAAGAAAUCCGAGAGAUCCAUGUGCUUUAAUGUUGCAUCACAACUGUGUGCAAAUCAUACCAAACCAUAGGACAUUUGUUCACUCUUUAAGGAAUGCCUGAUUUGCGGUGUUGAUCAAAUGGGAUUCUAAAAAAUGGAAUUAGAAUACAUUUCAGAUUCUUCUGUCUGGUACUCCCUCUUAAUAAGUUAAUAUGAGGCCAUAAAUUAUACCUGAAGGUCGUGCAAGUGCAACUAUGGGAAGCAUGCGAAAAUCCAGAGCAACGACAGUGCAGGAGCUCGCUAACAUCGGCAAGCCCGACGUGCCAGCACAGUACAUGGUGCGCGGUCACCACGACCAUCAGCUCACCACGGCUGUUGCAGAACCAAUCCCUGCCAUUGACCUGCUGCCUUUUCAAGGAGGAUGGUGCAGCCGCUGAUGAGGCAUCAAAGCUUCGGUCAGCGCUCGAGUCAUGGGGCAUCUUCCAUGUAAGUAACAAUUCUAUCAGCAGCUCAGCACUCAGUAUAGUACUUAACCAUUUUGUAGCAAGAUCAAGCAUUCAUAUUCAAGUUACUUCAUGUGUACGUUCCUGCAUGCAGCUCAGUAACCAUGGUAUAGAAGCCACCAUGAUGGACGGCAUGAUGUCCGCGUCGAGGGAGUUUUUCUGGCGGCCACUCGAAGACAAGCAGAGGUACACCAACUUGAUCGGCGGUGAGCAGUUCCAGUUUGAGGGGUACAGAAACGACCGGGUAAGGUCGCCAGACCAGAUCCUGGAUUGGUCUGACCGCCUCUACCUCAAAGUGGGGCCCGAGGAUGAGCGGCACAUCACCCUCUGGCCAACACAUCCCCAAAACUUCAGGUCACUAAUUGAUCUGAGCGAUCUCUUCCCAAAUAUCCAGGCUCAGGGUUUAAGGAUCAUUAGCUCACAUUUUGUCGUGUUUGCAGGGAUGUUCUGCAUGUGUUCACGAAGAAAUGUGGGAGAGUGAAGGAUGACCUGCUCCAGGCAAUGGCAAAGCUGCUGGAUCUUGACAACAACGACUACUUUGUGGACCAGCUUGGGGAGAAAGCUGAAACUAACGUGAGAUGCAGCUACUACCCCCAGUUUCCAAGGCCAGAGCUUGUAUGUGGUCUCAAGCCUCACUGCGAUGGAACCGUUCUUACAAUUCUCAUGGUCGAUGACAGCGUCGGUGGCCUUCAAGUUCUAAGAGAUGGGGUGUGGUGGGAUGUACCGAUCGUACCUCGCACCCUGCUGGUCAUUAUAGGAGAUCAGACUGAGGUGCACCUUUCCUAAUUAAGUAACUUUGUUCUGUCAGGUUAGAACACUAGUUUUUCUUGUCGCAAAAAGAAGAAGUUAGUUUAUGAUGAAAAAUACCUUCAUAAUAUAACAAAUUUAUAGCCUUUCCAAGCAUAUCCAUAUAAAACACAACAAUCAAAGUUACACGCUGGGUAGUUGAAAGAAAAAAUCAUUUUGUUGAAAGUUUUUAAGGUUUCAGGCUGAUCGAGUUAAAUUGUUGUUGCAUAGAUAAUGAGCAAUGGGUUCUUCAAGAGCCCUGUGCAUAGGGUGGUGACAAAUGCAAAGAAAGAGAAGCUAUCAGUGGCGCUAGACUACUCUGUUGACCACGAGAGAGAAAUCGAGCCAUUGCCUCAGUUGAUCAAUGAGAAGAGACCAGCAUUGUACAUGAAAAGUUAAGGUCGAGGACUACAUUUCCGGGCUCUAUGAACAUUUUUCUCAAGGGACAAUGGUUAUUGAUACACUGCAGUUAUAACUAUGUGGUAUCAUUGGUGUCAUGAAAAAAUGUGAUCAAAUUAUGGCCAAUGUAUGUAUUGUUAUUUCUAAAUGUCACGUGUAUUAAGUACUCCCUUUGUUCGACAACACAUGUCAUUUCAAGUUUUUGCAUGUUCUACAUGCUACUAAGAAAAUAAAGUUCUAUAUCACUAUUGUGUUCUACACGUGAUGAUAAUAUUUCCACUUGAGAAUUUCAUAAACCUUUUUUGCAUAGUACCAAUGAACAAUGCAAGUUCGAGGACUAUUGCUGGGUUGUUUGAGCAUGCUUCCCGAGGGACAAUUGUCAUCAAAAGAUAAGAUAACUGUUGGAAAAUAAUGGUAAUAGUUUAAGAUUUGACAAGAGGCAUCAUUGAUAAUAAGAAUAUGAUGCAAAAACAAUUCUAACUGUACGCACGACAGUCCUAACAAGGGAGUGCAAACCAACGCCGUAAGGUGAUGAACACGCCUGCCUGCUGCCAUUUGUCCCUCGCUCCCACCUGAUGACUCCCAGUGGUAGAGAUACUGACAAGCUUUUGAGCUAGUUGUGGUACCCAUCUACGUCCGAGACUAGCUAGUGAGAGGUCUACUCCCUCCCUUCCUGUUUAUAGGGCUUAUUUAAAAAAUUAUUUCUCAUUUUAUAAGUCUCAAUUUUAUUGCUCUCAUUCACAUGUUCAGAUUUCAAGGUGCAUUAAACCAUUGCACGCAAGGACUCAGAGAAAACACACCAAUGCAUGUAAAACUUUUUGGUCAUUUAUUUGUCACACAUGCAUGCAUUGCAUUAAUACAUUGGUAAACAUUUUUUUUUGAGAAAAACAAGCCAAUUAAUUGAGUACUUGUGCAAACUACAAAAGUUAUUCUACCACCCUACAUCUACCUUGGUUCGUGAGAUUUCUAAACUGAGCCCUAUAAACAGGAAGGGAGGGAGUAGGACAUUGGGUUAAUUAUGAAGUGUAUCUCUUAAUGCUCAAAAGCAUGGGAAAUCAUUUGAUUAUUGAUGGGCAAUUACCAGUUCUAUGUUUAGGUUGUGGUUCAAGGCUAGCCUUGGUAUAUUUUUGGACAUGAUUAAGCCCGAGCUAAUAUGUAAAAUAGACUGCAAAGUCGUAAAUAGACCAAAGGAAUCCCGUCCGCUAUUUCCUAAUCAUGAAUAAUUCAAAAUUUUAAGUCAAGAUCAUUGGCGUUCCCCUAGAACCAUUGAAACAAAGUGAAAGAUAAUAUAGUAGAAGGACUCUAAAAUAAAAUGAAAUGAAAAGUAAAAAAAAUUGCACCCAAAUUACACAAGAAUUGCGCUUUGUUAUAAUGAAUAUUCAAGAAUAAACAUCUAAUAGUGAAUUUGGUUUUGUAAAAAACAAACUUUUCUAAAGAAAGAAUAUUCAUUAGGUUUUUAUGUAAUUAUCGCCCAUAUUCACUAUUAGAUGUUUAUUCUUCUAAUUAUCUAAUAGUGGCAUUGGUAUUGCUGUUAAAAAUAGUCAUAUGAUAAUGUAAUUAUCGCCCUUAUUGCAUAGUAUUUAUGUGUUUACAUUUACACUCACCCAACACUCCAAAAAUUUCCACAAAAGAAAAUAAAAACCAACUAACAAAAGAAAACAAAGACGGAAACACAUAAAAACAGAAAUGACAUUAUUAGAAACAAAGGAAGAGAGAUGAGGGCUUGACCGCACAACUAAUGGGCUUCGGCCCAGUUGAAAACCGACCUGAUAAGGUCAGUCCAAAAAGCAAGCCCACGAUAGUCCAGAAAAAAGAGUAGCAUGAAUUUCAGAGCAAAAAUGAAUGGAUAAGAAAUCGACUCACCCAAAUUUACAAUUCAAGCAACUUACAAGUAGCUAAAGUUAUAUUUAUAACCAUAUAUUGUAGAUCACUCUUACAGGACUCAACCACUCUCACACCACAUGUUCAUAUCUCUUACACGUACGUACAUAUACGUGAUAUAUGUGGAUAUGGAAAUAUUAAAGGUUGCAUUGCAUGAGCUUAUUGAAUAUAUAUGCCAUGUGUUUUUCAUUCCUUCUUUCUAAUUAUCUAGGUGGCAGCGUGCAGCAGCAUCGUCUCCACAGUGAACCCCGGCC
This 97818-nucleotide long non-coding RNA is filed under the name Triticum aestivum (bread wheat). RNAcentral describes it as "long non-coding RNA (TAES_LNC017352)". The stretch from base 25782 to 25868 matches the Rfam family "MIR1120/MIR1122 microRNA precursor family". Lineage: Eukaryota; Viridiplantae; Streptophyta; Magnoliopsida; Poales; Poaceae. The record is from RNAcentral.